AAGCACCUGAAGGCAUGAAAAGCCUCGGAACUGCCUAUUUUACGACUAGUUUUGGAGUUGGAUACUUCAUAAGUAGUUUUCUGCUGAAAACUGUGGCUGACAUUACCGAGAAACGUGGAAAAGGAUGGAUUUUGGACAACCUAAACGUCUCUCGUUUGGACUACUAUUAUGCUUUUUUUGCUGUGCUCUGCUUUCUCAACUUACUUUACUUUCUGUUAGUUGCAAAGCUCUUUGUUUAUAACACAGAACUGAAGGAUACCGAAACGGAGUUGCAUGAAGCAAUCGAGGCUCGACCGAACAAGUCUACACGAUCGGAGGAAAUAACGUUGGAUGAUAAAGCAAGCUCAUAGAAAUAUAAAAAAAUCCCAUGAAAUUUUCCAAGUCUUUUUUCUCAAGCAUGUUUAUCGUUUUCCUUUACUACUCUUUUUUCAUUGUAUCUAAUUAUAUUUCCGCAAUAUAACAAUUUAGAUCACAUUGUAAUAUAAGAAUAAGAUACAAAAAUUCAUCACUUGUUUUGUAAGUAGAUAGUAUUUCCUAAAAAAAAGAAAUUAAAAUCUUGUAUAUCAUAUGACAGUGUCUUAUCUCACACUAUGACUAAAAAUUCAUGGCUUCUUAUGCUACCAUCUGUAUCGCGUUCUUAAUGGCACCUCCACAAGCUGCAAAUAAGGGCUCGUUCGAUAGUGAUUAUAAAAAAUAAUUUUUUUAUCGUUAAAGAGAAAAAUGGAUCCCAUUUAUAAGUGAAAAAGUCAAAAAUGACGAUUGAAAAUAGUGAAAUAAUGGUUAAAAAUUUGAUUUUUUUUUGAAAAAUUGUUAACAAACCUCUGUUUGGCUUCCAUUCUCCUUCUCAUUCUCUCUCUCUUAUUUUCAACAAUAUAAUCUUCCAUAAAAUAAUAUUACAGGCAAAUCAAAAACUUUUGAUUUUUUUUCAACCACCUAUUUUAAAAAAAAAUCAUUAUACCAACCAUUAAAAUUUGAAAAGAAUUGGGGUCAAAUGGGGGCUAAAUCUAAGAGGUCACUCUCGUAGGCCAGCACAAAAUCCAUGCUAAAUAAUGACAUACAUGACUAAACGUAUUGUACUUAUUAUAGCAAUUGAAAAAAGGAAAAUAUUAAGAGCUGACUAUUUUACACCCCAACAAUCUCUUUUUGAAUAUCAAACUUUCAUUUUGGUCCCAACCUACUUAUGAUGAAUUAUGGGAUAAUGACAUAGAUAUGCCAAAAAUUGGGACCGUUUUGAAAAGUCAGCAUAAAACUUAGGCUAGCUAGAAAUUACUUCAAACUAUAUAAUAUUCACUGUUAAAGCACAAUUAACCCUAACCCCAUCGUUUAAAAAUUUCUUUCAAUGAAAUUGAAAGUUAGCUAAACAUGAUUUUUUUGUGACUCGAAUUCAUGAUUCUGGCUCUGAUAACAUCUGUCAAGAUUGAAUUUCAACUAUCUCAAAAAGUUAAUUGGUGAGCACUAAUGGAUUGAGGUAUUCUCAAUUAAGCUAUUAAUGUUGUAAAAAGUAAGUUUAUUACGGUUUAGAGGUGAAUGACAAUUAUACCCCUACAGUUCUAGAAAUAAUUACUGUUGUAUCCUUGAUUCUGCCCUAUAAAUACAGUGCUUUGAUUCUUAAUAAAAUACACACAAGUCUAUUGAUUUCUCUCUGUUCUCUUCUCUUUUCAAAAUACGUUAUCAGUACGAAAAACAUAAUUCUUCAAAUUUUUGAGAGGAUAGUCAUUUUUUUUUAUCACAUAUAUUAAAAUUAAUUUGAUAACACCUGAUUUUUUUUAUCUAUUCUAUUCAUGCAUCCAACUCACGUCUAUAAUUGGGUAAAAAUCAUGUCUAAUUAUUCGUGCAUCAUAGCGGCCGUCAAUUAGUGCCUAACAACUCGCUACCAUCAAUUUGUAGCUUUUGCCUUUACAGAGAUAAAAUAUUACUUGUACAAUGCCUUUUUCGUUUGCUUCUUUAAUUGUCGUCAAACGUGUAAUGAUGAAAAUUUAGCCUGCAGCAUGUCUACCAAAUUAACUGUGUAAUGGUUUACACGUAAUCCUAUGUUCAUGCCUUCAAUUUACUUGGAAUUGCCAAAUUAAUUGUUUAUUUGGUUUACACGUGAAUUUUGUUCAUCAAUUCUGCUGCCUAACAUAUGAUAUAGUCUAAACUAUUUUUAUAGCUUUUGCCAUCAAUCUUUAUUUAUGAUUUGAUUUGAUCAAUGCACGCGUCAUCCUCAUUAAUUAUUGCCAUCAUUAAUAAUUUUUAGUUGUAUUUACGUUUCUUCAUGUGUAAAUUUGGUGAGAAAAUUUAACUAUUCAGUAAUUUUAAUUAUCGUUCAAUUAAUCAUCGAAUUUUUGUUACAAAAUUUUGAUGCUCCUGAAGUAGCACAAUAUUAUAAUUACUAUUGAAAAAUAUUAUUCGCUCCUGAAGAGCAUGAAUUUUAUAUAUAUUUUUUCAAUAUUCCAGAAGAAUAUAUUGACGUAUUGAUCUUGAAAAAAUCAUAAUAAAAUACAACAUGCUCCUGAAGUAGUAUAUGUUUUGAAGAACAUAUUAUUUUUAUGUUUAUCUCUAAAGGAAAAUACGUAACUUAUUUUAUGUUGAUAUUAUUACUUGAUUACUUAUUAUAUAAUGUUUAAUCAUAUUUUUUGAAACUUAUUAUAUUUUCUUUUACUUUAUUGUGUAGUUAAUCAAAUGACAAAUAUCAUGAAACUCAAGUUUGAUGCACUUUAUAUAUCUGGCAAAAAUUAUUUAUCAUGGGUACUUGAUAUCGAUACCCAUCUUAUCUCAAAAGAUUUUGGAGAGACAAUAAAAGAAGGAAACAAAGAAUCCCUACAGGAUCAUGCAAAAGCACUCAUCUUCCUUCGUCAUCAUCUUCACGAUAGAUUAAAAAUUGAAUACCUCACUGAGAAAGACCAACAUGUUCUUUGGAAAAACUUAACUAAAAGAUUUGAUCAUUAGAAGACUAAAAGCAUUCAUCCUCCUUUGUCAUCAACUUCACGAUAGACUAAAAAUUGAAUACUUCACUGAGAAAAAUUCACAAGUUCUUUGAAAAAAAUUAACUGAAAAAUUUGAUCAUUAGAAGACUAUAGUCUUUGCCAAAGUCCGUUAUGAGUGGAUGCACUUUCAUUUGCAAGAUUUUAAAACUGUUAGUGAGUACAAUUCUGAAUUGUUCAGAAUGUGUUCAAAAUUGACAUUGUGUGGAGAAAAAAUCACUGAUGAAGAUAUGUUGGAGAAAACUUUUUCCACCUUUCACGCCUCGAAUGUGCUCUUACAGUAGCAAUAUCGUGAGCUUAGUUUCAAAAAAUACUCAGAACUUAUAUCUUACCUACUUGUUGUUGAACAGAAUAAUGAACUGUUGAUGAAAAAUCAUGGGUUACGUCCAACUGAUUUUGUACCAUUGCUUGAAGCAAAUGCAAUAUCAAGAUAAGGACGUGACAUAGAUGUGGACACGUAUUUGGACGUGGACGCGGACGUACACGCUGAAUAAAUCAUGGACAAAAUAUUCAACAAAGUUUUCAACAACCAGGCAAUAUUUUCAAAAGGCACAAAACAAAUGAAAGUAGCACAUUGAAAAGGGUACAUGAAGAAAGUUGCUUUAGAUGUGGAAUGAAAGAGCAUUGGGCACGUACCUUUCGUCUGGAAAAACACAUUGUGGAUCUCUCCUAAAAAUCAAUACAGGGAAAGGGGAAAGUGGAGACAAAUUUUACUGACUAUGACGGUUAAAUUGAUGUGACUCAUUUGAAUGUUUUCGAUUUCUUUGCUGAUCCAAAUGGGAAUAUUGAUCAUUUGAUUAGGGAUGAUGUGAUGGAAGAGAUAGAUUAGUUUUUUAUAUUUUUAUGUUUCUAAUAUUUCAUUUUAUUUUAGAAAUUUAGUUUGAAAUAUGUUUUUACUUUUCGUAAAAAUUUUGAACUUUAUUAUGCAUCGUUAAUUUCACAGUAUUAAUUAUGCUUAUUAUUUUGAAUUUAAAUUCAAGCUUCUUUUUUUAAUAUUGAUAAAUCAUGAUGGAUUGUCAAAACACCUGUUUGAUUGAUAGUACUACUACACAUACUAUUCUUCAAGACAAAAAAUAUUUUUGGACCUAACAUUAAAAGAAAAUAAUGUCAAUACAAUAUCAGAUGCAUCAAAUAUCGUUGAAGGUUCCGGAAGAACUUGUGUUAUUUUACCAAAUAAUACAAAAUUGUAUAUUGAUGAAGCACUUUAUUCUAGCAAAUUCAGAAAAAAUUUACUUAGUUUUAAAGAUAUUCGCUACAAUGAAUAUCAUAUUUAGACAAUACAAGAAAAUAAUAUUGAAUAUCUUUACAUAACUUUUUUAUAUCUGAUUAGAAGCAGAUAAAAGAAAAAUUUUAUGCAUUCUCAUUUCGCAUGUAUUAUGCAUUUAUAAAAAUGGUUGAAUCAAAUAAUGUCACGAAUCAGAAGUUCGUUGACCCAAAAAGUUUUAUAAUUUGGCAUGAUCGACUUGAACAUCCAGGAACUGUAAUGAUGCGUCGAAUAAUAAACAAUUCACAUGAACACCCUUUAAAGAACCAAAAGAUUCUUUUACCAAAUGAUUGUCUAUGUGUAAUUUGUUUGUAAGGCAAGUUAGUCAUUAAACUUUCGAUUACAAAGGUCAAUAUUGAUCCCCAAUUUUUUUUGAAAAAAAAUCAUAGAGAUAUAUGUGGGCCAAUACACCGACCAUGUUGACCAUUUUAUUAUUUUAUGGUAUUAAUUGAUUUUUCUACUAGAUGGUCACAUGUUUGCCUACUUUCCACUAAAAAUGUAGUUUUUGCUAGACUACUUGCUCAAAUUAUAAAAUUACGAGCAUAAUUUUUCGAUUACUUAGUUAAAACUAUUCGCCUUGACAAUGCUGGUGAAUUUAGAUCACAAGCAUUCGAUGAUUAUUGUAUGUCAAUCGGGAUUAUAAUUGAAAAUUCAGUUGCGCAUAUCCAUACAUAAAAUAGUUUGGCAGAGUCGUUUAUUAAACGUCUACAACUUAUUGUUAGACCAUUACUUAUGUAAACAAAACUCCCAGCUUCUGUUUGGGGUUAUGUCAUAUUACAUGCUACAUCAUUAGUUCGUAUUGGACCAAUUGUCUAUAAUCAAUAUUCACCUUUGCAACUGGCAUUUGGUUAUAAACCUGAUAUUUCUCACAUACGGGUUUUUGGUUGUGCAGUCCAAGUCCCUAUUUCAGCUCCACAACGUACUAAAAUGGGUUCCCAACGAAUACUUAUGAUUUAUGUGAGUUUUGAUUCAUUAUCAAUUCUUAGGUAUUUUGAACCUUUAACAGGGGAUUUAUUUGCUGCACAUAUUGCAAAUUGUCAUUUUGAUGAUAUGACUUUUCCAACUUUGGGAAGGAAAAACUACAACCCGAAAAAUAAUGUAAAAUUUUUUGGAAUGAAAUAACUCUAUCUUACUUUGAUCCCCGCAACAAUCAAUGUGAGCAAGAGGUUAUAAAAUCAUUCAUUUGUAAAGAGUUGCAAAUCAAUUACCUGAUGUAUUUGUUGAUACAAGAAAAGUGACAAAGUCAUAUAUUCAAGCAGAAAAUAUUUCAGCAAAAAUUGAUGUCUCUACAGGACAAUCUACUGUUGCAAAUAAAUCUCAAAUACGUCAGAAGCGUGGUCGACCAGUUAGUACAAAACACUAUGUACCUCGAAAAAGAAAGGUACAUGAGAAAAACCAACCAAAAACUUCCAAAAAAGUAACAUUAGAAAAGAUUGAUCAAUCAAAUAUUGAAAAUAUGGUUCUCGAAGAACCACAUGUGCCUGAAAAUAAUGAGAUUCCAAUAAAUUAUAUGUUAUCUCAUAAAUUAUGGGAACGAAAUAAUGUUGUUAUAGACAAUAAUUUCGUCUUCAAUGUGGCUCUUGAUAUUAUGCAAAAUGAUGAUCCUGAACCAAGUCAGUUAAAGACUGUUAAAAUAAAAAUGAUUGGCCAAAAUGAAAAGAAGCCCUACAGGUGGAAUUGAAUUCCUUAGAGAAAUGAAAAAUGUUUGGACCUGUAGUUCGAACACUUGAAAAUGCAAUCCAUGUUGGAUACAAAUGGGUUUUUUUGCGAAAGAGAAAUGAAAAUAGUGAAAUUACAAGAUAAAAAACCCGACUAAUAGCUCAAGGUUUCUCACAAAGACAAAGAAUUGAUUAUGAGAAAACAUAUUCUCCCGUAAUGGACACAAUCACUUUUAGAUUCUUAAUUAGUUUGACUGUUUCACAAAAACUUUAUAUGCGCCUUGUAGAUAUAGUAACUGCAUAUUUGUAUGGUUCACUAUAUAUGAAAGUCCCUGAAGGACUUAAGGUACUAGGAACAAACGAUAGAUGGUCGAGAACUAUGUUUUCAAUUAAAUUGCAAAGAUCAUUAUAUGAAUUAAAACAAAUCGGACGCAUGUGGUAUAGUCACCUUAGCAAAUAUUUGUUGAAUGAAAGUUAUAAAAAUGACGAUAUCUGCUCAUGUGUUCUCAUAAAGAAAACAAAUAGCGAAUUUGCAAUUGUGGCAGUUAUGUUGAUGAUUUAAAUUUAAUUGAAACCCUUAAUGAGGUAUUAAGUUUCUAAUUCUAACUGCCAUUAAUUUAGGCUUUAUAAGUUUGACAAGAGAUUAAUAAUCCGAAUAUUAUAGAUUAUCUGGGUUUACAUGAUGAUUGCAUAAUUGUUCAUUAUUAGAUUUAAUUGUUCUGUCAAAUUACACAACCAGUAUUAUGUGUUAGAUCUAGCAGUAGCUAUGCACUGUGUGAAUUCUUCCACAGUAAAAUUUGAAGUAUUUUCAAAAUUAAUAAAAACAAUUGUGCUUCUGUUAAUACAAUGUGACAACUAUCUUAUUAUAUUUUAGAUAUCUAUAACAUUAUUCAAAUCAAGCUGAUUAUUUUUCUUUGAAUUAUGGCAUACUUUUAUACUGUUACCUAGAAUUUUUUUGGUGAUACUUGAUACUUUCUAGCUUAAUUAGAGAAAGUGUCGAAUAAUUAUAUAGCUUCUUCAAAAUAAGUAAUUCCACCUUACUCAUUUUCAACAGGUUCUCUUAAGUCCAUUGUAUUACACAGGCUUUCAAUCUUUCUAGACAUUAAUUUGCAAUGAUAAAAAUGCAUAAGAUAUAAUUAGAAUAAUUUCUUUAAGGUGAUUCAUAUUGGUCCCAAGAAUCUUGCCAUGGUGUGCGGCAGCUCAUUAGCGUAUUACACUAGAAUAUAAUAGUCCAGCUAGCACAAUGCUCUCUCAAGUUUAUACUUUUUUUUAGAGAUCCCAAAAAAAUGUUUUUCUGCAGCAUUAUGUGUAAUAAUAGUAAGAGAAAUUUAUGCCAGAAAAGGUGAUAGUAGUAUCCAUCUCAACAAAUUCCUCAUCCACUAACGUUUUAUGCAAGUGUUCAAGAGCAUAUAUCUAUGUCAGUAAUCGUUAUGUAAAUUGCCGGAAUUAACUAUUCUAUUAUCUUAUAACUAGCAGGAUAGUAUUAUAUACGUAAUUCCUUAUUAUCAUGAUAGCAUUAACUAACUGGAUGUAGCACACAAUAGAUGCAUUUUUCUUACAUUAACCAUUUGGUACCCAUUUUUUUCAAAAUGCAUUUUUCUCUCUCUUCUUUUCAAUCACACAUUCUUUAUUAAAAUAAUAUUACACAUAAAUAAAAAAACUUUUCAUUAAAAAAACUUUUCCCAUCAAUUUACUAUUCAAAAAUGUAUUUUUACAUAAAAAUGUCUCCUAAACACUCCCUAAAUAUUAACAUCGAUAUUAGUAUUUUUUUCGAAAUUUUCCAAUAUUAAUUGAUGGAAUGGUACAGAGACGAUACCUACUCCAUUUAUGGAGAAUAUUGUAGCCAUUUAAAAAAACUUUGAUGCUACUUUCAAUGCAACUAUUUUCCUGCUCUUUUCUUCUAGUAAUAACGCCGACAAUCCUUACAAAGAAUGGUUUCUAGAAUUCUUGAUUACAUUUGACCUCUCUAAUUUUAACUCUUGGAUCACCCUAGAUGCUGGAAAAUCGGGACAUUCCCCAAUUUCAAUAUUAACUUCCACUACUAAAAAUCAUGGCUUCAGGCAUAGAUUUUUCGUUCCUGAAAUCUCAAUAUCCGUUGCUAUAACUCUUUACUAACGGAAUAUUUGCAAUCGCAAAUCCGUUGCUAAUUUGAGGGUCGCUGAUAGUUACCAACAUAUCCUGCAGUAGGUAAAAAAUAAACAUUUUAUCAACGAAUUUUUCAUAGGUAAAGUGUGAAUCUUUUACCAACGAAAAUUUGAAUCUUUUACCAAUGAAAUUUUCGGUAAAAAUCUUAACCAAUACCAAUCGACUUUUCGUUAGUAAAUCUCUACCAUUACAAUUGGUAAAAAUCAAUGUUUUAAAUAGCCGCAUAUGUGUGAGGCAUGGUAAGAAAAAAUAUUUAUUAUUUUAUAUUUGUUAUUAUUAUUUAUUUAAUUAUUCUAUUUUAUUUUUUUUACUUUUAGCCAACCAAACUGAAAUGCCAAAAUAUUGUUUAACCACUCAUUAGAUCACAAAUUAAUUUAUAGAGAGCAACUCCGAAGACUUUGUUGUGAACUUUCAAUAUGGGAUAAGUGAAUUACUUUUACCAGCGGAUAAUCCGUUUCUAAUUACCAACGGAAUAUCCAUAGUUGAAAUAUCCAAAUGUUAACGAUUACAUAAGGCACAAAAUAUCCCUUGGUAAAAAGAUACUAUCGUUACCAAUGAAAAAUUCGUUGCUGAUUAUCGUAGUUGAAAGUGAAUUAUCAUUACCAACGGAUAAUCCGUUUCUAAUUACCAACGGAUUGAAUCCGUUGGUAAUAUUCGGUACGUCGCCUACGAAUAUUCCGUAGGUGAAAGAUUCAAAUGUUAAAUGGUUACAUGAGACACAGAAUAUCCGUUGGUAAAGAGAUACCAACGUUACCAACGAAAAAUUCGUUGCUGAUUAUCGUAACUGAAAGUGAAUAACUUUUACCAAUGAAUAAUUUGUUUCUAAUUACCAACGAAUUGCAUCCGUUGGUAAUUUUUCGUAGGUGAAAAACUGUUUUUUAGUAGUAUUCUGACAUAAAUUUGAAAAGGAAACCCAAUGAAGCUGGACAUCGAGAGGGAAAUAAGAAGUCCAAUGCUUCAUUUAUCAACUGUGUUCUUAAUGGAACUGAUUCAUCUGAGAGAACUGACAAAAGUGUGCAAUUAAGUGAUGGUAGGAAUGGAGAAUUUGAGAAGCAAGGUGGAUGUGACAUGUUUUUCAAAGUUGGCACUCAGGUAUCUCCAUUGCAGUCGUCCGAUUGGAAUGACAAAAUGACCAGUGUGUAAGAACUAGAUAUGAAUCAGGUUUUGAAAUUUUCACCUGGUGGCUCUCCUUCCUUUGGUGAUGCCAAAGAUGCAGAUGUUUGCACUGAUGAUAUAGGUAGUAGAAAUGGGGUAAGAUUCAAACCCUCAUUUCGUUUGAGUAUAAUUGGAAGUACAAAAUUUCCUUCGAUUACUCAACUUGCUGCAUCAUUCCUUUAUCAAUUGAAUUCAAGGUAACACAAGUUGGGUUCAUCUGUUUACCACAAUAUUGAUCGCUGGGUGAACUAUUAGAGUAAAAAUCUCAAAAGGAAAUAACUAUGAACAUUUUUUCCUACUCUCGUAAUUGAACUUACUACCCAUCAAUUGAAUUUAUACACCAUGAAAACAAACUCAAUUGUUGUAAGAUGAUCGACAUGUCAGGACUUUGAUCACAAGAUUGUUCUUUCCAAUUGAAUAUUGGUCAUGUUGAAAUAGCUCUCCAGUUGUCUUAGAAAAUCGAUAUGAGUUAACUUCAAUAUCCCUUGGAAUUAUGGAGUACUCUUGUCCUCUUUCCUUGGUCUAAAGCCCUGCAUGACAUUUCUAUCCACUGAAGUCCUCGCCUUGUUAUGCUGAUUGAUGGAACCACGUAUACUAGUAGAAAUUUUUGCCUUUAUGAUCAUCAUGUCGAGGCGAUUAGAUCACUCCCAUUUUCAUAAAAUGCGAUGUUCACUGAAGUGCUAGUAUCAGUGAUUUCAGGUGAUUCAUCUUUCUUAAUAGCAUAAUCAAUAGCCAUCCAUCCUAAAUGGAGAAGAAUUCUCUCCUUCCAUACUUUAUAGUUGUCACCCUUUAAUUCAUGAAUAUCACAACGAAUAUAAGAGAAAUUAGAAGGUUGUGAAGUUGCAUAAUAUUAAAAUUUGCUUAUGUUAACUUAAGGCUUAAUAGAUUGCAUGUUUUACCGAUGUAAAUGUGCUAAAAUUGAAUACAAUGACAUAAAAAUUGCCUAUAUGUUGAAUUUUUAAUUCAAACAUAUUCAAUUAUUUUUUAGAUAAAAUUAUCAAAUUAUAUAGUCAAUUCAUAAUUUGUUCAUUAUGAAAUCAAUUUGAUAUUCUAUCCUAAAGAAAUCUUGUAAUAAAACUAUCAAAUUAUAUAUUUAUUCAUAAUUCCUAUGGGAAAAUUAUGAGAUAAUUUGAUAUUUUAUUCUAAUUAAUUAUAUAAAUAUAACAAAAAUCCUCGUGGGAUAAAAUUCAUAAUAUUGAGUAUAAUUAAUUACUAUUUAAUAUCAUUAAUCAUUAUGUGAUCCCCAUCUUAAUAUAUAAAUUUAUUUAAUUAAAGAUGCUGUGGCUAAUAAUUAAAUAAAUAAAAUCAUACUCAUCCCUAGACAUUAUCAUGUUGUGCAUAAACGAUUAACUUAAUAUGAGAAUAGGUCUAAUUGCACAAUAUUAACUAAUAUGUUAUGAUUAUACACAAAAUAUUCUCAUAAACAUUCUAAAUUGAAUAAAAUAAUUUAAACAUAAUCAAUUUAUGCAAACUUAAUAUGAGCAUAAUUCAUAAUUUAAUACAUCCUAAAAUUGCAUAUAUUAUUCCAAACAUAAAUAAUUAACAUAUGCAAAAAUUAGGCCAAGAUAUAAGAUAUGCCCAUAUAUCAAAUAAAUAGGGCAACUUACAAAAAUACCCUUAAAAUUAUGAGGAUUUUGAAAAAUCAUAUGAAAAGUUUUUUAGAAGUAAAAAAUACUAUGUAAAAUUAAAAAGUGACACGAUGCCACUUUUUUAUAAGAGUUGCGUCACUUUUUUUUAGAAAAAGUGACACAAUAUCACUUUUAAAAGUUUUGUAUCACUUUUUUAUUAAAAAAAUUACAUACAAUGUUACUUUUAUUAAAAAGUACUGUUUGUAACUAAAAAAGUGAUAGAAAUUUCAAAUAAGCAAUUGAAAAAAGUGAUAAAAACUAAAAAAAGUGAAAAAUUCAAAAAAGUGGGAAUUACUAAAAAAAAUGACAAAAAUUCAAAAAAGUAACAGAAACUUUAAAAAAGUGACAAAUAUAAAAAAGAGACACAAAUUUAAAAAAAAGUUACACAUAUUCGAAACAAAUGAGAGGGCAUAGAAAUCAAUUGUUAAGUGUCAUUUUCUUAUUAAAAAAUGAUAUAACUAUGUCAUUUUUAUUAAAAGUGAUGUUUGUCAUUAAAAAAGUGAUAGAAAUAAAAAAUGUAAUUGAAAAAAGUGACAAACACUAAAAAAAAAAAAGUGACAAAUUCAAAAAAGUAACAAAAAAAAAGUGGCGAAUUCAAAAAAGUGACACAAAUUAAAAAAGGACACAUGUUGAGCUUGUUCAUCACAUGCACCUUCCAUCUUUGCCUCGUCAACAAUGUGUAAGCUGAAAUCCAAUAGUACCUAUGCUACCAUGAACAUUAUCUAACUAAUAUUUUCUAUACAAUUAGACACAAACUUGAUAAGUAAGGGAAAAGAGGUGUCGACUAUUCGUUACUGAUCGCAUGUAAAUUAAUAAUUGAUUUUAGAUGGUAAUGGACUCCUUAAUUUAUUGUUCAGUGUACUAAAAUAUAUCAUAACUCCAUUGAACAAUGAAUCAAAAGACUACUCAUAUCCACCUAAAUAAAUAUUGGGCACAACCUAUAAUGUGGCCAUAAGACUAUCUGGAUUGUCCAGUUUGAGGCCAUUAGACCUUAAGGGACUAAUCCUAAUACAACCCUUUUUCGAUGGUGAGUCGAGGACUCAAUCAGAGAAGUAUAUGGUGCAAUCACAAUGCUCCGCCCUCACACUGGUGGCUUCAGACACUUACUAGAAAUGAUAUACCAUGUCACUUUUAUUAAAAGUGAUAUUUGUCAUUAAAAAAGUUAUAGAAAUCAAGAAUGUAAUUGAAAAAAGUGAUAAACACUUUAAAAAAAGUGACAAAUUCAAAAAAGUAACAAGAAAAAAAAGUGGCGAAUUCAAAAAAGUGACACAAAUUAAAAAAUGAUACAUGUUGAGCUUGUUCAUCACACGCAUCUUCCAUCUUUGCCUCGUCAACAAUCUGUAAGCUAAAAUCCAAUAGUACCUAUGCUACAAUGAACAUUAUCUAACUAAUAUUUUCUAUACAAUUAGACACAAACUUGAUAAGUAAGGGAAAAGAGGUGUCGACUAUUUGUUACUAAUCACAUGGAAAUCUUCUAAGCAAAGAUUGAGAUUAGUAAUUCAAAAAUUUGUGAGUUUGUAGUAACAUUUGUUUUCAUACAGAAAGAUCUAAUCACCUUUGCCACAAGGGCACCUGAAAUGAAAUUUAACCAUAGACAUAAGAUGCAAAUUAUACACUCAAGAUGUAAAUAAAUACCAAAGCAACAAUGGAACAAUUACAGAAAAAUCAUAAGGUCUACAAUUAUUAUUUUUUAAGAUUAAGCUAUGAAUUUAUACCAGAAAAAGAAAAACAAGAACUCAAUCUUUUUCUUCACAUUCAAAACACCUUAACUAGUCCUCCAAUUCAUGAUUUCACAAUGGAUUUUAGUAUUAUUCAUUAAAUAAAUAUUACCCAUGGUGACGAGGAAUGCAUUGAUGAUGGGGAAUAGCGGGCUAGAAACACUGAAAGUUUAUUGACCAGAAAUCACCAUAAUGAAAUUACAGAUUUAGGACUUGAUUGAGACUGAUUCAUGAAUGAUUAAUAGUCAGAUUUGGUAUGAUAGUGGACGGCGGGAGAAAAAACAAAUCAUUAUAUUAAUUUGCGUGUCCGUUUCCUUGUGGAUCCACACAUUCCUUCACAAGAAUCAACUGAAUGGUAGGGUGCGGUGUUCGUGGAAUUAGAUUAGUUUUUGCCUUGUUUGAUUUUAUUGUAACAGUAAAAUUUACGGUUAAUUAAUGCUAAUGAAAAGAUAAAACUUUAAAAGUGUAUUAAUCAAUUUUUUAAUAAAUGUGCCGUACGGGGCCUAAUUUUACCAAAUAAAUAUGUCGAAGAAUUAAUUGGCCCAAUAGACAUAUAUGUGCCGAAGAAUUAAUUCUGUAAAAAGCAAUCUAGUAAAAGUGUCGGUUAUAGCCCAACUAUUAAUUGCAUAAAGAAAACAGGCUUCAUGAAAAUAACAGGCCCAAUGAGAAUUAAUCCAAUUAAAAACGGGAAUUUUCACGUAUAUCCCAAUAUAGAAAGAUAAUUCCAAAAUCACUAACACAUUUUUUUUAUUCCUAAAAUACUAUAUCUGGCAACAUAAAAUUACCAAAUAACCCAAUUAACAUAAAUAUAGGUAACUGAUUGCAAUCAAGAUACAGACUUAUCUCCAAGUCAUUAAGUAGUUCCUAUAGUGUAAGGAUUUAUUAUAGAAACAAUUGGAUUAUUAAAUAACAUCCUGUUAUAAAAAGAGAGAAAAGAGAAGAGAACAGAGAAAAGUCAAUAAACUUGUGUCUUUUAUUAAGAAUCAAAGUCCUUUAUUUAUAGGGCAGAAUCAGAGUUACAACGAUAAUAAUUUCUAGGGUUGCAGGGGUAUAAUUGUCACUCACCAAUAAACCCUAAUGAACUUUCCUUUUUACAACACUCCCCCUUGAAUGACACAUUAUAAAAUAUGUAUCUCAUUGAAACGUUAAUUAGCAAAAAUCCAAUGGGACAAAAUGUCAACAAAAAGAGUAAAAAUAAUUUGAAAUAAUAAGAUGCUGCCUCGUUAAAACUUUGUCAAGAAAACCCAGUGGGACAAAACUUGAUUGAAGUAAAAAGAAUACGCUACUCCCCCUGAUUUCAAUUCUUGUAUUAAUUCAUCAUUGCCUUAUACAUCACUCAAUUUUUGUGAAAUGCCUUAUGUUGUCUUGUACAAUCUUCAAAUAAUACCAUCUUCGUAAGUGAUACUUUAUCAUUCUUUGAUAACUGUAGUAACAUGAUAAUUCGAAAAUAACUCUUGUUGAUUUUUUCAAGAGUCUCAUACAUAUAAUGUAUUAUUUUGAGGGUAAAUGUCUUGCAUAUUAUAGACAUUAAUUACACGAAGAAUAUGCCUCAUUAAAACCUUAUUAGGAAAAAACCCUGCGGGAAAAAGUCCUAAUGAAGGAAAAAGAGUGCAUUAUUCUUUUGAAUACACUACAAAAGUUGCCUCAUUAAAAACCAUGCCAGGAAAAUCUAAUGGGAUAAAACCUUGGUCAAGGGAAAAAGGGUGCAACGCGUAUUUACUCCCUCUCAUAUUAAUAUCAAUUGAAUUAUGAUUCAGGCAUAUUAAAUCUUUCAAGGUAACAUGGAUAGCCAAAUGUAUUGUCUAUAAUCAAAUUUGUGUCAAAUUCUACGCAUUGUCAGGCUAAUAAAACUGAGACUUGUAAUUAUAUUCACCACAUGAUAAUUUAUUUAUCUAUAUAAGUUUUCACGAAAUUCAUUAUGUAAAAAGUUGUACAUUUCACAUUACGACUUUACUUUUUCCAUUUUCAUUUCGCACAAGUAUACACCUCUUGGUGUUUGAACUGUAUAUCCAGAAACUUCAGGUUUCUCUAGUAAGUUUAAUUUGACUAGGAUCACGUUCAUUUUAUUUGGCCAAUCACUAUUUCGAUAGAUAUAUUUCAACGAAUUUAUUUCAAAUCCUCGCUAUAUGAUCGAGCACAUCAUAUGUAAAACUAUUGUCCACAACAUUUUCUUCUCUUGUUCGAUUCUAUUUCUUUUUUUAUGAUGACAUAACUUAUUGAGAUAUCUCAGUUUUCAAUAUAUCAGGUACCUGAACCUCUUCUGGAAUUUUAUAAUAUGUUAUGUCUAAAUACUCAUAAGUGUGUAUGCCUCAUCAAUGAGACCAUCUUUGUUAAUUGCUCCAUUUGGAGAUUUUUUGUGUUAGAAUCGAAUAUCAUCACGCUCAGGCGUGUUAUUAAAUAUCAUAUUAACUAAUUGUCCUCUGUAACGUUAAUUCAAGUUGGAGCAUUUGAAACUGAUGUGAAAGAUAUUAUUGAUCCAUUUGAUCAGUAUAUGCAUCUAAAUAAAUUAUACUUCGAACUUCUUGUUCGAGUAAUCUUUUGCUAGGAUUUAGAUAAUGAUGCAUUUAUACAUUAUUUUCAACUUCUUAAUUCCUCCCCCUAAUGCCGAGAAAAUUGUCAAAUCAAAUUGAUAAAUAUUUUUACUACGUUAUAAAAUAUCACAAUUUGUAAUAAGGGUUCAUCAACACAUUUAUUCUCAACAUUCAUUACUUUUCAUCUCAGUGCAUUGUGGUGGAUCAAUUUUAUACAUACUGCAUUAUAAAAAUAAUUAGAUGAAAAAAUUAGGCUACGACCAUAAGCCAAUUUUAAUAGGGAAAACUAUGAUAUUGGCAAGAUGCGUAAUAACAUUCCCUAGAUGGAAAUAGGAAAUACAUUAUUUUCAAUUAAAUUAAUUGUAGACGUUUAAUAAAGAAACUUGUUAAAUCAUUUAUCAACAUCUCAAAAAGAACUCAUUAAAAUGUUGAGAAUUAUACCUACUAGCAUUAACAAGACACAGUUUUGAUUAUUUAAUCUGAAAAUUAUGCUCAUACUUUAAAAUUUGAGCAAUAAUUUCUCAAACUUCAGGUUGCGAAUAUCAUGCAAUCAUCUACUAUUUGUAUCAAAUUUAUUAUAUACAAAUAAUAUUCAGAUGAUCAACGUGGUGGGUGACGGGGCCCAUAUAUCACCCUAAUUAAUUUUCAGAUAUAUAGAAAAUUCAAUCCCAAUUUUAGCUAGUGGCCUUUAAUGAUCAACUGUCGAUAAUGAGAACAAAUGAUACAUAGAAAUUUAUAGAAUUAAAUAAUCUUCUAGUUCUUGAUUUUGAUUUCGAUCAUUGUUGAUCCAGUGAUGGUCCAACUGGUCAUGCAAUCAAACUGAACUUCUGGUUCAAUGUAAGAUAUAAUCCAAUUAUUUAAUUUCGAAGAAUAUGAUUAAAUAUUAUAUAAUCAUAUAAUGAUCAAUGUCCACGUGACAUAAGUCGUAUACUUUCCUCCAGGGAUAAACAAAAAUUCAAAAUGAUAUAUUCUUCGAAAACUUGCUACUUCGAGAGCACAUUAAUUAUUGCUUCUUCAAGAGCAAUACAUAAAUAUUUUUCUGAAAUAUUGAUAUAUACCUAGUUUUGAUUAUUUACAAGUGAUAGGAUAAUAUUCUUCAGGAAUAUUGACACAUUUAAAUUAAUCAUAACAUUUUUCUAAAUUAUUAAUAUGCAUAAAUUUGUGCUUCUUUAGGAACACAAUACUGUAUUCUUCAAGUAAACUAGUAUAUAUUAUUUUUACUUCUUUUGGAACAAUAUAUCAAUAUUUUUCUUAAAAAUAUUGAAAUUAUAACAACGUGCUUUCUAAUAGCAUAUCAUUCUUUGAGAAUAUUGAAUCACCAAAUAGUAUGCUCUUCUAGAGCUAUAAAAUUGUUUUGAAUUAUUUGUGUUUCUACAAGAACACAACGAGAUAUAAUUCUUCAAAAUGUGUGCUACUUCAAGGGCAUGUCAUGUUUUAUUAUUAAUUCUUCAAAAGAAAUAUAUCAACAUUCUUCUGAAAUAUUGAAAGUUAUACAAUAAUUUAUUCUUCAGGAGUAAAAACACAAUUUUCUAAUGAUGCUCUUUGGGAGCAAGUAAAAUAUAACUAGAACAUUAAUAAUAAUAUGCUGAUUCAAGAGCAAAAAUAUUUUAUAGUAGACAAAUAUACGAGUAUUAAAAUCAUGUAUGAUAAGGGUAAGAACGAGAUAAUUAAUCAAACGAUAAACAAUAGUAAUUGACAUUUAGCGAUGAACCUAGUUUAAUAUAUGAUAUUUAUACAAUCACAAACUGUAAUAAUUAAGUGCCUACUUUGUUUAAUAUAAACUUAAAAUUUGUCACCAAAAUUUAACUAGAUACCGUGACAUAAUUAUGUAUACAUAUACGUGUAAAAUUAAUAUUACCUUCUAUCGAAUAUGAAGAUGAAUUGCAAACUUGCAUAGAUAGCAUUGUCUCAGAACCUCCAAAAAGGUACAAGAAGGAAUUGAUGAUAAAUUUGGGUGGCUGCAACCUUGGAUAUCAAUCAUUAACCACGAAGGAGAAUUACACACAUGGUGGUCACACAUCUUGAAAAUGGUCAUGCACAUAAUUUAGAUAAAUACGUCUAUUAGUAAUAUGAUGCUCUUUUGGAGCAAUUAAUAUUCUUUUGGAAUAUUUUUAUAGCAUGGGUUGUGUUUUUUCGAGAAUAUCAACACUAUAUUCAUUUAAAAUAAAUAUAAUUUAAGUUAUACUUCUUCAGAAAUAUUGAGUUAAUAUUCUUCUGGAAUAUUGAAAUUGUAAUAUCAUGUUCUUCUGGAACAAUUAAUAUUCUUUUAGAAUAUUAAUAAUGUUGUGCUACUUCAAGAGUACCAACAAACUCUUGUAAAAAUAUUAACUCUAUAGGAGUGUUAUCAUUAUAAAAUAUUUAUCUGUAUGAAGAUUCGCUCUUCAAGAGCAAUAAGCAUAAUAUUCUUCUAAAAUAUUAAUUAUAAUGUUGUGCUACUUCAAGAACAAAAUAUUUGUAAUAAACAUAUUUAUGAUUAAUAUUCUUUUGGGAUAUUAAAAAAAAUAUUGUUCAUGUAAUGUUGUGCUACUUCAGCAACAACAAAAUACUCAUCUUUGAUAUCGAUCUAAGAUAUUUCUCAAAUCAAGAAAUAAACUAAAUUUUAUAAAAUCCGCUCUUUGAGAGAGAGUAAUAUUCUACUAGAAUAUAACCAUCAUAUGAAAUUUAAUAACCAUGAAUUUUGGAUUCUUCAGGAAUAACAAAAUAUUCUUCAUGACCAAUAUGUCAAUGUUGUGCUACUUCAGGAGUAACAAUAAAAUAUUUGUAGUAGACAGAUCUACAAAUAAUAUUUUCAACAAUUAAUCCGUAUUUGUAAAGCUUUAUUAUUGUUAAUUUAUAUGAAGUACACGAAAAUCGAACAAACAUUUAUAUAUAUAUAAAUUUCAGACAUUAUAUUUUACCAUAUAAACAUGAUAUGAAUUUAUAUGGAAAAAUUAAUUACCAAACAUGUAUUAGGAAAAAAAUCUCCAUACAUAAAAGUUAACAAAAAUGGCUACAUCUUUUAUUAACUAAAUUUUUUACCAAUAUGCAAAAAAUACUAAACAUGCAUGUGAAUUUCACAUAGAUAGAAAUUAAAUGUAGAACUAAUAUGUGACAAAUUCAAAAGACAGUAUUAACACUGAAUAAUGCAUGAAAAAAAUGAUUGAGUAUGAAUCAAAAGACAUGAACUGAUAUGUGUACAUAUUACACACAUAAACGUGAAUUAGAAUUAAUAUGUAUACCAACGAAAAGUAAAGGAGAAUGAACAACUUUGUUAUGAUGUACAUGUAUAUCGAAAGAAUUCACAUGACACCAAAUUAAUUUUGGUACAUAUGAUAAAUAUUUAUACUUAUAAAAAAAUUACCCCAUUCACUAAACUUUUAAAAAUUAAGCUAUCGUGCUGACAACGUGUUAUAAAAAGAGAGAAAAGAGAAGAGGAUAGAAAAAGUCAAUAAACUUGUGUCUUUUAUUAAGAACCAAAGCCCUCUAUUAUUAGGGCAGAAUCAGGGGUACAACGGUAAUAAUUUCUAGGGCUGUAGGGGUAUAAUUGUCAUUCACCAAUAAACCCUUAUGAACUUUCCUUUUUACAACACAUCCGUGUGUAGUUGGAGGUAUAAUUCUAAAAUCCCUUUUUAUUAUUUUUGAAAUUUCUAUUUCAGAUCACUUCACAUUACUAAAUAAUGAAAAUUCAUGUCUGGCAAUUUACAGUCUUAUGUUAAUUUUUAUUUUUAUUUUUUUCCUUUCCGAAAUGUAAGGCAAUACAUUGUAAGUGUUGCUAUAAUAUAACUUGUAAUGUCUUAACAUUUUUAAGUAUAUUAUUGUUAUGUGUGGAUAUAAUUCUUAUUUUUGUAUCAUAUUGUAUAUUCUAUAGCAAUUAUGGAAUGUCUAAAGGAGCGAUAUUAUGUAAUUUAUGAAAAAUGGAAUGUUGCGAAUCUUGAUAUGUUCUUAUAUGAAUCUUGAAUAAUUAGUGGUUGCAUAUAUAACAUUUUGUUACAUCCAUCAAUCAUAUUUUGUUAUGAUGUUAUGUCAAAUUAAUAAUAUAUAUGGUAGAUUGUUUACUAUAUUUUUGUCAGGUUUUGUGAAAUUGUAUUGUAUAUUAAAAUAUAUUACACUUGGUACUUUGACAACUUACAUGUAAUAUAUUUUGUCGUGUCAAUCAAGGGUAUUCUAAGACUGCUAUUUGAUUUUAUAUUUGACUAAAAAAUACUAUAAUCUUUGAAUUGUAGAGAGAACAUACAAUCUUUGAAUUGUAGAGAGAACAUACUGGAAUUGAUGCUCAAAAUUUGGAGUAAAAGGGACUGAGAUGAGAAAUCUUUGGGAUGCUUUGAAAUUUUUUGGAUUAUCAUAGCUUUGAUUUUGAACGUAUUGUUAAAGUUUGGGGUCCAUCUUAAUAAGGUCAACCUUGUUAAGAGGAGUGUCCCAAUCCUUUAUAUAUUGGUCAUUGUUUCGGUAUUUUACCGAUGUGGGAUUAUAUUCCCUUAACAUGCCCCCGCAAGAUGGUGGCUCGUUUGAGCAGACCAAUCUUGAAAUCCGUGUGCUCAUUUUUAGAGACUUAAUCGGAUCGAAUUGCUCGUUGGAGCUUAAUGGGCUCUGAUACCAUGUUAAAACUUGGGGUCCAUCUUAAUAAGGUCAACCUUGUUAAGAGGAGUGUCCCAAUCCUUUAUAUAUUGGUCAUUGUUUCGGUAUUUUACCGAUGUGGGAUUAUAUUCCCUUAACACGUAUGUGGUACUAUGAUUUGAGAAAGUUUGGAUGGUUCCACAUUACUUUGGGAUUUUUAGAUGAUAAAUUUGGUGUAUUUGAUUAGGUGUGUUUAGAGGAGUGAUAUAAACUGGUUAACUAAUUAAUUGUAGGAGUGAAGUUGUUUAUGAUAUUUUACUUUUACUUACUAGAAUACAGUAUUUCUAGGAUAAAAAAAUGUGAAAAUGUAAAAUUUGAAUUAGUAAGUAAAAUGGAGUAAGACGUGCAAUUUCAACAUUCAAAUAUCUUAUAACCUUUUUUUUUUUUUUUUUAAAUGGACCAGACUCUAUAUAUAUAUAUAUAUAGUCCUUAGCCCAAUAAUUGACUAAUUCAAAUGAAUGCAAAUGAGUUACGUUCAUUCCUAAAAUUAUAGUCAACCUCUAACGAGUUGAAAACAAUCCGACUCCAAACCCACCUCAAACUCAACAUUUCCUCCAUCAAAACUCAAGUUUGAAAACAUACAGAGUCUAGAAAGGUGAUUUUAUGGACAAAUCUGAAUUUAUUUUCAGAAAAGGAUUUCGACCAAAAUUCAUAUUUUUACGUAUUGCUCCAUAAACAUCAAGGCAGAGGUAAAAUGAAGCUCUAAUACCAAAGGUAAGACAAAAAAAUCAAUCAUAAACAAUUAUAAUGUAAUGAAUUGGAUCGAAAUAUCGAAAAACCUGUGGAUCGAAUCCAUACCUCCGACAAUUGAUGUUGAUUCAACACUCUUAAUUGAUGGUGUAUAUUGUAUUUUCCAGUGCCGGAGGGGGGGGGGUGCUGAGCUUGAGUAUCAAAACCCAUCUAUAUAUAUAUAUAACCAAAAUCCCCAUCAAAUUAUGGCUUCAGUUACCAGCCUUGAUUGUCCAAUUGAUGGGCAAGUUUUUGAAAAACGUUGGACCACACUGAGUGAAGAAAUGGAACGAUUACACAAUGUUGUACCAGAUUCCUCCUAGGAACACACAAUAACUAGCGGUGGACUUACGAUUAUCUAUACAACUAGCUCACUUUGCAUUUGAGUAAGCUUCAAGCAACGAACCUAAAAUGAAGACCAAAGUUUAGUAGUAUGCUUAAGAUAUAUUAGAUUUUGUUUGUAGGCCUACCAAUACAUUCAGAGUUAAAAUAAUUACACAUCAUCAUAUCAUCAAUUAAAUCGAGACACGGUUUGAAUAGAACAUGUAAUCAAAGAUCUUGAUUGUAUAACACCCACAAUAUCUAGAUUGCUCGGAUACCAAUUAUUGAAAAGAGAACGAGAAUUACCCAAAAAAAAAAAAAAUCCUUAAUUUAAGAAACUGAGAUCAUACUAGAUAUUCACAUAUAUGUUAUAUUCUUGAAUAUAUAAAUUUAGAAUUUUCCUAAAUUCGAUAACCAAAUUCAUGGCUAGAUCACGAACUGUCAUCUUUUUAUUUCAAGAACACGAUGCUUCCAACUUUCAAAUCUUCUAUGAUAUUUGUUAUAAAAAAGUGAGAUGGGAAAAAAAAAAAGACUGGUAGGGAAGGAGAAAUUAACCAUAUCAAAGAUUAUUACAAGAGACGCUACCACUCCGAAUAAUAUAAUGUUAUGAAACCUUAAUAUGUAUUGUAUAUGCAAUAAAAUAGGUCCAUAUCCCGAGUGGAGCCCCUACACCACCGUAGGGAUUAGUGGUGGGCUGCAGGUCAGGCCUCUCAGCCUGAUCACUCCGCUACCUUUUUCUCAUAAUUUUAUAGUUUCACCACAUAUGUUGCACCACCAGAUUUCCGUUUUGGGUCAAAUAAAAUUCAGGUCACCAUGUUUUAACAAUAUUCUUUAAAGUCAAGAGUACAAAUGAUCCUUUCAAGAUACUCCAUAUGUACAAGUGUCAUCAUUAAACUAUUUAUGCAAUAAAGACAAAUCAUAAUCUCAAAUAAUAAAUUAGUCAACACGACAAGUUUCUAAUACAAGUCAGACCUUAUAUAUCAAUAUUGAACAAGUUUAUUUAUGAUCAAAAUAUAAGUAUAGUGUACUUCUUCACUGAAACACCCACUUAUAGUAUCACUACUGAUCAUUGACAUUUUUAUUCAAAUGCUCUAUAUUAAAUAAAAUGCAAUAACACUAAAUAUAUAAAAAUAAUGUGUUGUUUAAUAAAAUUUUCAUUUUACAACUCUGAAAAACUAUAUUAUAUAGACAUGCAACCCAGUGAUUAUCCUCCUUGGGAGAAAGAACACUUCUUAGAGUUGGAAAAUUCUUCCAUAUGGAGGAAAUGACUGAUUUCAUGGACUUGAGGAUUUGAGUAAAGAAAUUGAGCUCUUGUAUUGACGUUGUCACCGUUAUCUUUCUUCUAGUCAUCAUUAGUCACUACUUCUUUCACUAGUUUGACUUGACUGACGAUAAACGAUAGGUUUUCCAGUCUUUGGGAGAAGGGAUUCAACUUGGUCGUGUUGUUGCUUCCCAUCUUGGCGGCGCUUCCUACAAGAGGUGUCAUUUUGUUGAUCCAUGAUUUUUUUUGGCAAAUAUUGGCCAACAUAGAGUGAGUUGUAACUUGUCUAGGCAACAGAAUCUUGCUUCUUUUACUUUCUCUCCAUCUUAGACUCCACAAAAGUUAUUUUACUUAAUGCACUUAGUUCAACUUUAGCGAUCAAGUAUAUCUAAUUAAAGUCCAUAUUUUCCGUGUAAUUAUCUAUAGAUUGUGUUCCCUUUAUUUCUAAAUUUCUAAUUCUAUAUUGUAUUUCUCCGAGAGUUAUGUAUAUUUUAUUUAUUCUAUUAUUUGUAUUGAUUAUUCUAUCCUAAUCUUUCUAUAAUUUGCUAUGGUUUUUACGUUUAUUAUGAAUUUCUUCUUUUAUUCCUAAACAAUUAUUACACUAAAUUUUCAAACAAUUUUACAUUAAUUUCUAUUCUUAUGCACUAGGUAUAUUUUACAUAUUUUAUAUUUAUCCAUCAUUUAUGGACACAUUUUUAAAAAUUCUAUCUCUUCUAAACUACUGUUCUAUACCUGUCUUCAGAACUACUUAAUAUUUCUAAAUUGUCUAAUUCCUCAUUUGUAUGAAUACUAUAUACAUACAAAAUUCAUUACCUGAUAAUUUUAUAAUGUUGUACUAUAUUUCUUCAAUUAUCAUAUAUUUAUUUAAAAUUUCUCUAUUUUUAUUUUUAUUAGUGCAUUUAUUAGCAAAAGGUUUGGGUUCUCCACAAAUAUAACAUUAUAGUCUUUUCAACUUUUUGGCUUUUUAACAUGCCUUUAGUAACUGGGUCUUUUAAUUUUGUAAUAUGUCAUACUCGGUCUAAUAUUAUACUUUCUUAUUUUGGCAUUUUCUUUUGUAUUUAUGAUUUUUUUAAUAUUUUUUAUAUAUUUUUUUUCUUUCUUCUUCUAUAAUCAUAUGCCUAUCGUAAUGAAUAAUUUAAUUUCUACAUUUAUUUUCUAAUUAUUUCUUUUAUACAAUAAUUUUUUAAUUUAUCAGUGAUUAAUUAUGUAUUAGCACUAUAAAUUUUUCGUUUUAUUCCAGGUGCUGAUUCUACAUCAUUUUCUAAUCUUAUCAUUCCAAGGUGAUAAUAUCUUUCUAUAUAAUCUGUGAAGUAUAGAUACAUCUAAUGCUAAUCUUGCUACACUAGCUAGUCUUUCAAAGUCUAAUAAAAAUAGUUUUGUGUACUUCAUGUUGCUUAUAAUUAAUUUUUCUAAUUCUUCAAAGGCUUUGUUUUGUUCAUAUGAUUUAUCUGUUCUAGGGUUAGAUCAUAUAAUUAUUUCUCUAUUAAAGCUAGUAAUCUUUCUUGGAUUUUCUCCUUUGAUCAUUAUUAAUCUAAUUUCUUUCGACUUUAGACUUUUGGCUGUAACAUAUAUGUAUAAUGUCAUCUUUCCUAAAUAAGUUUCUAAAUAAGCCCACAUUUCUUCUAAAGUCCUUUAUGUAGGUACACUAUUAUAUGCCUUAAUAACAUAAUUUUUUCCAUUUAGUUAUUGUAUUAGGUUUGUCUUGAGGUUUACAAUUAUUUAUUUCUAAAAUUAAUCAUCUAUCACUUGCUAUAGGUAAACUACAUUCUCCUUCUACUUGUCUUUUUCUCAAACUUUUAUAUUAUGUGUAAUAUCCCGAAAUUUUAGUAGAAUAGAAUUUAAUUUUUUGGUAUACUAUAUUUUAAUGUUUUGAAAGUUUAGGGACUAAAGUAUAUAUAAAGUAAAUUUCAAUUGGGUCAUAUAUUUAGAUAAAUAUGACCGAGCAAUAAUAAAUAUAUAAAUAUUGGGCUCGUUGGAUAGAUCAUAAUUAAAAAUGCAUAUUAGGCUCGAUAAAAAGUUAAUUUGGAUUAGCGGAGCCUAAGUUAUUGAAGUCGGAAGAUAUAACCUUAAAUUAUAUUUUAAAUGAGUUUAAAAUUAGAAAAAAAAAAAAAGAAGAUAAGAGAGAGAUAAGGAACCACGAGAGAGAGAGACAGAGAGAGAUGAGUUGUUUAAAUUGAAAUUCAAAUUGUUUGAAAUACUGCCACGAGUAGUCGAGUAUGGAAAUAUAUUGAUUUUUGGGUGAUAUGAUUGAUUGGCAAGACUUUGUCUAAUAUUUUGUUUCAAAUACGAUUUCCUCAACUUUUAUCCCAUUUAACCACUAUAUCUUACACGUUUCCCACUACAUGCCAUCUGUUGGGAAUUAGGUUAUUGUUGCCCAUAUAUAUCUAUACAAAUAUGAUAGAGGGGACAAAAAAAUAACACGAUGAUCACAGUAGAAGCAGAAAAAAGGGACGUGAUUCUUAUUUUGUCUUUCAAAAAUCAAAGCAAGUUCACAAGGUAGGAUAUUGAGAUCUAGUGUUUUUCUAACCCAUUUAAAUAUUUGUUUUUCAUGUUGAUGAAUUUCAUACACAUAAAAGUUAAAGUUAUAAUAUGAUAUACUAUGAUAUGAAUCAUAUGACCAUUUCGGUAUAAUGAUAUAAUAUGAUAUGAGCUCUUACCGAAUUUAAAGAUUUAAGACAGUAUAAUAUUCUGACACAUGUUUUAAAAUUUUUAUAAGGGAUUGCACCAUAAAUUUUUAUAUCCUACUGAGUAUUCUCAUGUACUCACCAUUUUUCUUACACCUCAUAGCUUAGAUCGGGUCGUGUCGGAGCACGAUGGUUCGAUGGUGUGGUUGUGCCUCGUUUUGCUAAAUAAAGAUGUAAUUUAGAACGUAAUUUUAUUUCUUUUAAGUUUAUUGUAAAAGAUGCUUAUUUCAAAAAAAAAAAAUUAAAAAAAUACGUACAUGUUUAUUCGCAGAUGAACAUAUGUAGUUUGCAUUUUAAAUAAAAUUUGAAUUAAAUAUUAUUUCUUCUACUGAUUUCAUUGUUUAAAAGUAAUUGGUUAUGUAGCCUUGUUCAUGUGAAAGAUUAAUGUUAUGUACUUUUUCGUGACCUUCCCAGAAUUCAUGAAAAUUUAAGGUCAAAGCAAUGAUUCCUUACUUGUCACAUCACGCUUUCAUUGUCUCCCUUGGGUAUACUACACGACAAAUUGGAGACUUUAAACAUGGUUGACUGGUAGACAUAUCCAUACAUUCAAUAUAUGUCUCAUAGCCUUGUGAUGUAGUGUGUGAAUUCUUUAAUAAAGUAAGACAACUUUUGGUAGUAUUCUCUCAUUUUGGAGCCGUGUCCCAAGUCUUGAAAAAAGAGAAAAGCAUAUUAACUUUGAUUGGGAAUUUCGCUUAUUCUAUGUAAAUAUUUGGAAUUCAUCUCAUAUAUAUAUAAUGUCAGAUGGUAAUUGUUUCACACGUGAACAAUUAAAAGAACGGGUUUUUUCCUCUAAUCAUUAAAUUGCAAAUUUUAUGUGUUCUUUUUUUUUUUUUAAUGUACACGUGGAAGAUAUGGCGUAGGAAAAUAUUUUUUCUUUCCUUUCUAUUGAUUAAUAUGUAUUUCUUUUUAUGCAAAUUUGAGUAAAUUAUCAUUUCAUAAUUAUCUAUUUUAUUGUGCCACGCUAUUUAAAUUUACAUGAAAAUUUUGGUAACGAUUCAAACCUUUAAUUAAAUUUGGGUCGUUGCAUUUUAUCUUCCCAUUCAUAUAAUUUUUUAGGGUAAAAAGGGUACUUCCCUGCAAUAUCAUAUUUUUUUAUUCAUAAUCUCUUUUCCUUUUCUAGAUUUUUGGUCUGUUUUCAUUUACUUUCAACAUUCUUUUGAUCUUCCUCUAAUAAAGCUUUUAUUUCUACUUCUUUGUACUUUCCAAGAUUCAUAUAUUAUUCAAUAUCUAUAUAUCUAAAAAAAAUUUCAUCAUCUUCGCUUUCGUCUUCACUUUGCACUUCUUCACUAUAUAUAUAUAGUGAAGAAGUGCAAAGUGAAGACGAAAGCGAAGAUGAUGAAUUUUUUUUUAGAUAUAUAGAUAUUGAAUAAUAUAUGAAUCUUGGAAAGUACAAAGAAGUAGAAAUAAAAGCUUUAUUAGAGGAAGAUCAAUAUAUAUAUAUAUAUAUAUAUAUAUAUUCUUCUUUCAUUCUCAUCUUUUUUUUCUUUUGUCUAAUAAUUAUAAUUUUCAGUAUAAUACUUAGAGUUCCAUUACUAUUUUUAUAAAUGAUAUUAUACAAUAUUGGUUUUUUCAAAAAAUUUCUUUGUUCCAAUCUAAACCUGCAUUUAUUUUUGAAGAGAAUUUUUUUAGCUAGGAUGGUUUUUAUACCUUUUAGUUCUAAUAAAAUAAUUAUUUGAUUAUGUUCUAAUUUAUAAUUAGUAGUGCUAUUUUCACUAAAUCUUCUUAUAAAUCUGUACAAAUUAACAAAUUAUCUCAUCUCUUUUCCUUUUUGUUCUAGUAACAUAAUUGUUUGAUCAUUUCUAAUGUAUAAUUAGUAUUGCUAUUUUCACUGAAUCUUCCAAUCAAUCCUGUACAAAUUAACAAAUUAUCCGCAUCCCUUUUCAUUCGAUAUUCUUUAGAUUUCACUCAUAUUUUAAUGUCUAUAUAAAAACUUUUUGUUUUAACUAAACAAUAUAGUGUAAGGUAAAUUAUAACUCCUUUAUUAUUCAUAUCUAAUUUUAUUCUUCCUAAUAGUCCUUAUUCUAAAAUUGUAAAUCUGUUAUCAUAUAAACAUAUUUAUAUUUUAGCUCCUAAAUUUUCUCUUUGUAGUCUUUUUACUACUACUAUAUUUAAUCCUAAAUGAGGUCGUUGAAGAUUUUUAUUAACAAUUUCUUUAUACGAUUCUUUUUCUAUUAGUUUUGAAGAUACGAAUUGGUCUUCGUGUGUACAUGAAACAUGUCUUUCUACAUAAUAUUGCUAUAUUAAAGACUUGUUAAAGAUAUAUUCCUUUCUUAUAAAUGUCUAAAACUUUUUCAAAUUUUUAACAUAUUUUGUCUAAAAGUUUUUAUCUAUUCCUCAACAUCUAUUAAAGAUUCUGAUCUUGUUUCCGUUUCUAUUUUUUUCUUAACUUAAUGAUCUUAUUAAAGGAUUGCCUAACAUUCUACUACAAGCCACAAUUUGUUUUCCUUUAUUCAAUACGUAUAAAUCCACUUAGUGUUCUUAAAUCUACUAGAUUCUUUAGUUUUUCCCAAGUCUAAAUUUUCUAACUUAUUUAUUAAAAUGUCAGUCUUGUUUAUGAGUACCUAUUGAUUUUUCUUUUUCUAAUUUUUGUAUUCUACUUUCUAAUUUGUUGAAGCUAAUCUUUUGUAAAUUAUUACAAUUUUCUUGUAAAUUUUCAAUCUGUUAUAGAGAUUUUUCUAUGGAAUUUUUAUAUAUAUUUCACUUGUGUUGCAAAACUUUAUUUUUUGAAUUUCACAAUUUUGAUUUCUAAUAUAUUCUAAAUUAUUUUCUAAGGUCUUUAUGUUUUUACUUAUUGCUCGUUGAGAUAUUUAUUUCUAAUCUUUCUCAUAGAUUUACAAUUAAAUCUACAAUAUUAUUAACUGUUUAUCUUCAAAACGUAAAAGAUGUUAAAACUUCUCUCAACAUAUGCAAUUGUAACUGGUACAUCAGUAAUAUUCUAUAGACAAAUCACACAUUUAAAAAACAACCGAUAUUUUUAUAUAGUCUAAAACUUCGUUCACCUUUUUGGUGUCUUCUAACAAACGAUUUUUAAUCAUUUGUUGCUUAGAAAAUAAAUUUAUGUUUAUAAAUAUCAUAAUCCUUGUCAUGCUUAAUUUUUUUCAAGCUUAUUACAUCAACACCUCAAACAAUUAUCUUCUUAGUUUGCAAAUUUUUUUAAAUCAAACAAAAAAUCAAAAGCAUUUUCAUAUUUUAAAAAUUGUUCAAAGAUUAACCUAGGAGAAGAAAGAACUUAAUCAACUAUAGAUAAUAAAUAAUAAACUCUAAAAGAUUUCUCAGCAUAAUGUUUUAUCUCACCUUUAACAUUUUGAUCAAAGUGCUUCUUUCUAUGAUAAUACAUGAAAUGUAGAUUCAACUUCAACUCAAGCAACGAUAUCUUUAAGAGUAAUCUUGUCAGAUUCAAAUUCAGUUUCUCUACAUAUUUCAAAGAAUAAAAUAUGUUCUUUUAAAGUUGAUAAUAGUAACGCCAAUAUACAUAUUCUUAUUUUGUAACAUUUUUCUUACUCUAAUAAUGGUACACAAUGUAUUACACCAAUAAUCAUGUCAAAUAAGAACUCAAAAUUCUUAUUGUCAUAAGAUAAAUUUUUAGCAUCCCCAAAUAUCUUAGCAUCAUCACAUGUUUUCCCUAAGUGUCUUAAAGCAGCUUUUAUUUCUGAUGAUUAAAUUUUAUUGCUUUGGCAUUUCCAACUUAGCGUUCUUAAUGUGUUUGUGAAAGUGCCUUAAGUCUUAGAUCUUUCACAUUAUCCCGAAGAAUUUUUCAUUGCUUUGUAGAAGAUGAAAACAAUAUAUGUACAAUUUCAAAAAACAUUUAGCUUCGAUACAAAAAAUUGUCAUAUCACAAAGUUCAAUAAUGUAAGACCCCUUUUUUGUGUGAAAUUUUCUUUUAUAUGUACACACACACACACACACACACACCCCUUGUAGCCGAAUAAGGAAACAAAGCAACAAAUAGAAACAAACGGUGUAUGGAAACUCUAUUCUUAUUCUUCUUCUCUUUGGCACUUCAUUUUAAGUUGGAGGGAAAAUAUUAAAAGAGCGUAACUUUGACAAAAUCUAUUGGACCUUGAUUGCAAGAUUCAAUGGUAAAUAUAACAGCCUACUCUUGGUUGCUCCAAACAAAUGGGGUGCAUAUUACAUUAGAUUGCACAAUUUCUUAAACAAAAUGACAAUCCUCGUAAGAUGUUUAGUUCGUUCAUAUAAAGCAAUCGUAUAACUUCUUGAUUGUCACCAAACAAUUUGGGUGAAGAAAAAGUGGCAAGCCCCAAAUCUCCAAGUAAUGUAGGCAAUCAAGUUACUUUACUAGUGAUUGAGGACAUAGUGUGAUCUAUGAAGCUUCUGCAAUAGAGUUCUCAAUAACAUUCAAUUGAUUGCUUUUCAUCUCACUAACUUACCCCCAAAAGAUGUAUAAUAUCCAAUUGUAGAUUUGCAAUUAGAAUCAUUAUAUGCAUCAAUGUCUUUCUAGAUCCUGUCACAAUACACACAAGAGGUAAUUUUCAUUCAUACAUUCAAUAGGUGGGUUACAGAGUUUAUAUAGGAAAAAAAACUCCUAAUUUUGGAUAAUCACAAAUCUGUAGCUAAUUAAUUGAUUCUACACAUAAUUGCCUAAUUCUAUUCCCUUAAAAUGAUACAAUUAUAUAUGAUUUAUGUUUCUAGAAAAAGAUUUCUAACAACUCACGCCAACACUCCCCCUCAAGUUGAUGCAUACAGGUCUCUGAUGCCCAACUUUUCAAGUGAGUUGUGAAAAUACUUGCUUGAAACUGCCUUUGUGAGUAUGUCUGCUAGUUGAUCCUCGGACUUUACAAAAGGGAAACGAAUUGUCUUUGCUACCAAGUUUUACUCGAUGAAGUGUCGAUCUAUUUCUACAUGUUUUGUUCUAUCAUGUUGAACCGGGUCAUGAGAUAUGGCAAUGGCAGCUUUGUUGUCACAGUAUAGAUCCAUCUCAGUAAUAGGAGCAAAGCCAAGUUCAAUAAGCAGUUUUUUGAUCCAGAGGAGUUCACAAAGUCCUUUUGCCAUUCCACGAAACUCCGCUUCAACACUCGAUAAUGAUACCACUUUUUGCUUCUUACUUCUCCAUGUAACAAGAUUACCGCCUACAAACAUGAAGUAGCCUGAGGUAGACCUCCUAUCUGAAAUGUUCCCAGCCCAAUCUGCAUCUGUAUAGCCAUCAACUUUCAAGUGAUCAUUCUUUGAAACUAUCAGUCCCCUCCCUGGUGAGGACUUUAGAUAUCGAAGUAUUCGAGUUACAUCAUCCAUGUGGUCUUUGCUAGGGCUAUGCAUAAACUAGCUAACUACACUUACGACAUAGGCAAUAUCUGGACGAGUAUGAGACAAGUAUAUAAGUUUGCCAACUAAUUUUUGAUAUCUCCCUUUAUCCGUUGGCACUUGAUCUGAACACUCACUCAGUUUAAGGUUUUGAGUGAUAGGAGUAUCUGCUGGUUUACAUUCCAACAUCCCCACCUCAGCCAGCAAGUCUAGCACAUAUUUUCUUUGGGAUAGGAAUAUGCCUUGUCUUGAUCUAACCACUUCAAUUCCCAGGAAAUACUUGAGGCCUCCCAAGUUCUUUAUCUCGAACUCAGACGCCAGCUGUUUCUGAAUUGUGGAUAUCUCUUCUUUAUCAUCCCCUGUGAUAAUCAUGUCAUCCACAUACACUAUCAAUACAGUUACUUUGCCUCCAUUAUGCUUAAGAAAGAGUGUAUGGUCUGAGUCACUCUGUUUGAACCCAUAUUUCUUCAUUGCCACACUAAAUCGUCCGAACCAUGCUCGAGGUGACUGCUUCAAGCCAUAUAAUGCUCGCUGCAAUUUACACACGACAUUUUGUGAAGACCCUGUAUAGCCCGGAGGGAGGUCCAUAUAGACUUCUUCUUCAAGGUCGCCAUGAAGAAAUGCAUUCUUCACAUCAAGCUGAUGUAGUGGCCAGUCAAGAUUAGCAGCGAGGGACAAUAGUAUUCUAACAGUGUUUAGUUUAGCAACUGGUGAAAACGUCUCUUGGUAGUCUAUCCCAUAUGUCUGUGUAUACCCCUUCGCGACUAGCCUUGCUUUGUACCGCUCAAUGGAUUCAUCUGCCUUGUGUUUGAUGGAAAAUGCCCAUCUGCAUCCUACUGUCUUCUUUCCUUCAGGUAAUGGAACUAGUAUCCACGUGUUAUUCUUUACUAGUGCCUCCAUCUCAUCUUUUAUUUCCUGAGUCCAUUUGGAAUAUGAUAAGGCAUCCUAAAUUCCUGUUGGAACAUGAUUCGAAGAAAGAACAUGUAUAAAAGCUUUCAGUGGAUCAGAUAACUUCGUGGUGGAUACAUAGUUGGCAACUGGAUAUCUUGAUCUUCAUUUUUCAAUGUCUGGAGAGUAUCUGCUUGGUGGUUGCCUCGAUUAUGCCUGAAAGGUAAAUUAUAGCCACCAGGAGUAUCUAAAUUGCUUAUAUGUGAAGGAGUGCUUACCUCAGAGAUAUUCUCAGGAGAUGGGCUUGCGAAUACUGAAGAGAAAGGGGGCUCUGGUUCGGUGGAGUUUGGUUCAGCUUCUACAGUUGGUUCUGGAUCUUGAGUCAUAUCAUUCCUUAAGUCAAUAUCUAUUGGAGCUGUCUCUAUCUCAGUAUUAUUUGACCACUCAAACUUCAACCAAUUCAACUCUUCAUCCCUUGUCUCCCCCUGAAGAGGAGAAUUGGAUGUUGGAGAAAAAAAUGUGUCAGACUCCGAGAAGGUAACAUCCAUAGUUACAUAGGUCCGUUUGGAGGAUGGAUCAUAGCACCGAUAGCCCUUUUGAUGUGUAGCAUAUCCCACAAAAAGACAUCGGAGAGCACAUGGGUCAAGUUUUGUCCGUUGAUUCUUGUGAAGACGUACAUAGGCCACACAACCAAAUACUCGAGGAGAGAGCAUUAGAGUUGGUAGUAGAGCAACAUGGGAUGAUAGGACCUGGAGUGGAGUCUUAAAAUUAAAGACUUUAGAGGGCAUCCGAUUGAGUAAGUAUACAGCUGUGGACACUGCAUCAGGCCAGUAACAGUUUGAAACAUAUGUUCCAUGAAGGAGAGCUCUUGCAGUUCAAGAAUAUGUCGAUUUUUUCGUUCAGCAACGCCGUUUUGUGGAGGGGUUUGAGGGCAAGAUGUCUCAUGAAUGAGACCGUGUUGUUCAAAGUAAGUGCGAAACUGUUGGUUGAUAAAUUCACCACCAUUAUCGGAACGAAGAACUCUUAGUUUGGCAGAUAACUGAGUUUGAAUCAUGGCAUGGAAUGACUGAAAUACUUUGAACACUUCAUCUUUAUUUUUUAGUAGAUAGAGCCAGGUCAUGAGAGUGCAGUCAUCAAUAAAUAUAACAAACCAACGAACCCCAAACCUUGUAGCAAUAGGUGAAGGGCCCCACACAUCAGAAUGUACUAGGGAAAAAGGAAUACUACUUUUAUUCAUGCUUGAUUGAUAAGAAGUGCGUUGACUUUUCGCUAAAAUGCAGGUAUUACAUUUAAAAUCAGACACUUCCGUAUUCGAAAAAAGGCUAGGUAAUAAAUGCUUUAAAUAACCAAAUGAUGGAUGCCCAAGACGACGAUGCCACAUCCAAAUCUGUCGUUCCUUCACAUUACUCUGAACAUGAUGAGUGCGACCGACACUGAAAUCCUCCAUGUAGUAUAACCCCUCUCUCUUAGUACCACGCCCAAGUAUCUCCUUGGUGAGAAUAUCCUGAAGAAGACAAAAGGUUGGAUAAAUAAGUACCACGCAAUUUAAUUCAGCCGUCACUUGGCUUACAGACAAUAAUUUAUGUGAGAGUGAUGGAACAAGUAAAGUGUGGGAUAAAUGUAGAGAGGGAGACAGAGAUACAGAGCCAGCCCCGGUGACUGGGGAAAUAACUCCAUUUGCAUUCGCAACCCUGUUGCGUCGAGGUGAGGUCCUUUGAAUAAAAUCUCUUUCAUCAUAAGUCAUAUGGUCGGUUGCCUCGGAGUCAAGUAAUCAUAAAUUAUUAUUCUUGUCACUGGAGGAUGUAACACAAGCUGAACCAAAAUUACCUGGUUCUGAUGAGGGGUCCGUAUCCUGAAAAUAAUCAUUUUCAGGAAUCAAAGAUAGCUGAGAGUCAGAUGUUGCCACGGCCGCCUUGCCUAUUCAUUUAUUGGUGCCCGUCCCAUUUUUGUUCCUUUUUUCCUGCAACUCAUGCCACCAAUCGGGGUAUCCAUUAAGUUUAAAGCAGUUUUCUCGUGCGUAAUUGUUAUUUCCACAGUAUGAACACUUAAUUUCCUCAUCCAAACCCUUUAACUUAUUUGGCCCACUUUUAUUUGGGCCUCCACCACUUUUAUUUGGGUCUCCCUUUAAAGAAUUUAUUCUAGCAACAGCAAAUGAUCCCAUCUUCACGCCUUUGGUUGCCAAGAUCGCUCCAGGAAGACCAUUGUCGGAGUCUAUAGAAACCAUGACUGCUUGUCGCAGUGCCUCACGACGGACGUACCCAUACGCCUGCUCAACGGUAGGAAACGGGUCCAUCUGCAAAACUCCACUACGGAUGCUAUCGAGACGUUCAUCGAGCCCAUCAAGGAAAGUGUAAACUCUGUCUUCCUGGGUCAAAUUAUUGAAGUGGCGGAUGUCAGCGGCACACUUCAUUGGAUUUGGGCGACGAAAGUCAAUUUCGCGCCACAACCCCUGCAGUUCAGUGUAAUAUUUCUCCACAGAUCCGCCUACUUGUUUUAGGCGACUCACCCUUCGUCGAAGAUCAUAGACUUGGGAUUUAUCAUUCCCAUCAAAGUAUGCAGUGGCAAUAGCAUCCCAAACUUCCUUAGCAGUGUGGAAACAAAUGAAAUUGCCAAUCAGAACAAGGUCCAACGAAUUGAUAAUCCAUCCCUUGACAAUGGCAUUCUCAGUUCGCCAUUUUCGGAAGGAGGGAUCAGUUGGUAGGGGUGGAGGUGUAUCUCCAUUAAUGUAACCCAGUUUAUCUUUCCCGGAAAUAUACAUUUCCAUAACCUGAGACCAUAGGUCAUAGUUUGUAUCAUUCAGUUUGAUACCAAUCUGGGGCGAAUUUUCAGUGAGUGGGGCUGAUAUGUGUGUCUUGGUUAAGGCUUCAAAAAUUGGUGGAAAUAUCUGUAAGUAUAGCAUCAGAAUUAGGUGAAGAUUGGCUGGGAUCGGUGAUGAAGUUGGGGUCUUCCAUGUGUUUGUGAAAAUGUUCACAAGAAUCGGGCUACAGGUAACUUGGAGAAGAGGAACCAGGACCGUGUGUCCUGCUCUGAUACCAUGUCACAAUACACACAAAAGGUAAUUUUCAUUCAUACAUUCAAUAGGUGGGUUACAGAGUUUAUAUAGGAAAAAAAAACUCCUAAUUUUGGAUAAUCACAAAUCUGUAGCUAAUUAAUUGAUUCUACACAUAAUUGCCUAAUACUAUUCCCUUAAAAUGAUACAAUUAUAUAUGAUUUAUGUUUCUAGAAAAAAGAUUUCUAACAACUCACGCCAACAAAUCCAACACAUUCCCAGAGUGGCAAUUGCGAUCCCUAGAAAUAUUUUCUCAUCCCCAGAUCCUUAUUAAACAACCUUUGUGUAAUAGUAUUUAAGUUUUGAGAUUUUAACGUCAUCUUCACAUGUAAUUACAAUGUCAUCAAUAUAUACCAAUAUGAUCGUGGCACUUGUAGCUCCUUUUAAGCAACUAUUGAGAGGGUUAAGUAAGAUCAUUUUAAAGUUAUUUUCCAGAAGAAUAGUAGCUUUAGCAUGUUGAAAGUUGAUUCAGAAAUUAUCCAAAUUUAAUUGAGUCUUUAAUAUUUAUUUUUCAUGCAGAUUCUUGCUGCUUAAUUCACUAUUUUUUAUUAGUAAAUAAGUCUGAAAGUAGUGGCAAUAAUAUAUGAUAUUAGUUGAAAUUUUUUAGCUUUUCAGUUUGCUUGUAAGCCUAUAAAUAAGCACUUUCAAUUCUGGAAUAAAUGAAGCGGCAGAUAACUUGCAUAUUCUGCAUUUUUUAGUUUUAUUUUCUCCCUGCAAUUUCCUUUUUUAAUACUCCACUACUCUAAAUUCCCAACAAGGCAUACCAAGCUAAAGGUGACUACUUGAGCUUAUACAAAGCCUUCUAUCGAAAUGUGAGUCUUGCAUAUGACACGGUGGGACAUUUAUAUAAACUUCUUCUUGCAAAAAAUGCAUUUUUUUCACAUUCUUUGAAAUAAUUUUUAUCCUUGACCACGAAAAAGAUAAGUACUUUAGCCAUGUUUGGUGUAGUUAAACUUUAUAUAUUUACUAGAAUUUUAUAAAAGUUGAUGAGAUGUGUAGUUGAAAAGUUGUGAAUUUCAUAAAAUGUGUGAUUAAAAUUAAUUGUUCACUUUAACUUACAUUAGACAAAGGGUAAACAACAACAUGAACAAAAGUUUUCCUAUAGCAUUUUGCACAUGUUCAAGUAAAACCAGUUAUAAACUCGUGUCGUUCAAUAAUGUCACCACUCUUGUAUUUAUUCUUGCAAGUCCGGCUACAGCUCAAUGUUUUCUUUACCCAUGGCAGCUUAACAAUUUCCUUGGUUUUGUUCUUAUCAAGAGCACUUAGUUAAUUUUCCAUAGCUUUUCUCGAAUGAUGUCUGAAUUUUCUUUGACAUAAUCUUGGUUUUUGAUGGUCAAAUAGCUAAGAAUACAUAAUAUGAUUGUGCCACAUUUUCAUAUGUCAAAUACACUUGCAUAGGAUAGUUGACAUCAGUAUUUUAAAAUGCAUGCAUAUGUUUCGCAUAUGUUUGAUGUAUUUUCGAAACACCUUGUAUAUAGGGUAUGCACAUGAUAAUGCGGUCAACCCAUUUUGUUGAUUGCAUAUGCACACUUAAAACGCCAAAAUGCACAUUCAUUUCUAUUAAAAUCGUGUCAAAAUUAGUGUGGCAAAGCCAACGCAUUUUUAUCUUGAAAAAAUGUAAAUUAAGCUCAAUAAAUAUCAAAUUAGCCCAAAUCACCCAACUUCAUGGAUUAUAUACAACAAUAUGUAAGUACUUAUCUUUAUGAAAAAAAAUCAGAAAUCAAGAAUUUUUUUUCGUAGAGUUGCAAACUAAAUACAUCGACCUCGAGCCUCCUUCUUCUUCUGUCUUCCGCUAGUUUUACUUGCAAGUGAUGCUAGUUGUGUCCAAUCUUGAAUUGUUGAUGAUUAUGAUAAUGAGGAGGAGAUUGCCAUUAAUAUCUUACCAUCUACAAGAAGUAAUACAAGUUUUUCAAUUGAAAUGAGGGAGCAUGAUAAAGAUGAUUUUGUAUUGGAAAACACGAAAAGAUGAUUUGGAUGAAAAAGAGGAGAAUGAAUUGGAAUCCGAUAAACAACUAGACAAGAUUUAGAAUUUUUUAAAUCGAUGUUUGUGUCUAAUCUAAUUAUAAGAAUUGAUUAUCAAGUAAUUGUAGUAUUUAUAUUUUUGAGCAAUAUAUUUUUGUUGAAAUUAUGAAAAACAAAUAUAAAGUUCAAGAAUUGUAGUGUUUAUAAUUUUAAGCGAUACAUACAUACAUACAUAUUUAUUGAAAAUUUGAAGAACAUGUAUAAGGUUUAAAGAAUCCAUUACUUUAUUUAUUUAUUAGUUUAGAAUAUUUAAAAUAAUAUUAAAAGUUGGAAAAUAUAUAAUUAUGUAUAUGCUUCGCAUAAGCACGCGUAUGCUUGUAAUGCUUGAUGGUUAAUCGAAAUGUAUUGUUAUGCAUUAGUAUUUUAGAACCUCGGUGACAUUAUAAUACAUGAGAAGCUAUCUAUCUACUUGAUUUUCUUUGAAGCAUAGAGUCCACUAAGAGUUUGAAUUUCUUCAUUGUGAGCUACAAUUUCACUCGUAAUCUCUGAUUCUAAGAAUUUCUCAAGUUCUUUCCUUAAAAGAAAUAAAACCACCAAUUACUUGUGGGAGAGAAAGCAGAUCAUAUACAUUCCCUUUCUAAGUUGAUUGUCAAAUCUUAUUAUUUCCAUAUACGAUUUCAAUUCUCAAACUAUACAUCACGGGUGAUGUUAAAAUUAGGGUGUGACUCGAAUUCUAUUUUGAAGAUAACUGGAGAUUCUAAUUAAAGUCAACUUAAGAAGAAUUCCAUUUGAAAUGCUUCUUGGAAUCUUAUUCAAAGUCUAUUUGGCAAAUUCUGUUGAAAUUCUAUUUGAAAGCCCAAUUGGGAGUUAAAAUUUGUAUUGAACUUGAAGAGAACAAGAUAUGGAGAAAAGGAAUGACGAAAAACAUCAUUGGAGCAAAAUUUCCCGAGAUCGGGUGCUCCAACGCCAUAUUAUGCUCUAGAAGAAAAAAAAGAACAGUGGUUGUGAACCCUGGCAUCAGUUGGAUGCCUUGGGCCAAGAGGACGAUGGUGUCCCAGCGCCACCUGUACAAGAAAAAUCCUAUUUUGACGUUGAUUCUUGAAUUUUACUUCAACCAGAAUUUCACUAUAUAUACUUAGCACUUCAUUCUUUUUAGAUUAUGCUAGACAAAAUAUAAAUAUAAAAUCAUUGUAUUCUUUCUCCAUAUUUUAAUAAAUUCUCCUUUUCUCUACAAAUUAUUUUGUUCUUGAGUUUGUGAUCAAUUACUAAUUACUUAAUAUUGUGCCAUGUUUUAUUUUUUCGCCCAUUAUUACAAUAAUUAGUAUCAGAGCAAAGGUUUUAUUCAUUGGAGAUUUGAUUUUGGGAUGGCAACCAUGAAGUAGGAUAUUUUUCUUUUGGAUUGCAGCAUAAGAUUUUCAUUGUUGCAGGUAAAAAUGUGAGCAAUACUCACUCAAAUGAAUUUGGACGAUACAUUGUUGGGAUUUGACAAGAUGCCCACAACUUGGAAUAAGGAGGAGAAACAACGUAGGAAUCUAAAUAUCCUAUAACAAAUACAUCUUCAUCUUUUUGAAUAAUAUUCUCUAUGAGGUUUUGAAAGAGAAGUCCACGGCUGCGUUAUGUUUGACAUUGUAGUAAUUACGCAUGACAAAGAGUCUAACUAGCAAACUGUACUUGAAGCAACACCUUUAUUCUCAUUGUAUGACAGAAAUUACAUCUCUUAAAUAACACCUAGUUGUUUUUAAAGAUAUCGUAGCUGAUUUGGAACCCUUGGAAGUUAUAUAUGAUGAAGAAUAUUUUGGUUUUGAUAUUGUUGUGUUCAUAUAUAUAUAUGAUGCCCUAUAUUCAAAGGAGAAGAUGAAACAUCUCGUUAGAAUUGAGGCUCAUGGAGAUGCCCUUAUUGUUGAUGGUAGUUGUUCAAGGAGCCAAUAAAGGUCUAACUUUACAAAUAAAAUUUGUAAUUAUUACAAGAAAAAGGGACACUUGGUUACCUAUUGCUAAAAUUACAGAAUAAAGAAAAAUUGGCUGCAGAUAAUCAGAAGAGAAAGCAAUUAGGUACUCUAGGUGAAGCUAGUGUUGCAGGAACGUUUCACAAUGAUGGAGAUAUUUUGAUUGUUUCUGAUGGCUUCAUGGCGACUUCAAACAUAAAGAGGAUUUGAUUUUUGAUAUGGCUUGCACUUUUCAUAUGUGUUCUAGGAUUCAUUUACAACAUAUGAAGAAGUUUCCAAAAGUGUUGUGAUGAUCAAUAAUAAUACACCUUGUCGGAUAGCUGUUAUAAGAAGGAUCAGACUUAAGUUGUUUGAUAGAAAUAUCAGAACACGUGUUCCUGAUUUAAAAAAAGAUAAAAAAAAAAAUCUUACCUCCUUGAGUACCCUUGACUUGAAAGGGAACAAAUUCAUUGGUGAAGGCGGAGUCUUGAAGGUUCGUAAAAGUGCUCAUAUUGUGUUGCAGGGAUAGGAAAAGACCUAAUUAUAUGUCUUGUCAAUUCCUAUAGAAUCUCUGAUCAAUCAUCACAAAUAUGUAGCUCAAAUGGAUUGUGAGUUUAGUUUAGUAUCGUCAGAGUUUUGCUUGGGGUCUACUUUGAUGAAUAUAGGAAUGUAAACGAGCCAAGUCGAACCAAGCCGAGUAAUUUAUUUGUAUAGUUCACUACAACAAAAACAACAUUUUGCAACGUUCAAAAAAUGUUGCUUAAGACCUUUUGCAACGUUCGUCCACUUGUUGCUAAUCCCGAUGUUGCCGUAGAGUAAAGGAUAAGGCAACAUUUUUCGAACAUUUUGCAAAAAUCUCUUUCACAAUGUUUUUCAAACGUUGCAACAAGAACUUUCGCAACAUUUUUCGAAUGUUGCCAAAAACCUUUUCGCAAUAUUUUUUUUGACCUUUUUACAAUGUUUUUCGAACGUUUUUAAAAACCUUUUUGCUGCAUUUUUCGAACGUUGCUAAAAGGCGAAGAGACGAGUUGCUUGUCGCGAGGAGUGAGGAGUAAAAUUUGUCGUUUGAGGAGUAUGAUCUUUGUGUGUUUUUUUUUCUAGUCAUCCAUUAAUAGUUCAAAACUUUAAAAAAAAAUGAUAAUAAAAGUUAUUUUGAUUGGGCCCAAAUAUCAUUUCAAAUUUUUGCAACGUUUUAUAAACAUUACGAAAGAAAAAACUUUUGGCAACAUUUCAUAAACGUUGCGAAGAAAACUUUUUAUAACAUUUCAUAAGUGUUGCAAAAGAUAAAGUUUUUUGUUUUUUUGCAACGUGUCAUAAACGUUGCGAAAGACAAAUCUUUUUGCAACGUUAAAUAAACGUUGCAAAAAGGCAAUAUUAGCAACAAUUCACUUAAAAAAUGUUGCUAAAGCUCAAUUAUGCUGAGCAAUGGCAACAUUCAUGUAUUGGAAUGUGGCGAUAGUCCUCUUUAGCAACAUUUACUUGACAAAUGUUGCCUUUUGCAUGUUGCAAAAAGCCAUUUUCAUUGUAGUGUUUAAUUUUGAACGUGUCUCUUGACAUGUAGAUCGUAUACAUUUUUCUAUUAAAAACUUCAGACAAAUUUUUUUGGUCAAUGAUUAUCAUCCUGAAUCUUCGUUAGAGUCUAAUUUGACUAUGUGAGAUUAAUCAUUUUCGAUAAAAAGCCAAGAAUUUGUUUGUUUUCUUCUCUCAUAUAUGGUCCGAUAUUCUUUGGAAUUCAAACCUUGUUGAGAGUUCCAUUAAAGAUCAAAAAUUGCCGAAACAAUAACUUGAAGAUCCUUAGCUUGAUAUGAUGGUAUAAUCAAUUUUACAGGCUGACACCAUCUUCAAGGAUUAGAAGGAUGCUUCUUAUCUUGCAGUCAUAUUUGGCACAGGAAGAUCACGUAGACAGCAAAAUAUAUGGAAGCAUGCAUUCAUGUCGGUGUUUUGUUACUAAUAAACGGGCAAACUUGCAAUCAAAUGCUAAGAACCUAUAUGGGAACAUUUUAAGAAAAGAUGACUCAAGAACAUUUUUUAGUAUAUUUUGAACUUUGAAGUAGUGUUUAAAAUUUUAUCUCAUGAGGGCAAUAUUGAUGAAAAACGAAAAACAUGUUUACUUGCUCCAUUCCAAAGAUGUUACAAAUACGAUUUUAGUUUUCCUUUUUCAACAGAAACACAAAAAUCAGCUAAUGCGUACCUGAUUGAAGAUCUAACAUUUGCACCAGCAUAAAAGAAAUAUUGAUGCCAGCUACGGCCAAAGGAUACUCCCAUUUCGACCUAUCCCCAACUCUCUUGUGCAACAAGUUUUGAAAUGCUUCCUGUUAAAAAGAGAAGUAGAUACAAAAUACUACUUUUAAAAUUUUUCGAGUCUAAUAGAGUCGAGCUGACUCUUUUUUGUGAAAUUCUAAUUUUUAUGUUUGUAAAGAUAGUCAUUGCUGCCUCGGAAAUUAAAGGCAAUUGUAAAUGCCUUUUUCAUUUAAAAACAUGGGCCAAAAAUGGCCCGUAUUGGUAUGACUAACAGAGGCUGGCUCAGGCUCGAGGCCAGUACUCAAAAAUGAGGCUCGACCCAAGUCGAGGCUUGAUUCCAAUGAGCCGCGAGACGAGCCAGCACGGAUUUUUCCCGGGCCGAGCCUCGAGCCGCUCGAGCCGAAUUGACAUCCCUAAAUGAAUACAUUUAAGUCAACUUCGAAAGUUAUAGAUAAUUCCGCUACCACCAUUACCAGUGGUUUUUUUCAAUCACUUGCUAGAAACAGAAUCGUUUGUGAUAUUUUGCCUUGACAUAGGUAUAAGAUGCAGAUUUAGUUGCAUACAUUUUGAAUGUGGUUGAAGGUAUUGAUUCUAGCCAAUAUUUUUUUGUCGAAGCAUUUUGUGGUGAUUCUGUUAUAGGUUAUUCGUGAUUCGAGCAACUUUGGUGUCCAAGGUAGUUCUUAGAAUUUUGUUACUCAGUUUUUGGAGUUUGAACCUAUUUUAGGUUUGUGGUAGAGGUAAAGGUUGAUGAUAUUUUAAAGUUGGAAAAUUUUGAUAGAGAAUUUCUUUUGUGUUUUUGACACAGAGUUGAAGUUUAAUCCUCAUAGUAGAAUUUGUCUUUAGGUGGAGAUUCUUUGAACUUUAUUCAUGGCAGUGAAUUUGUGUGAAGGCAGAGUUUGUAGAAUUAGGAUGUCAUCUAAUUUCUAUUUUAAACAUAAUUGAAAAUUCUAAUUAAAGUUGACUUAAGAAGAAUUCUAUUUAGAAUGCAUUUUGGAAUUUUAUCCGAAAUCUAUUUGAUAAAUUCUAGUUGAAGUUAUAUUCGAAAGCCCAAUUGAGAUUAAAAAUUUGUAUUGGACUUGAAGAGUAUAAGAUACGAACAAAGGAAUGAAGAAAAAUAUCAAUGGAGCAAUAUUUUGCAAGAUUGGCCGCCCCAGCGCCUUGUCUCUGCGCCUAGAAAGAAAAAGGAAAUAGCGGUUGAGCGCCUCAAUGCUAGGAGAGCUAAUUAUUGCAUUCUACUUCAAUUGGAACUCCAAAAUUGGACUUCUAUAUAUAUUUGGCUCUAUAUCAUAUUUUAGAUUAAAUUAGACACAGCAUAAAAAAAUUAUUGUAUUCUUUCUCCAUACUGUAAUGAAAUUUUCUUUCCUACGCAAAUUAUUUUGUUCUUGAGUUUGUGAACAAUUAGUUCAUAUUGUGUCAUAUUUUCUUUUCUUGCCUAUUAUUACAACAGGUAACAAAACUUGCGAUAGCCACAUUUCAAUAAAUAUACAUAUUUCUUUGUUCAAGAACAUGAAGAGAAGAUACACUUCAAUGCCCCAGCAUCAAACUUAAGGUGCACAACUUAUACAAUCAAAUACUCACAAAUGAAAAAUAUUUGGACUAAAGCCCUACCUAAUUUAAGAAUAUGUUGUCUUUUUCUUCUUCAUCUCACCAUUUUAUUGUGGGUUCAAGUGCAACUAUAUGAUGUAUAAUUCUAUGUCUAUGGAGAUUAUAGCGGAAAUCCCUCGAUAAAUUUUGAUUCCGGGCUCAGAAAACAAUCAAACAAACACCGGUUUACCUUAGUUCGACCCAAGACUUUUGCAUUCACUUUGGAUUGUCCAAACUCUCUCAAACCCCUCAAAAGGAGAAGGGAUGGUGGUGGUAAUAGGAAGGAGAGGAAGAGGCAACAAUGAUGUGAAUCACUCCAACAAACCCUCCAAGUCGGCUGCCCCUCAACCUUCUCGGCCCUCUCUCUCUCACGACCCUCUCUUUCACACACACCCACUCAUCACCAUCGAGAAAACGGCUGGGAAUAUAUGGAUAUAUAUAUAUAUAUAGUAUAGGUUAGACACAUAACUUGGGGCAAAAACUUGUGCAAAAGGGCUUCUUAAAACCUAAACUAAUGGGCUACCAAUUACUCCAACCCACAAUCUACUAAUUCAACAAAUACCCUAAAGCCCAACACUAAUCAAGACUUGCGACAUCCAAAAGUGUAAUUCGUCUCUGAGUCGAGUCAAGUCCAUGGUGUCGAUAAAUAAUCCGACAACUGUUUUAAAUCAUUGGGUAUCAAAAAACCCAACAAAGAUGUUCAUGAAAAUAGUUAACCUUUUAUCUAGUGUCAUUGUAAAAUCUAAAAAAAUUAACCCUGGCAUGUAAUUAAUUAAUUAAUUAACAAAAUUAUGUUAAGGACGUUAAUAAAUAAAAUUCUUGCAAUUUCUAACUAUUUGAAUGGGUAAAAGAUAUUAUCCAAUAUCGUGUUAAAGUUAAUAUGGUUCAAAUUCAAGUGAAAAUUGGGCACAAGAGAAUAAAUAAUCCGGCAUGUAUGCUUUACUACGAGAACCAUGAAAAUAACAUGAUAGAGAAUUUUUGAAUUUCUUUAUUAUAAAGUGGCAAAACCUAUAGAUCGUUAUUUGGGGUGUAUAUUUCCAUUUGUACAGAAAUUACAAUUUGUAUGAAAAUAACAUGAAUGAAUAUUUUCAUUUGUACAGAAAUUUUUCUCAUAGAAUUCUAUCAGAAUACUCUCAUGUGUAUAGGCCCCAUAUUUUGAUAAAAAAAAAUGCCAAAAAAUUCUCUCACCUCUCCUCUGUGAGUCAAUCCUAUCAUUUCUGUGUGCUUCCAUCCGUACAUGUUGAAGUGCACCUAUAGAAUAUGAAUAAAUGAUUUCUUUUCUUUCUUGAUAGUUUAAGCGCCUGUCCGGCACCAAUUUCUCCCAGAUUUUCAUUAAUUUUUCUCACCGUUGGAGCAGGUUCCAAGUGUGAGAAGCAAGUCAACAAAGCUGUCUACUUUGCCUAGAAGUUGACCGAAGUGUACAGUGACCUACCAGUCGAAUUUUAUUUUUUAUUUUUUAUAUUCAAGUAUCCCAGCUUACACCAGACUAAAUCCUGAACCCAAAGACCCUUGCCCUUAGAACCUUGAAGGGGGUAAAUCGCGGGUUAUACCUCAACUGGAUCACAGGUUCCCCCAUUGCCUGUACACUUCUGCGUACAAGAGACCCUCCUCCACAGUAAUUGCUCCGUACCAAAUAUUUGGACGCAGGUUCUCACUAGGAAUCGAACUCUCCACCCUGCCGCUAGAAGCAAGACAAUGUUGAUUGAUCCACCAGUUGAGUUGUGCCCCGAGGGGCUACCAAUUGAAUUUUCUUAGUAUUCUUUAUUGGUUGAAUCAAAAAAACCGCCAAAGCAUUUCUGCUUACACGGGAAAUUCGGGAAUCGAUCGACAUAACACACCUAUAGCAAAGUUGUAUGCUCAAAGUGCAACUUUGGCCCGUUUUGACCUCAUUAAUUUUCAUUCUAUUAAAUUUCAUUUUUUUCUCUCUUAUUUUCAAUCAUAUAAUUUUAUAUAAAAUAAUAUUACACAUAAAUCGAAAAUUUUUCUUUCUUUUUUAAAUACUCAUUUUUCAAAAAGAUACUGCCCUUGUUUGAACCCCAUUCUUUUGAAGAAAUUCAUUUUUCAACAGUAUUUUGAUAUCAUUUCAACCACAAAAUUUUCAAUAAAAUAAUAUUACACGCAAAUCCAAAAAUUUUCCUUAUUUUUUAACCACACAUUUUCUAUCAAUACACUAUUCAAAAAUUUAUUCUUCCCAAAAAAAAUGGGGCUCAAACAAGGGCACUAUUUUAUGCAUUUUCAUUUCUACAAAAUGGGGGCCAGACGGGGACUUUAUUUCCAAGAGCCUAGGACCAUUUGAUAUGGCCCCACUUGGGCCCUGUCAAAUAUCAUUUUUUUCUCUUCUAUUUUCAACCAUACAAUUUUUCAUAAAAUAAUAUUGCACGUAAUUCGAAGAUUUUUUACUAUUCCACCCAUUUUCAUUUCGAAAUAUGGGGGCCAUGAUGUUAUAAUCAAAAUAUUUUGGCAAAAAAAGUGCACCCAAACAAGGCUAAGUUUGUAAGUAAGUAGUCGUAUCAAAGCGUAUAAAUGACAUAAAUAGAAAAAAUGAAUCUAACGUGUAUAUGAAAAAAUGUAAAAGAAAUAAAUAAUUGUAUCGUAAUUUAAACUCUUAAAUUUGAUAUGAACAUGUAAGAAUAUCCUCAAGUACACAUAUUGAGUUUUUAUUAAAUGCAAGUGUAUUGAGCAUAACACUAAUGCAAUGCAAAGUGCAUACUUGGCCCAUUGAAUUGAACGGACUUUGAGAGAGAGCUCUAUGUGUGAAAAUUUUGUGGCUUGUUUUCACUUUCUAGCACAUUUCCUGGACCUAGCCGAUUUAAUACAUCUCUUUACAACAUAUUUGAUAAGGUGAAAUGGAGAUAUUAAGCACUAUUAAUGAGAAAAAGAUCGUCCAAUCUUAUAAAAGAUUGUCGAAAAUUGAAAAUUGUAGCAUAUCAAACAAACCCGAAGAACUAACGAUUGAAAUUUUUGACAAAACAACUUUAUGAUAUUCGAAAUGUACUGUAUUCACUGAUCCAAUAUGUUAAGAAAAAUGUAGGGAAAUCUGAAAUUUAAUGAACUCCAAGGCACGAAAAACGUUAUCUUUUAAGAGAUGUUUCUCCCCUGUCCAACGAAGUCAUAGUUGGGGUAUGAUAGAAAAUCUCUCUCAGGAUACAAUGAAGGCGUUUGAUUCAAAUUGUGACUAUUUGAUCAAACCAAUAAGACACUCGAAAAGAACUGAUGAUGCCAAGAGAAAGAGAGAAGAAUAAUUUUUUAAUAUGUUUUGCAAACGAGAAUUCGCCCAAAAUUUAUAGAAAUUGAGACAACCGUUUGAAUAGGUGUGUCCCUUGAAAUGAAGAACACAUAUGUUGGAAGUUACUGUUAAAAACGAACAGAUGCACCUAGUCGGGGCGGCUAAUCAUUAGCAAAAAAAAUAAAAAUAAAUAAAUACAUGCAAAAUGAUGAAAAAUAUCUAACACAAUAUAGUGCAAUACUGAAUUAAGUGAAAAAUAGAAUCCAUUAGUCGACUCUAAAUUCAUUAUAAAUAAGAUUUCAUUCGUUGUUAUUUAUUAUUGGCCAUUGCAUAUUAAUUUAUAUAAGUAUAUUCUGAAUAACUUGGCUGCAUUUUAUUGUCAAUUUUUGCUUUCUUUUCCUUAUCCGGCAGCCUAAAUUAUUUGCACCAUAAAAUAUUAAUACUUAGUUGCGUUUGAAAAGGGAAAUGUUUUUGUCAUCUAGAAAACAAAGCUAUCAUGUUGAAAGCGUUACUCGAUGAUUUAUAAACUGAUCCAAAAUAUCAGGAAUCUACUUUACAAAGCCAAAAUAGUGAGUUGACUGACUUAUGAUUACGACGAUUCCUAUAAAUAUCAAAAGGAAAAGUUCAAAGAAUAUUAAAUUGUAGACAAAUACAAAUAAUAAUGACAAGAAUAUGAAGUUAAUUUUUUAUUUUUCUUUUUUCUUUUUUUUCAUAAAAACAUAUUAUUAUGCUAAUAAAAGUUCCAAGUUAAAGUCUCAUAAAUUGAAAAAUGUGCGAGUGACAUCCAAAGAAAAAUUGAAUACAAUUUACAUACAAUGGAGUGUGUUGAAAAUUUAAAUAAUUUAGCACAUGUUUGACAAAGGUUUUUGAGAUUAUAAGUUGGUGGAUCCGAUGAAUAUCAAAUGUACUGUUGAAAAUGCAACUUAACUUCCCUUUUUUUUUUUUUUAGAUAGAUGUUUCUAAUAUUAAACUAUUUAAUAUGCCUCCUGGCUCCUGUUCUCCAAGUUUUACGAGUUAUGAUUUGUCAAUAAUUUAUUGGAUAAAUAGUCAUUUAGACAGCAAAUCUCAACUUCUACACUAAUAAUUUCUCUCCCUUCCCCCCCCCCCUCCCCCCCUCCUCUUCAACUAUUUAACAUGCCUACGGCUUCCACAUUUUACACAUAAUUUCUCGUUCUCUCCUUCUCCUUUCUAGAUCUAUUUCAUACUUCCACGAUGAAGUUGGAAGAGAAAGGCACUGAUUACACACAGGACGGGACUGUUGAUCUAAAAGGUAGACCUAUCCUCAGAUCAAACACUGGCAAAUGGAAAGCUUGUUAUUUCUUUGUUGGUAAGUGAAAAAAACUGGUAGAGUCUACCUAAUUUUCGAUUCUAAACGUGCCAUGAUAUCAUUUUAUCAAGGUUUGCUUUAGAAUUUUCUACAAACUGAGAACGAUUAGAUUUGAACGAAGAAGUUUUGCUUCAGAAUUUCGUGUGCUAAUAGAAACGUAACUCUUUUUGCAAGUUAAAUCUUUUGCUUUGAGUAUGAAGAUUUAGAAUAGAAUUUAUGGAUCCUCAUUGUGAUAUUACAGGGUAUGAAAUUUUUGAGAGGAUGGCAUAUUAUGGGAUUGCAUCAAACUUAGUAAUUUAUUUGACACGGAAGCUCCAUGAAGGCACUGUGACAUCUUCAAACAAUGUCACCAACUGGGUUGGUACUGUAUGGUUGACACCCCUUCUGGGUGCUUAUAUUGCUGACACUUUUCUUGGUCGAUACUGGACUUUCAUCGUUGCAUCAGCCAUUUACCUUGUGGUACUUCCUUUGAUUUCAUUUGAUCUCGAUUCUCAUGGUGUAACUUUAUCGUGCAAGCUAAACAGAACAAGACAGUAUAAAUAACAAUAUUUUCUUAAUCUAUCGGAUCAUGCUUUUAAGAUAACAUAAAAGUACGCAAUAUUAAACAUGAACGGACACUAAAGUGGACAUGUUUUUACUUUCUUUUUCUUGUUUCACAUUCUCUAGUAUUAUAUAUUACGGCUUGCACCAUUAUUAUAAUCAUUUAAACACGAUCACGAAAUCCUUAUAAGAUCAGGGAAAACAAUUCUUGGUCAUAUUUUCGUUCCUUGUAACAGGGAAUGUGCUUAUUGACGCUAGCAGUUUCAUUGCCCGGACUGAGGCCUCCGUCUUGUGGGCACCAAGUAAAGGAGGUAGAUUGCGAUAGACAUGCCUCAACAUUUCAAGUCGGCAUCUUCUACUGUGCAUUAUACAUAAUUGCAGUUGGAACAGGCGGAACAAAGCCUAAUAUCUCUACAAUGGGAGCAGAUCAAUUUGAUGAUUUUGAGCCUAAAGAAAGGUUACAAAAGCUCUCAUUCUUCAACUGGUGGAUGUUUAGUGUCUUCAUUGGCAUCCUUUUCUCCAACACUUUCCUUAUUUACAUUCAAGACAAUGUGGGGUGGGAACUUGGCUAUGGCCUCCCUACACUUGGGCUCACAGUAUCGAUACUUUUCUUCAUUGUGGGUACACGUUAUUAUAGACACAAACCCCCAUCAGAUAGCCCGUUGAAUCGAAUGGCUAGGGUGCUUGUAGCCACCGUAAGAAAGUGGAAGGUAGUCAUCCCUGACGAACCAAAGGAACUUUAUGAGCUGAGCUUGGAAGAGUACUCCAAACCUGGCAUGUUUAGAAUUGACCACACCAAUUCUCUCAGGUGCAUAUUUUUCUCCCGAAUAAAGAUACUUGGACAAGGCCAUGUAGGCCCUGCCUGUGGGAGUGCCUUGGAUGUCCGUCCAGCAUAACCCUUUUCUCCCAUUCUAAGUCUUUUUAGCAUGUGUAACAACUAAUAGAAAUCUCACGUCACUCGUGGAAGGUCUGUCUUAUGGGUUUAUAAGCACAUUAGUGCCCUCCUCUUUCAAAGUCGAUUUUAAACGUAACUCACUCUCAUUUCACUUCUGCAGCUUCCUGGACAAAGCAGCAGUCGAAAUCGGACAAAAUUCGCCAUGGAUGUUAUGUCCGGUGACACAAGUUGAACAAACCAAACAAAUGAUAAAAAUGAUUCCAAUCUUGCUUGCAACUUUCGUUCCCGCUACUAUGUUCGCACAGACAAACACUCUCUUUAUCAAGCAAGGCACAACUUUGGAAAAAAGCAUUGGUCCCCAUUUCAAAAUUCCUCCAGGAUGUCUCUCGGCAUUUGUGACUAUUUUCAUGUUGACUAGCCUCGUACUAUAUGACCGGUUCUUCGUUCCCUUUGUACGAAGAUACACGAAGAAUCCUAGAGGGAUCACCUUGUUGCAGAGGUUUGGGAUCGGCCUCGUGUUGCAUAUCAUAGUCAUGGGAACUGCUUGUUUAGCAGAAAGAAGGCGUCUAAGGGUUGCUAAAGAGAACGAAAUCUUUGAGAAAAAUCAAAUCGUUCCUCUUUCGAUCUUCAUUCUUCUACCACAGUUUGCUCUAAUGGGGGUAGCUGAUACCUUCGUAGAAGUUGCGAAAAUCGAGUUCUUCUAUGAUCAAGCACCUGAAGGCAUGAAAAGCCUCGGAACUGCCUAUUUUACGACUAGUUUUGGAGUUGGAUACUUCAUAAGUAGUUUUCUGUUGAAAACUGUGGCUGACAUUACCGAGAAACGUGGCAAAGGAUGGAUUUUGGACAACCUAAACGUCUCUCGUUUGGACUAUUAUUAUGCAUUUUUGGCUGUGCUGUGCUUUCUCAACUUACUUUACUUUCUGCUAGUUGCAAAGCUCUUUGUUUACAACACAGAACUGAAGGAUACCGAAAUGGAGUUGCAUGAAGCAAUCGAGGCUCGACCGAACAAGUCUACACGAUUGGAGGAAAAAACGUUGGAUGAUAAAGCAAGCUCAUAGAAAUAUCAAAAUAUCCCAUGAAAUUUUCCAAGUCUUUUUUCUUAAGCAUGUUUUAUCGUUCCUUUUCUACUCUUUUUUCAUUGUAUCUAAAUGUAUUUCCACAAUAUAACAAUUUAGAUCACAUUGUAAUAUAAGAAUAAGAUACAAAAAUCUUGUAUAUCAUAUGAAAGUGUCUUAUCUCACACUAUGACUAAAAAUUCAUGUUCUCAAUGGUACCUCCACAAGCUAUAAUUAAGGUCUGUUCGAUAAUGAUUAUAAAAAUCGAUUUUUUGAUUGUUAGAGAAAAAAAUUGGUCCCAUUUGUGUGAAAAAAUCAAAAAUGGCGACUGAAAUAGUGAAAUAAGAUCAAAAAAUUGAUUUUUUGAGGUGAAAAUUGUUAACGAGCCUCCGUUUGGCCCCCAUUCUCCUUCUCAUUCUUUCCCUCUCUCUCUUAUUUUCAACAAUAUAAUCUUUCAUAAAAUAAUAUUAUAGGCAAAUUAAAAACUUUUCAUUCUUUUUCAAUCACAUAUUUUUCAAAAAAUCACUAUUUCAACCAUUAAAUUUUGAAAAGAAUUGGGGUCAAAUGGGGGCUAAAUCCAAGAGGUCACUCUCGUAGGCCGGCACAAAAUCUAUGCUAAAUAAUGACAUACAUGACUAAACGUAUUGUACUUAUUAUAGCAAUUGAAAAAAGGAAAUUAAGAGCUGACUAUUUUACACCCCAACAAUCUCUUUUUGAAUAUCAAACUUUCAUUUUGGUCCCAACCUAAUUACGAUGAAUUAUGGGAUAAUGACAUAGAUAUACCAAAAAUUGGGACCGUUUUGAAAAGUCAGCAUAAAACUUAGGCUAGCUAGAAAUUACUUCAAACUAUAUAAUAUUCACUGUUAAAGCACAAUGAACCCUAACCCCAUCGUUUAAAAAUUUCUUUCAAUGAAAUUGAAAGUUAGCUAAACGUGAUUUUUUUGUGACUCGAAUUCAUGAUUCUGGCUCUGAUAACAUCUGUCAAGAUUGAAUUUCAACUAUCUCAAAAAGCUAAUUGGUGAGUGAUGCUACCAAAAAUCGUAUCUGAGUAAUUUCGAGCUGGACGACUGAUGACGAGCACGAACAUGAUCUUCCGAUACCUGAAACAAAAGCGUCGAGAUGUGUCCUCGUCGCCCCUCCGAUGCUUAAGUCAGAGAGAGAAUUUGUGCGUAAGGCUAUGAACUGAUAAUUAUGUAAAAUGUACCUGAAUAAUGAUGAAGGGCUUCGUAUUUAUAGAGGUAGGUGGUGUGUUCAUAAUACGAUUCCGUAGUGCACUUGUAAUAGGACAGCUUGAUUUUGCAAUCUUAUACCAAUGAGUCCUACGCGAGAUAGGAGUUUGAAUUGCGGUAUAACUGGGAUAUCAAUUAUUUAAUAGAGUUCUUCUGGACAUAGGAGACAUAGGUUGAGGAGUUUUAGUCAGAAUAAAUUUCUCAUUGGAUAAGGCGUUGACGUCGGGGACAUGCCGAUGUCAUAAUCCCGAGGACACGUCGAAUGACGUUCCACGAACUCUUGGGUCAAGAGCUCGGGGCAUGCGAAAGACAUCCCAAGCACAUAUAUCUCGAGCAUACUGAUACACAAAUCGACGAAAUAGAGUCCUCGAGUUUAUAUACGUCGGGAAUAAUAUUUGGUAAUAUCAGUGAGCACUAAUGGAUUGAGGUAUUCUUAAUUAAGCUAUUAAUGAUGUAAAAGGUAAGUUUAUUACGGUUUAGAGGUGAAUGACAAUUAUACCCCUACAGUUUUAGAAAUAAUUACUGUUGUAUCCCUGAUUCUACCCUAUAAAUACAGUGCUUUGGUUUUUAAUAAAAUACACACAAGUUUAUUGAUUUCUCUCUGUUCUCUUCUCUUUCACAACACGUUAUCACGUAGUAAUUUUUGAGAGGGUAGUAAUUUUUUUUAUCACGUAUAUCAAAAUUAAUUUGAUAAUAUGUGAUUUUUUUUUAUCUAUUCAUGCAUCCAACUCACGUUUGUAAUUGGGUAAAAAUCAUGUCUAAUUAUUCAUGCAUCAUAGCCGCCGUCAAUUAGUGCCUACCAAUUCGCUACCAUCAAUUUGUAGCUUUUACCUUUAAAGAUAUAAAAUAUUACUUGUACAAUGCCUUUUUCGUUUGCUUCUUUAAUUGUCGUCAAACGUGUAAUGAUGAAAAUUUAGCCUGCAUCAUGUCUACCAAAUUAAUUGUGUAAUGGUUUACACGUAAUCCUAUGUUCCUGCCUUCAAUUUACUUCGAAUUGCCAAAUUAAUUGUUCAUUUGGUUUACACGUGAAUUUUGUUCAUCAAUUCUGCUGCCUAACAUAUGAUAUAGUCUAAACUAUUUUUAUAGCUUUUGCCAUCAAUCUUUAUUUAUGAUUUGAUUUGAUCAAUGCACGCGUCAUCCUCAUUAAUUAUUGCCAUCAUUAAUAAUUUUUAGUUGUAUUUACGUUUCUUCAUGUGUAAAUUUGGUGAGAAAAUUUAACUAUUCAGUAAUUUUAAUUAUCGUUCAAUUAAUCAUCGAAUUUUUGUUACAAAAUUUUGAUGCUCCUGAAGUAGCACAAUAUUAUAAUUACUAUUGAAAAAUAUUAUUCGCUCCUGAAGAGCAUGAAUUAUAUAUAUAUAUAUUUUCAAUAUUCCAGAAGAAUAUAUUGACGUAUUGUUCUUGAAAAAAUCAUAAUAAAAUACAACAUGCUCCUGAAGUAGCAUAUGUUUCGAAGAACAUAUUAUUUUUGUGUUUAUCCCGAAAGGAAAAUACGUAACUUAUUUUAUGUUGAUAUUAUUACUUGAUUACUUAUUAUAUAAUGUUUAAUCAUAUUUUUUGAAACUUAUUAUAUUUUCUCUUACUUUAUUGUGUAGUUAAUCAAAUGACAAAUAUCACGAAACUCAAGUUUACUGCACUUUAUAUAUCUGGCAAAAAUUAUUUGUCAUGGGUACUUGAUAUCAAUAUCCAUCUUAUCUCAAAAGAUUUGGGAGAGACAAUAAAAGAAGGAAACAAAGAAUCCCUGUAGAAUCGUGCAAAAGCACUCAUCUUUCUUCGUCAUCAUCUUCACGAUAGAUUAAAAAUUGAAUACCUCACUGAGAAAGACCAACAUGCUCUUUGGAAAAACUUAACUGAAAGAUUUGAUCAUUAGAAGACUAAAAGCAUUCAUCCUCCUUUGUCAUCAACUUCACGAUAGACUAAAAAUUGAAUGCUUCACUCAGAAAAAUUCACAAGUUCUUUGAAAAAAAUUAAUUGAAAGAUUUGAUCAUUAGAGGACUAUAGUCUUUGCCAAAGUCCGCUAUGAGUGAAUGCACUUUCGUUUGCAAGAUUUUAAAACUGUUAGUGAGUACAAUUCUGAAUUGUUCAGAAUGUGUUCAAAAUUGACAUUGUGUGGAAAAAAAAUCAUUGAUGAAGAUAUGUUGGAGAAAACUUUUUCCACCUUUCACGCCUCGAAUGUGCUCUUAUAAUAACAAUAUCAUGAGCGUAGUUUCAAAAAAUACUCAAAACUUAUAUCUUGCCUACUUGUUGUUGAACAGAAUAAUGAACUGUUGAUGAAAAAUCAUUGGUUACGUCCAACUGAUUUUGUACCAUUGCCUGAAGCAAAUGCAAUAUCAAGAUAAGGACGUGACAUAGAUGUGGACACGAAUUUGGACGUGGACGCGAAUGUACACGCUGAAUAAACCAUGGACAAAAUAUUCAACAAAGUUUUCAACAACAAGACAACAUUUUCAAAAGGUACAAAACAAAUGAAAGUAGCACAUUGAAAAGGGUACAUGAAGAAAGUUGCUUUAGAUGUGGAAUGAAAGAGCAUUGGACACGUACCUUUCGUAUAGCAAAACACAUUGUGGAUCUCUCCUAAAAAUAAAUACAGGGAAAGGAGAAAGUGGAGACAAAUUUUACUGACUAUGACUGUUCAAUUAAUGUGACUCAUUUGGAUGUCUUUGAUUUCUUUGCUGAUCCAAAUGAAAAUAUUAAUCAUUUGAUUAGGGAUGAUGUGAUGGAAGAUAUAGAUUAGUUUUUUAUAUUUUUCAUAUUUUUAUGUUUCUAAUAUUUCCUUUUGUUUUAGAAAUUUAGUUUGAAAUAUGUUUUUACUUUUCGUAAAAAUUUUGAACUUUAUUAUGCAUCGUUAAUUUCACAGUAUUAAUUAUGCUUAUCAUGUUGAAUUUAAAUUCAAGCUUCUUUUUUUAAUAUUGAUAAAACAUGAUGGAUUGUCAAAACACCUGUUUGAUUGAUAGUGCAACUAUACAUACUAUUCUUCAAGACAAAAAAUAUUUUUUGGAUUUAACAUUAAAAGAAAAUAAUGUUAAUACAAUAUCAGAUGCAUCGAAUAUCGUUGAAGGUUCCGGAAGAUUACCAAAUAAUACAAUAUUGUACAUUGAUGAUGCACUUUAUUCUAACAAAUUCAGAAAAAAUUUACUUAGUUUUAAAGAUAUUCGCUGCAAUGGAUAUCAUAUUUAGACAAUACAAGAAAAUAAUAUUGAAUAUCUUUACAUAACUUUUUUAUAUCUGAUCAGAAGUAGAUAAAAGAAAAAUUUUAUGCAUUUUCAUUUCGCAUGUAUUAUGCAUUUAUAAAAAUGGUUGAAUCAAAUAAUGUUACGAAUCAGAAGUUUGUUGAUCCAAAAAAUUUUAUACUUUGGCAUGAUCGACUUGGAUAUCCAGGAACUAUAAUAAUGCGUCGAAUAAUAAACAAUUCACAUGAACACCCUUUAAAGAACCAAAAGAUUCUUUUACCAAAUGAUUGUCUAUGUGUAAUUUGUUUGCAAGGUAAGUUAGUCAUUAAACUUUCGAUUACAAAGGUCAAUAUUGAAUCCCCAACUUUUUUAGGAAAAAAUUCAUAUAGAUAUAUGUGGGCCAAUACACCGACCAUGUGGACCAUUUUAUUAUUUUAUGGUAUUAAUUGAUUUUUCUACUAGAUGAUCACAUGUUUGCCUACUUUCCACUAAAAAUGUAGUUUUUGCUAGACUACUUGCUCAAAUUAUAAAAUUAUGAGCAUAAUUUUUCGAUUACUCAGUUAAAACUAUUCGCCUUGAAAAUGCCGAUGAAUUUAGAUCACAAGCAUUCGAUGAUUAUUGUAUGUCAAUCGGGAUUAUAAUUGAAAAUUUAGUUGCGCAUGUCCAUACAUAAAAUAGUUUGGCAGAAUCGUUUAUUAAACGUCUACAACUUAUUGCUAGACCAUUACUUAUGUAAACAAAACUACCAGCUUCUGUUUGGGGUCAUGUCAUAUUACAUGCUACAUUAUUGGUUCGUAUUGGACCAACUGUCUAUAAUCAAUAUUCACCUUUGCAAUUGGCAUUUGGUUAUGAACCUGAUAUUUCUCACAUACGGGUUUUUGGUUGUGCAGUCCAAGUCCCUGUUUCAUCCCCCACAACGUACUAAAAUGGGUUCCCAACGAAUACUUAUGAUUUAUGUGAGUUUUGAUUUAUCAUCAAUUCUUAGGUAUUUUGAACUUUUAACGGGGGAUUUAUUUGCUGCACAUAUUGCAAAUUGUCAUUUUGAUGAUAUGACUUUCCCAACUUUGGAAGGGAAAAACUACAACCCGAAAAAUAAUGUAAAAUUUUUUGGAAUGAAAUAACUCUAUCUUACUUUGAUCCCCGCAACACUCAAUGUGAGCAAGAGGUUAAAAAAUCAUUCAUUUGCAAAGAGUUGCAAAUCAAUUACCUGAUGUAUUUGUUGAUACAAGAAAAGUAACAAAGUCAUAUAUUCGAGCAGAAAAUAUUUCAGCAAAAAUUGAUGUUUCUACAGGACAAUCUACUGUGGCAAAUAAAUCUCAAAUACGUCAGAAGCGUGAUCGACCAAUUAGUACAAAACACUAUGUACCUCGAAAAAGAAAGGUACAUGAGAAAAACCAACCAAAAACUUCCAAAAAAGUAACAUUGGAAAAGAUUGAUCAAUCAAAUAUUGAAAAUAUAGUUCUCGAAGAACCACAUGUGCCUGAAAAUAAUGAAAUUUCAAUAAAUUAUAUGUUAUCUUAUAAAUUAUGGGAACGAAAUAAUGUUGUUGUAGACAAUAUUUUCGUUUUCAACUAGGCUUUUGAUAUUAUGCAAAAUGAUGAUCCUGAACCAAAUCAGUUAAAUACUGUUAAAAUAGAAAUGAUUGGCCAAAAUGAAAAGAAGCCAUACAGGCGGAAUUGAAUUCCUUAGAGAAAUGAAAAGUGUUUCGACAUGUAGUUCGAACACCUGAAAAUGCAAUCUAUGUUGAAUACAAAUGGGUUUUUUUGUGAAAGAGAAAUGAAAAUAGUGAAAUUACAAGAUAAAAAACCCGACUAAUAGCUCAAGGUUUCUCACAAAGACAAAGAAUUGAUUAUGAGAAAACAUAUUCUCCCGUAAUGAACACAAUCACUUUUAGAUUCUUAAUUAGUUUGACUGUUUUACAAAAACUUUAUAUGUGCCUUGUGGAUGUAGUAACUGCAUAUUUGUAUGGUUCACUAUAUAUGAAAGUCCCUAAAGGACUUAAGGUACUAGGAACAAACGAUAGAUGGUCGAGAACUAUGUUCUCAAUUAAAUUGCAAAGAUCAUUAUAUAGAUUAAAACAAACUGGACGCAUGUGGUAUAGUCACCUUAGCAAAUAUUUGUUGAAUGAAAGUUAUAAAAAUGACGAUAUCUACUCAUGUGUUCUCAUAAAGAAAACAAAUAGCGGAUUUGCAAUUGUGGCAGUUAUGUAGAUGAUUUAAAUUUAAUUGAAACCCCUAAGGAGGUAUUAAGUUUCUAAUUCUAACUGCCAUUAGUUUAGGCUUUAUAAGUUUGACAAGAGAUUAAUAAUCCGAAUGUUAUAGAUUAUCUGGGUUUACAUGAUGAUUGCAUAAUUGUUCAUUAUUAGAUUUAAUUGUUCUGUCAAAUUACACAACCAGUAUUAUGUGUUAGAUCUAGCAGUAGCUAUGCACUGUAUGAAUUCUUCCACAGUAAAAUUUGAAUUAUUUUCAAAAUUAAUAAAAACAAUUGUGCUUCUGUUAAUACAAUGUGACAACUAUCUUAUUAUAUUUUAGAUAUCUAUAACAUUAUCCAAAUCAAGCUGAUUAUUUUUCUUUGAAUUAUGGCAUACUUUUAUACUGUUACCUAGAAUUUUUUUGGUGAUACUUGAUACUUUCUGGCUUAAUUAGAGAAAGUCUCGAAUAAUUAUAUAGCUUCUUCAAAAUAAGUAAUUCCACCUUACUCAUUUUCAACAGGUUCUCUUGAGUCCAUUGUAUUACACAGGCUUUCACUCUUUCUAGACAUUAAUUUGCAAUGAUAAAAAUGCAUAAGAUAUAAUUAGAAUAAUUUCUUUAAGGUGAUUCAUAUUGGUCCCAAGAAUCUUGCCAUGGUGUGCGGCAGCUCAUUAGCGUAUUACACUAGAAUAUAAUAGUCCAGCUAGCACAAUGCUCUCUCAAGUUUAUACUUUUUUUUAGAGAUCCCAAAAAAAUGUUUUUCUGCAGCAUUAUGUGUAAUAAUAGUAAGAGAAAUUUAUGCCAGAAAAGGUGAUAGUAGUAUCCAUCUCCACAAAUUCCUCAUCCACUAACGUUUUAUGCAAGUGUUCAAGAGCAUAUAUCUAUGUCAGUAAUCGUUAUGUAAAUUGCCGGAAUUAACUAUUCUAUUAUCUUAUAACUAGCAGGAUAGUAUUAUAUACGUAAUUCCUUGUUAUCGUGAUAGCAUUAACUAACUGGAUGUAGCACACAAUAUAUGCAUUUUUCUUGCAUUAACCGUUUGGUACCCAUUUUUUUCAAAAUGCAUUUUUCUCUCUUCUUUUCAAUCACACAUUCUUUAUUAAAAUAAUAUUACACAUAAAUAAUAAACUUUUCAUUAUUCUUCAACCACACAUUUCCCAUCAGUUUACUAUUCAAAAAUGUAUUUUUACAUAAAAAUGUCUCCUAAACACCCUCUAAAUAUUAAAAUCGAUAUUAGUAUUUUUUUCGAAAUUUUCCAAUAUUAAUUGAUGGAAUGGUACAGAGACGAUACCUACUCCAUUUAUGGAGAAUAUUGUAGCCAUUUAAAAAAACUUUGAUGCUACUUUCAAUGCAGCUAUUUUCCCGCUCUUUUCUUCUAGUAAUAACGCCGACAAUCCUUACAAAGAAUGGUUUCUAGAAUUCUUGAUUACAUUUGACCUCUCUAAUUUUAACUCUUGGAUCACCCUAGAUGCUGGAAAAUCGGGACAUUCCCCUGUUUCAAUCUUAACUUCCACUACUAAAAAUUAUGGCUUCAAGCAUAGAUUUUUCGUUCCUGAAAUUUUAAUAUCCGUUGCUAUAACUCUUUACUAAUGGAAUAUUUGCAACCGCAAAUUCGUUGCUAAUUUGAGGGUCGCUGAUAGUUACCAACGUAUCCUGCAGUAGGUAAAAAAUAAACAGUUUAUUAACGAAUUUUCCAUAGGUAAAGUGUGAAUCUUUUACCAAAGAAAUUUUCGUUGGUAAAAAACUUAACCAAUACCAAUCGACUUUCCGUUGGUAAAUCUCUACCAUUACAAUUGGUAAAAAUCAAUGUUGUAAAUAGCUGCAUAUGUGUGAGGCAUGGUAAAAAAAAUAUUUAUUAUUUUAUUAUUGUUAUUAUUAUUUAUUUAAUAAUUCUAUUUUUUUUUUACUGUUAGCCAACCGAAUUGAAAUGCCAAAAUAUUGUUUAAACACUCAUUAGAUCACAAAUUAAUUUAUAGAGAGUAACUCCGAAGACUUUGUUGUGAACUUUCAAUAUGGGAUAAGUGAAUUAUUUUUACUAGCGGAUAAUCCAUUUCUAAUUACCAACGGAAUAUCCGUAGGUGAAAUAUCCAAAUGCUAACGAUUACAUAAGGCACAAAAUAUCCCUUGGUAAAAAGAUACCAUCGUUACCAAUGAAAAAUUCGUUGCUGAUUAUCGUAGUUGAAAGUGAAUUAUCAUUACCAACAGAUAAUCCGUUUCUAAUUACUAACGGAUUGCAUCCAUUGGUAAUAUUCGGUGCGUCGCCUACGAAUAUUCCGUAGGUAAAAGAUUCAAAUGUUAAAUGGUUACAUGAGACACCGAAUAUCCGUUGAUAAAGAGAUACCAACGUAACCAACGGAAAAUUCAUUGCUGAUUAUCGUAACUGAAAGUGAAUAACUUUGACCAACGAAUAAUUUGUUUCUAAUUACCAACGAAUUGCAUCCGUUGAUAAUUUUUCGUAGGUGAAAAACUAUUUUUUAGUAGUAUUCUGACAUAAAUUUGAAAAGGAAACCCAAUGAAGCUGGACAUCGAGAGGGAAAUAAGAAGUCCAAUGCUUCAUUUAUCAACUGUGUUCUUAAUGGAACUGAUUCAUCUGAGAGAACUGACAAAAGUGUGCAAUUAAGUGAUGGUAGGAAUGGAGAAUUUGAGAAGCAAGGUGGAUGUGACAUGUUUUUCAAAGUUGGCACUCAGGUAUCUCCAUUGCAGUCGUCCGAUUGGAAUGACAAAAUGACCAGUGUUGAAGAACUAGAUAUGAAUCAGGUUUUGAAAUUUUCACCUGGUGGCUCUCCUUCCUUUGGUGAUGCCAAAGAUGCAGAUGUUUGCACUGAUGAUAUAGGUAGUAGAAAUGGGGUAAGAGUCAAACCCUCAUUUCGUCUGAGUAUAAUUGGAAGUACAAAAUCUCCUUCGAUUACUCAACUUGCUGCAUCAUUCCUUUAUCAAUUGAAUUCAAGGUAACACAAGUUGGGUUCAUCUGUUUACCACAGUAUUGAUCGCUGGGUGAACUAUUAGAGUAAAAAUCUCAGAAGGAAAUAACUAUGAACAUUUUUUCCUACUCUCGUAAGUGAACUUACUACCCAUCAAUUGAAUUUAUACACCAUGAAAACAAACUCAAUUGUUGUAAGAUGAUCGACAUGUCAGGACUUUGAUCACAAGAUUGUUCUUUCCAAUUGAAUAUUGGCCAUGUUGAAAUAGCUCUCCAGUUGUCUUAGAAAAUCGAUAUGAGUUAACUUCAAUAUCCCUUGGAAUUAUGGAGUACUCUUGUCCUCUUUCCUUGGUCUAAAGCCCUGCAUGACAUUUCUAUCCACUGAAGUCCUCACCUUGUUAUGCUGAUUGAUGGAACCACGUAUUCUAGUAGAAAUUUUUGUCUUUAUGAUCAUCAUGUCGAGGCGAUUAGAUCACUCCCAUUUUCAUAAAAUGCGAUGUUCACUGAAGUGCUAGUAUUAGUGAUUUCAGGUGGUUCAUCUUUCCUAAUAGCAUAAUCAAUAGCCAUCCAUCCUAAAUGGAGAAGAAUUCUCUCCUUCCAUACUUUAUAGUUGUCACCCUUUAAUUCAUGAAUAUCACAACGAAUAUAAGAGAAAUUAGAAGGUUGUGAAGUUGCAUAAUAUUAAAAUUUGCUUAUGUUAACUUGAGGCUUAAUAGAUUGCAUGUUUUACCACUGUAAAUUUGCUAAAAUUGAAUACAAUGACAUAAAAAUUGCCUAUAUCUUGAAUUUUCAAUUCAAACAUAUUCAAUUAUGUUUUAGAUAAAAUUAUCAAAUUAUAUAGUCAAUUCAUAAUUUGUUCAUUAUGAAAACAAUUUGAUAUUCUAUCCUAAAGAAAUCUUGUAAUAAAACUAUCAAAUUAUAUAUUUAUUCAUAAUUCCUAUGGGAAAAUUAUGAGAUAAUUUGAUAUUUUAUUCUAAUUAAUUAUAUAAAUAUAACAAAAAUUCUCGUGGGAUAAAAUUCAUAAUAUUGAGUAUAAUUAAUUACUAUCUAAUAUCAUUAAUCAUUAUGUGAUCCCCAUCUUAAUAUAUAAAUUUAUUUAAUUAAAGAUGCUAUGGCUAAUAAUUAAAUAAAUAAAAUCAUACUCAUCCCUAGACAUUAUCAUGUUGUGCAUAAACGAUUAACUUAAUAUGAGAAUAGGUCUAAGUGCACAAUAUUAACUAAUAUGUUAUGAUUAUAGACAAAAUAUUCUCAUAAACAUUCUAAAUUGAAUAAAAUAAUUGAAACAUAAUCAAUUUAUGCAAACUUAAUAUGAGCAUAAUUCAUAAUUUAAUACAUCCUAAAAUUGCAUAUAUUAUUCCAAACAUAAAUAAUUAACAUAUGCAAAAAUUAGGCCAAGAUAUAAGAUAUGCCCAUAUAUCAAAUAAAUAUGUCGAAGAAUUAAUUAGCCCAAUAGACAUAUAUGUGCCGAAGAAUUAAUUCUGUAAAAAGCGAUCUAGUAAAAGUGUAGGUUAUAGCCCAACUAUUAAUUGCAUAAAGAAAACAGGCAUCAUGAAAAUAACAGGCCCAAUAAGAAUUAAUCCAAUUAAAAAUGGGAAUUUUCACAUAUAUCCCAAUAUAGAAAGAUAAUUCCAAAAUCACUAACACAUAUUUUUUUAUUCCUAAAAUACUAUAUCUUGCAACAUAAAAUUACCGAAUAACCCAAUUAACAUAAAUAUAGGUAACUGAUUGCAAUCGAGAUACAGAUUUAUCUCCAAGUCAUUAAGUAGUUCCUAUAGUGUAAGGAUUUAUUAAAGAAACAAUUGGAUUAUUAAAUAACAUCCUGUUAUAAAAAGAGAGAAAAGAGAAGAGAACAGAGAAAAGUCAAUAAACUUGUGUCUUUUAUUAAGAAUCAAAGCUCUCUAUUUAUAGGGGAGAAUCAGGGUUACAACGGUAAUAAUUUUUAGGGCUGCAGAGGUAUAAUUGUCAUUCACCAAUAAACCCUAACGAACUUUCCUUUUUAGAACACUCCCCCUUAAAUGACACAUUAUAAAAUAUAUAUCUCAUUGAAACGUUAAUUAGCAAAAAUCCAAUGGGACAAAAAUGUCAACAAAAAGAGUAAAAAUAAUUUGGAGUAAUAAGAUGCUUCCUCGUUAAAACUUUGUCAAGAAAAUCCAGUGGGACAAAACUUGAUCGAAGUAAAAAGAGUACAGCUACUCCCCCUGAUUUCAAUUCUUGUAUUAAUUCAUCAUUGCCUUGUACGUCACUCAAUUUUGGUGAAAUGUCUCAUGUUGUCUUGUACAAUCUUCAAAUAAUACCAUCUUCGUAAGGGAUACUUUAUCAUUCUUUGAUAAUUGUAGUAACACGAUAAUUCGAAAAAUAACUCUUAUUGAUUUCUUCAAGAGUUUCAUAUAUAUAAUGUAUUAUUUUGAGGGUAAAUGUCUUGCAUGUUAUAGACAUUAAUUACACGAAGAAUAUGCCUCAUUAAAAUCUUAUUAGGAAAAAACCCUGCGAGAAAAAGUCCUAAUGAAGGAAAAAGAGUACAUUAUUCUUUUGAAUACGCUACAAAAGUUGCCUCAUUAAAAACCAUGCCAGGAAAAUCUAAUGGGAUAAAACCUUGGUCAAGGGAAAAAGGGUGCAACGCGUAUUUACUCCCUCUCAUAUUAAUAUCACUUGAAUUAUGAUUUAGGCAUAUUAAAUCUUUCAAGAUAACAUGGAUAGCCAAAUGUAUUGUCUAUAAUCAAAUUUGUAUCAAAUUCUACUCAUUGUCAGGCUAAUAAAACUGAGACUUGUAAUUAUAUCCACCACAUGAUAAUUUAUCUAUCUAUCUAUAUAAGUCUUCACGAAAUUCAUUAUGUAAAAAGUCGUACAUUUCACAUUACGACAUUACUUUUUCCAUUUUCAUUUCGCACAAGUAUACACCUCUUGGUGUUUGAACUGUAUAUCCAGAAACUUCAGGUUUCUCUAGUAAGUUUAAUUUGACUAGGAUCACGUCCAUUUUAUUUGGCCAAUCACUAUUUCAAUAGAUAUAUUUCAACGAAUUUAUUUCAAUUCCUCGCUAUAUGAUCGAUCACAUCAUAUGUAAAACUGUUGUCGACAACAUUUUCUUCUCUUGUUUGGUUCUAUUUCUUUCUUCAUGAUGACAUAAUUUAUUGAGAUAUCUCAGUUUUCAAUAUAUCAGGUACCUGAACCUCUUCUGAAAUUUUAUAAUCUGUUAUGUCUAAAUACUCAUAAGAGUAUAUGCCUCAUCAAUGAGACCGUCUUUGUUAAUUGCUCUAUUUGGAGAUUUUUUGUGUUAGAAUUGAAUAUCAUCACGCUUCAGGCAUGUCAUUAAAUAUCAUAUUAACUAAUUGUCCUCUGUAACGUUAAUACAAGUUGGAGCAUUUGAAGCUCAUGUGUAAGAUAUUAUUGAUCCAUUUGAUCAGUACAUGCAUCUAAAUAAAUUAUACUUCGAACUUCUUGUUCGAGUAAUCUUUUGCGAGAAUUUAGAUAAUGAUGCAUUUAUACAUUAUUUUCAACUUCUUAAUUCCUCCCCCUAAUGCUGAGAAAAUUGUCAAAUCAAAUUGAUAAAUAUUUUUACUACGUUAUAAAAUAUCACAAUUUGUAAUAAGGGUUCAUACCACACAUUUAUUCUCAGCAUUCAUUACUUUCCAUCUCAGUGCAUUGUGGUGGAUCAAUUUUAUACAUACUGCACUAUAAAAAUAAUUAGAUGAAAAAAUUAGGCUACGACCAUAAGCCAAUUUUAAUAGGGAAAACUAUGAUAUUGGCAAGAUACGUAAUAACAUUCCCUAAAUGGAAAUGGGAAAUACAUUGUUCUCAAUUAAAUUAAUUGUAGACGUUUAAUAAAGAAACUUGUUAAAUCAUUUAUCGACAUCUCAAAAAGCACUCAUUAAACCUACUAGCAUUAACAAGACACAGUUUUGAUUAUUUAAUCUGAAAAUUAUGCUCAUACUUUAAAAUUUGAGCAAUAAUUUCUCAAACUUCAGGUUGCGAAUACCAUGCAAUCAUCUAGUAUUUGUAUUAAAUUUAUUAUAUACAAAUAAUAUUUAGAUGAUCAACGUGGUGGGUGACAAGGCCCAUAUAUCACCCUAAUUAAUUUUCAGAUAUAUAGAAAAUUCAAUCCCAAUUUUAGCUAGUGGCCUUUAAUGAUCAACUGUUGAUAAUGAGAACAAAUGAUACAUAGAAAUUUAAAGAAUUAAAUAAUCUUCUUGUUCUUCAUUUUGAUUUCGCAUCAUUGUUGAUCCAGUGAUGGUCCAACUAGUCAUGCCAAUCAAACUGAACUUCUGGUUCAAUACAAGAUAUAACCCAAUUAUUUAAUUUCGAAGAAUAUGAUUAAAUAUUAUAUAAUCAUAUAAUGAUCAAUGUCCACGUGACAUAAGUCGUAUGCUUUCCUCUAGGGAUAAACAAAAAUUCAAAAUGAUAUAUUCUUCGAAAACGUGCUACUUUGAGAGCACAUUAAUUAUUGCUUCUUCAAGAGCAAUACAUAAAUAUUUUUUUUGAAAUAUUGAUAUAUACCUAGUUAUGAUUAUUUACAAGUGAUAGGAUAAUAUUCUUCAGGAAUAUUGACACAUUUAAAUUAAUCAUAACAUUUUUCUAAAAUAUUAUUAUGCAUGAAUUUGUGCUUCUUUAGGAACACAAUACUGUAUUCUUCAAGUAAACUAGUAUAUAUUAUUUUUACUUCUUUUGGAACAAUAUAUCAAUAUUUUUCUUAAAAAUAUUGAAAUUAUAACGACGUGCUUUCCAAUAGCAUAUCAUUCUUUGAGAAUAUUGAAUCACCAAAUAGUAUGCUCUUCUAGAGCGAUAAAAUUGUUUUGAAUUAUUUGUGUUUCUUCAAGAACACAACAAGAUAUAAUUCUUCAAAAUGUGUGCUACUUUAAGGGCAUGUUGUGUUUUAUUAUUACUUCUUCAAAAGCAAUAUAUCAAUAUUCUUCUGAAUUAUUGAAAGUUAUACAAUAAUUUAUUCUUCAGGAGUAAAAACACAAUUUUCUAAUGAUGCUCUUCGGGAGCAAGUAAAAUAUAACUAGAACAUUAAUAAUAAUGUGUUGAUUCAAGAGCAAAAAUAUUGUAUAGUAGACAAAUAUACGAGUAUUAAAAUCAUGUAUGAUAAGGGUAAGAACGAGAUAAUUAAUCAAACGAUAAACAAUAGUAAUUGACAUUUAGCGAUGAACCUAAUUUAAUAUAUGAUAUUUACACAAUCACAAACCGUAAUAAUUAAGUGCCCACUUUGUUUAAUAUAAACUUAAAAUUUGUCACCAAAAUUUAACUAGAUACCGUGACAUAAUUAUGCAUACAUAUACGUGUAAAAUUAAUAUUACCUUCUAUCAAAUAUGAAGAUGAAUUGCAAACUUACGUAGAUAGCAUUGCCUCAGAACCUCCAAAAAUGGUACAAGAAGGAAUUGAUGAUAAAUUUGGGUGGCUGUAACCUUGGAUAUCAAUCAUUAACCACGAAGGAGAAUUACACACGUGGUGGUCACACAUCUUGAAAAUGGUCGUGCACAUAAUUUAGAUAAAUACGUCUAUUAGUAAUAUGAUGCUCUUCUGGAGCAAUUAAUAUUCUUUUAGAAUAUUUUUAUAGCAUGGGUUGUGUUUUUUCGAGAAUAUCAACACUAUAUUCAUUUAAAAUAAAUAUAAUUUAAGUUAUACUUCUUCAAAAGCAUUGAGUCAAUAUUCUUCUGGAAUAUUGAAAUUGUAAUAUCAUACUCUUCUGGAGCAAUUAAUAUUCUUUUAGAAUAUUAAUAAUGUCGUGCUACUUCAAGAGUACCAACAAACUCUUGUUUAAAAAUAUUAACUCUAUAGGAGUAUGUUAUCAUUAUAAAAUAUUUAUCUGUAUGAAGAUCCGCUCUUCAAGAGUAAUAAGUAUAAUAUUCUUCUGAAAUAUUAAUUAUAAUGUUGUGCUACUUCAAAAACAAAAUAUUUAUAAUAAACAUAUUUAUGAUUAAUAUUCUUAUGGGAUAUUAAAAAAAAUAUUGUUCAUGUAAUGUUGUGCUACUUCAGGAGCAACAACAUGAUACUCAUCUUUGAUAUCGAUCUAAGAUAUUUCUCAAAUCAGGAAAUAAACUAAAUUUUAUAAAAUCCGCUCUUUGAGAGAGAGUAAUAUUCUACUAGAAUAUAACCAUCAUAUGAAAUUUAAUAAACAUGAAUUUUGGAUUCUUCAGGAAUAACAAAAUAUUCUUCAUGACCAAUAUGUCAAUGUUGUGCUACUUCAGGAGUAACAAUAAAAUAUUUGUAGUAGACAGAUCUACAAAUAAUAUUUUCAACAAUUAAUCCGUAUUUGUAAAGCUUUAUUAUUGUUAAUUUAUAUGAAGUACAUGAAAAUCGAACAAACAUUUAUAUAUAUAUAUAUAAAUUCCAAACAUUAUAUUUUACCAUAUAAACAUGAUAUGAAUUUAUAUGGAAAAAUUAAUUACCAAACAUGUAUUAGGAAAAAAAUCUCCAUACAUAGAAGUUAACAAAAAUGGCUAUAUCUUUUAUUAACUAAAUUUUUUACCAACAUGCAAAAAAUACUAAACAUGCACGUGAAUUUCACAUAUAUAGAAAUUAAAUGUAGAACUAAUAUGUGACAAAUUCAAAAGACAGUAUUAACACUGAAUAAUGCAUGAAAAAAAUGAUUGAGUAUGAAUCAAAAGACAUGAACUAAUAUGUGUACAUAUUACACACAUAAACAUGAAUUAAAAUUAAUAUGUAUACCAACGAAAAGUAAAGGAGAAUGAACAACCUUGUUAUGAUGUACAUGUAUAUCGAAAGAAUUCACAUGACACCAAAUUAAUUUUGGUACAUAUGAUAAAUAUUUAUACUUAUAAAAAAAUUACUGCAUUUACUAAACUUUUAAAAAUUAAGCUAUCGUGCUGAUAACAUGUUAUAAAAAGAGAGAAAAGAGAAGAGGAUAGAGAAAAGUCAAUAAACUUGUGUCUUUUAUUAAGAACCAAAGCCCUCUAUUAUUAGGGCAGAAUCAGGGGUACAACGGUAAUAAUUUCUAGGGCUGUAAGGGUAUAAUUGUCAUUCACCAAUAAACCUUAAUGAACUUUCCUUUUUACAACACAUCCGUGUGUAGUUCGAGGUAUAAUUCUAAAAUCCCUUUUUAUUAUUUUUGAAAUUUCUAUUUCAGAUCACUUUAUAUUACUAAAUAAUGAAAAUUCAUGUCUGGCAAUUUACAGUCUUAUGUUAAUUUUUAUUUUUAUUUUUUUCCUUUCUGAAAUGUAAGGCAAUACAUUGUAAGUGUUGCUAUAAUAUAACUUGUAAUGUCUUAACAUUUUUAAGUAUAUUAUUGUUACGUGUGCAAUAUAAUUCUUAUUUUUGUAUCAUAUUGUAUAUUCUAUAGCAAUUAUGGAAUGUCUAAAGGAGCGAUAUUAUGUAAUUUAUGAAAAAUGGAAUGUUGCGAAUCUUGAUAUGUUCUUAUAUGAAUCUUGAAUAAUUAGUGGUUGCAUAUAUAACAUUUUGUUACAUCCAUCAAUCAUAUUUUGUUAUGAUGUUAUGUCAAAUUAAUAAUAUAUAUGGUAGAUUGUUUACUAUAUUUUUGUCAGGUUUUGUGAAAUUGUAUUGUAUAUUAAAAUAUAUUACACUUGGUACUUUGACAACUUACAUGUAAUAUAUUUUGUCGUGUCAAUCAAGGGUAUUCUAAGACUCCUAUUUGAUUUUAUAUUUGACUAAAAAAUACUAUAAUUUUUGAAUUGUAGAGAGAACAUACAAUCUUUGAAUUGUAGAGAGAACAUACUGGAAUUGAUGCUCAAAAUUUGGAGUAAAAGGGACUGAGAUGAGAAAUCUUUGGGAUGUUUUGGAAUUUUUUGGAUUAUCAUAGCUUUGAUUUUGAACGUAUGCGGUACUAUGAUUUGAGAAAGUUUGGAUGGUUCCACAUUACUUUGGGAUUUUUAGAUGAUAAAUUUGGUGUAUUUGAUUAGGUGUGUUUAGAGGAGUGAUAUAAACUGGUUAACUAAUUGAUUGUAGGAGUGAAGUUGUUUAUGAUAUUUUACUUUUACUUACUAGAAUACAGUAUUUCUAGGAUAAAAAAAUGUGAAAAUGUAAAAUUUGAAUUAGUAAGUAAAAUGGAGUAAGACAUGCAAUUUCAACAUUCAAAUAUCUUAUGACCUUUUUUUUUUUUAAAUGGACCAAACUAUAUAUAUAUAUAUAUAUAUAGUCCUUAGCCCAAUAAUUGACUAAUUCAAAUGAAUGCAAAUGAGUUACGUUCAUUCCUAAAAUUAUAGUCAACCUCUAACGAGUUGAAAACAAUCCGACUCCAAACCCACCUCAAACUCAACCUUUCCUCCAUGAAAACUCAAGUUUGAAAACAUACAGAGUCUAGAAAGGUGAUUUUAUGGACAAAUCUGAAUUUAUUUUCAGAAAAGGAUUUUGACUAGAAUUCAGAUUUUUACGUAUUGCUCCAUAAACAUCAAGGCAGAGGUAAAAUGAAGCUCUAAUACCAAAUGUAAGACAAAAAAUCAAUCAUAAACAAUUAUAAUGUAAUGAAUUGGAUCGAAAUAUCAAAAAACCUGUGGAUCGAAUCCAUACCUCCAACAAUUGAUGUUGAUUCAACACUCUUAAUUGAUGGUGUAUAUUGUAUUUUCCAGUGCCGGAGGGGGGGGGGUGCUGAGCUUGAGUAUCAAAACCCAUCUAUAUAUAUAUAUAACCAAAAUCCCCAUCAAAUUAUGGCUUCAGUUACCAGCCUUGAUUGUCCAAUUGAUGGGCAAGUUUUUGAAAAACGUUGGACCACACUGAGUGAAGAAAUGGAACGAUUACACAAUAUUGUACCAGAUUCCUCCUAGGAACACACAAUAACUAGCGUGGACUUACGAUUAUCUAUGCAACUAGCUCACUUUGCAUUUGAGUAAGCUUCAAGCAACGAACCUAAAAUGAAGACCAAAGUUUAGUAGUAUGCUUAAGAUAUAUUAGAUUUUGUUUGUAGGCCUAACAAUACAUUCAGAGUUAAAAUAAUUACACAUCAUCAUAUCAUCAAUUAAAUCGAGACACAGUUUGAAUAGAACAUGUAAUCAAAGAUCUUGAUUGUAUAACACCCACAAUAUCUAGAUUGCUCGGAUACCAAUUAUUGAAAAGAGAACGAGAAUUACCCAAAAAUAAAAAAUAAAAAAAUCCUUAAUUUAAGAAACUGAGAUCAUACUAGAUAUUCACAUAUAUGUUAUAUUCUUGAAUAUAUAAAUUUAAAAUUUUCCUAAAUUCGAUAACCAAAUUCUUGGCCAGAUCACGAAAUGUCAUCUUUUUAUUUGAAGAACAUGAUGCUUCCAACUUUCAAAUCUUCUAUGAUAUUUGUUAUAAAAAAGUGAGAUGGGAAAAAAAAUCACUGGUAGGGAAGGAGAAAUUAACCAUAUCAAAGAUGAUUACAAAAGACGCUACCACUCCGAAUAAUAUGAUGUUAUGAAACCUUAAUAUGUAUUGUAUAGGGCAACUUACAAAAAUACCCUUAAAAUUAGAGGUGUUUUGAAAAAUCAUAUGAAAAGUUUUUAGGAAGUAAAAAAUACUGUGUAAAAUAUAAAAAGUGACACAAUGUCACUUUUUUAUAAAAAUUGUCCCUUUUUUUUUUUUUUACAAAUGCAAAAAAAGUGACAGGAACACUAAAAAAGUGAGAAACACCAAAAUAGCACCAUCCAUUUGGACAGCACCACUAAUUACAUUCUUAAUAUAAUCAGCAUAUCUACGACAAUUCACUUGAGCUUAAUGACGGUUCUUAACAUAAUCAACAUGUGGAUUGUUAAUGUCCUAAUUAUGUGAGGAAAAUAUAACAUAUUAUGUCACUUUUUUAUCUUCUUCAAAAAGUGACAAAUAUUUAAAAAAGUGACAAAAACUUAGAAGGUGACAUUAAAACUCAAAAAAAGUGACACAUUGUAACUUUUAAAAGUUUGGUGUCACUUUUUUAUUAAAAAAUGACAUACAAUCUCACUUUUAUUAAAAAAAAAAAUGAUGUUUGCCAUUGAAAAGGUGAUAAAAAUUUCAAGAAGUUGACUUAAAAAAAGUAAUGAACAAUAAAAAAAAGUGACAAAAUUUCAAAAAAAAAAAAGUGGCAAAAUUUCAAAAAUGUGACAAAUUAAAAAAGUGACGAACACUAAAAAAAGUGGUGAAUUUAAAAAAGAGAUAGAAAUCAAGAAGGUGACAAACAUUAAAAAGUGACGAAAAUUCAAAAAAAAAGUGACGAAUUCAAAAAAAUGCAACCAAGUUUACAGUAAGCUCACAAGUCACAACUAAUGAAAAUUGAUGACUAAACUAAGAUGUAAAUAUCAAAAAAUCAUAUAAACGUUCAUCACUAUUAAUCAAAUAAUAUUUUUUGCGGUCUUCAAAUCAUAACAUAUCCUACAGUUUGCAUACUGACCAAACAGUUUACCAAACUCGGACAAUAUUUUGAGUACCCGAAAAUCACUGUAAUAUGGGAAACGUUGUUCUUCUGGGGCACUGCAUCAAAAAAUCUGCAUGCUAAUUUUAUCUUCCUGCAAUCUUGGUACCCUCAGAUCAUAGCAUUCCAGGAAGCAAAACUAUUCCUUGGCAUCUGUUGAAACAAUGCAUAUCCCUGCCCCUUGCAUAACUAGAAACCAUUUCAUUCCAAGAUAUCACAUCCUUCUUUGGCAUUUCAUCGAACACACUUUGAGCUGCUAAAGUUAUGAUCUGAACAGAAAUUUAGAUUUUGCCUUUUAGCAAACUGAAAAAAGGAGUAUAUAUAUAUAUUGCAUACCAAGUUGAAUAGAUGAGAAUUUAGAAUGUGCUUCUAGACAGAGAAACGCAGAGAUGUAGAGAGAGAUGAGACGCUCCAAAGGGGAUGGUGUAUUGAUGAAACCAUUGCAUUCCAAGAUAUAACAUCCUUCUCUGGCAUUUCGUCAAACACACUCUGAGCCAUUACUAAAUCUCCCCGAUUUCACAUACCCUGCUAACAUCAAUUCCAGAAACAACGUUCUUCCAGCAGUCUGAACAAACAACAUUACAAAAACCAUAUUUGAAUACAAAAACAAUAUUACAAAAACAUAAUCAAGUUCUCGUGCAACAUAGUUUCCAAUUUCCACCCAGGACCACGUCGCAGCAGCCAUUGCAAACGAUAGUGCGGUGGUGUUUGCCUAGAAGGGUGAAACACUUCACGAGUACAAGUGGUGUAGCAAGCGGGCUCUCGAUUGGGGAUCUGGUGGUGAAACCGAUUUGAGUUGUGAAUGACUGUGGCGAUGCUCCUCCCCUCAUUCACGAAGGCUUCAGGAGUUUGGAGGUUUAAGGGAGGUUAUAACGUAUUAAUUACGUUGUUGAAUGAUUUUAUUAAUUAAAUAGGGUAUUAAUCAAAUUAGUAAUUUUUUUAGGGCAUUGGGCCUAAUUUACCCUAUUGUAUAUGCAAUAAAAUAGGUCCAUAGCCUGAGUGGAGCCCCUAAACCACCAUAGCGAUUAGUAGUGGGCUGCAGGUCAGGCCUCUCAGCCCGAUCACUCCGCUACCUUUUUCUCAUAAUUUUAUAGUUUCACCACAUAUGUUGCACAACCAGAUUUCCGUUUUGGGUCAAAUAAAAUUCAGGUCACCAUGUUUUAACAAUAUUCUUUAAAGUCAAGAGUACAAAUGAUCCUUUCAAGAUACUCCAUACGUACAAGUGUCAUCAUUAAACUAUUUAUGCAAUAAAGACAAAUCAUAAUCUCAAAUAAUAAAUUAGUCAACACGACAAGUUUCUAAUACAAGUCAGACCUUAUAUAUCAAUAUUGAACAAGUUUAUUUAUGAUCAAAAUAUAAGUAUAGUGUACUUCUUCACUGAAACACCCACUUAUAGUAUCACUACUGAUCAUUGACAUUUUUAUUCAAAUGCUCUAUAUUAAAUAAAAUGCAAUAACACUAAAUAUAUAAAAAUAAUGUGUUGUUUAAUAAAAUUUUCAUUUUACAACUCUGAAAAACUAUAUUAUAUAGACAUGCAAUCCAGUGAUUAUCCUCCUUGGGAGAAAGAACACUUCUUAGAGUUGGAAAAUUCUUCCAUAUGGAGGAAAUGACUGAUUUCAUGGACUUGAGGAUUCAAGUAAAGAAAUUGAGCUCUUGUAUUGACGUUGUCACCAUUAUCUUUCUUCUAGUCAUCAUUAGUCACUACUUCUUUCACUAGUUUGAUCUGACUGACGAUAAACGAUAGGUUUUCCAGUCUUUGGGAGAAGGGAUUCAACUUGGUCGUGUUGUUGCUUCCCAUCUUGGCGGCGCUUCCUACAAGAGGUGUCAUUUUGUUGAUCCAUGAUUUUUUUGGGCAAAUAUUGGCCAACAUAGAGUGAGUUGUAACUUGUCUAGGCAACAGAAUCUUGCUUCUUUUACUUUCUCUCCAUCUUAGACUCCACAAAAGUUAUUUUACUUAAUGCACUUAGUUCAACUUUAGCGAUCAAGUAUAUCUAAUUAAAGUCCAUAUUUUCCGUGUAAUUAUCUAUAGAUUGUGUUCCCUUUAUUUCUAAAUUUCUAAUUCUAUAUUGUAUUUCUCCGAGAGUUAUGUAUAUUUUAUUUAUUCUAUUAUUUGUAUUGAUUAUUCUAUCCUAAUCUUUCUAUAAUUUGCUAUGGUUUUUACGUUUAUUAUGAAUUUCUUCUUUUAUUCCUAAACAAUUAUUACACUAAAUUUUCAAACAAUUUUACAUUAAUUUCUAUUCUUAUGCACUAGGUAUAUUUUACAUAUUUUAUAUUUAUCCAUCAUUUAUAGACACAUUUUCAAAAAUUCUAUUUCUUCUAAACUACUAUUCUAUACUUGUCUUCAAGACUACUUAAUAUUUCUAAAUCGUCUAAUUCCUCAUUUGUAUGAAUACUAUAUACAUACAAAAUUCAUUACCUGAUAAUUUUAUAAUAUUGUACUAUAUUUCUUCAAUUAUCAUAGAUUUAUUUAAAAUUUCCCUAUUUUUAUUUUUAUUAGGGCAUUUAUUAGCAAAAGGUUUGGGUUCUCCACAAAUAUAACAUUAUAGUCUUUUCAACUUUUUGGCUUUUUAACAUGCCUUUAAUAACUGGGUCUUUUAAUUUUGUAAUAUGUCAUACUCGGUCUAAUAUUAUACUUUCUUAUUUUGGCAUUUUCUUUUGUAUUUAUGAUUUUUUUUUUUUUUAUAUAAUUUUUUUCUUUCUUUUUCUAUAAUCAUAUGCCUAUCGCGCAUAUAAAUUUGAAAAAAAAAUGAAUAAUUUAAUUUCUAUAUUUAUUUUCUAAUUAUUUCUUUUAUACAAUAAUUUUUUAAUUUAUCAGUGAUUAAUUAUAUAUUAGCACUAUAAAUUUUUCAUUUUAUUCCAGGUGCUGAUUCUACAUCAUUUUCUAAUCUUAUCAUUCCAAGGUGAUAAUAUCUUUCUAUAUAAUCUGUGAAGUAUAGAUACAUCUAAUGCUAAUCUUGCUACACUAGCUAGUCUUUCAAAGUCUAAUAAAAAUAGUUUUGUGUACUUCAUGUUGCUUAUAAUUAAUUUUUCUAAUUCUUCAAAGGCUUUGUUUUGUUCAUAUGAUUUAUCUGUUCUAGGGUUAGAUCAUAUAAUUAUUUCUCUAUUAAAGCUAGUAAUCUUUCUUGGAUUUUCUCCUUUGAUCAUUCUUAAUCUAAUUUCUUUCGACUUUAGACUUUUGGCUGUAACAUAUAUGUAUAAUGUCAUCUUUCCUAAAUAAGUUUCUAAAUAAGCCCACAUUUCAUCUAAAGUCCUUUAUGUAGAGACACUAUUAUAUGCCUUAAUAACAUAAUUUUUCCAUUUAGUUAUUGUAUUAGGUUUGUCUUGAGGUUUACAAUUAUUUAUUUCUAAAAUUAAUCAUCUAUUACUUGCUAUAGGUAAACUACAUUCUCCUUCUACUUGUCUUUUUCUUAAACUUUUAUAUUAUGUGUAAUAUCCCGAAAUUUUAGUAGAAUAGAAUUUAAUUUUUUGGUAUACUAUAUUUUAAUAUUUUGAAAGUUUAGGGACUAAAGUAUAUAUAAAGUAAAUUUCAAUUGGGUCAUAUAUUUAGAUAAAUAUGACCGAGCAAUAAUAAGUAUAUAAAUAUUGGGCUCGUUGGAUAGAUCAUAAUUAAAAAUGCAUAUUAAGCUCGAUAAAAAGUUAAUUUGGAUUAGUGGAGCCUAAGUUAUCGAAGUCGGAAGAUAUAACCUUAAAUUAUAUUUUAAAUGAGUUUAAAAAAAAAAUAAGAGAGAUAUAAGGAACCACGAGAGAGAGAGAGAUGCGCUGUUUAAAUUGAAAUUCAAAUUGUUUGAAAUGCUGCCACGAGUAGUCGAGUAUGGAAAUAUAUUGAUUUUUGGGUGAUAUGAUUGAUUGGCAAGACUUAGUUUAAUAUUUUGUUUCAAAUACGAUUUCCUCAACUUUUAUCCCAUUUAACCACUAUAUCUUACACGUUUCCCACUACAUGCCAUCUGUUGGGAGUUAGGUUAUUGUUGCCCAUGUAUAUCUAUACAAAUAUGAUAGAGAGGACAAAAAAAUAACACGGUGAUCACAGUAGAAGCAGAAAAAAGGGACGUUAUACUUAUUUUGUCUUCCAAAAAUCAAAACAAGUUCACAAGAUAGGAUAUUGAGAUCCAGUGUUUUUCUAUCCCAUUUAAAUAUUUGUUUUUCAUGUUGAUGAAUUUCAUACUCAUAAAAGUUAAAGUUAUAAUAUGAUAUGCUAUGAUAUGAAUCAUAUGACCAUUUCGGUACAAUGAUAUGAUAUGAGAUGAGCUCUUACCGAAUUUAAAGAUUUAAGACAUUAUGAUAUUUUGACACAUGCUUUAAAAUUUUUAUAAGGGAUUGCACCAUAAAUUUUUAUAUCCUACUGAGUAUUCUCAUGUACUCACCAUUUUUCCUACACCUCAUAGCUUAGAUCGGGUCGUGUCGGAGCACGGUGGUUCGAUGGUGUGGUUGUGCCUCAUUUUGCUAGAUAAAGAUGUAAUUUAGAACGUAAUUUUAUUUCUUUUAAGUUUAUUGUAAAAGACGCUUAUUUUUAAAAAAAAAAAUUUUAAAAAAUUCGUACAUGUUUAUUCGCAGAUGAAUAUAUGUAGUUUGCAUUUUAAAUAAAAUUUGAAUUAAAUAUUAUUUCUUCUACUGAUUUCAUUGUUUAAAAGUAAUUGGUUAUGUAGCCUUGUUCGUGUGAAAGAUUAAUGUUAUGUACUUUUUCGUGACCUUCCCAGACUUCAUGAAAAUUUAAGGUCAAAUCAAUGAUUCCUUACUUGUCACAUCACGGUUUCAUUGUCUCCCUUAGGUAUACUACACGACAAAUUGGAGGCUUUAAACAUGGUUGACUGGUGGACAUAUCCAUACAUUAAAUAUAUGUCUCAUUGCCUUGUGAUGUAGUGUGUGAAUUCUUUAAUAAAGUAAGACAACUUUUUGGGAGUAUUCUCUCAUUUUGGAGCGUGUCCCAAGUCUUGAAAAAAGAAAAAAGCAUAUUAACUUUGAUUGGGAAUUUCACUUAUUCUAUGUAAAUAUAUGGAAUUCAUCUCAUAUAUAUAUAAUGUCAGAUGGUAAUUGUUUCACACGUGAACAAUUAAAAGAACGGGGUUUUUUCUCUAAUCAUUAAAUUGCAAAUUUUAUGUGCUCUUUUUUUUUUUUUAAAUGUACACGUGGAAGAUAUGGUGUAGGAAAAUAUUUUUUCUUUCCUUUCUAUUGAUUAAUAUGUAUUUCUUUUUACGCAAAUUUGAGUAAAUUACCAUUUCAUAACUAUAUAUUUUAUUGUGCCACGCUAUUUAAAUUUACAUGAAAAUUUUGGUAACAAUUCAAACCUUUAAUUAAAUUUGGGUCGUUGCAUUUUAUCUUCCCAUUCAUAUAAUUUUUUAGGGUAAAAAGGGUACUUCCCUCCAAUAUCAUAUUUUUUUAUUCAUAAUCUCUUUUCCUUUUCUAGAUUUUUGGUCUGUUUUCAUUCUAAUUUCAACAUUCUUUUGAUCUUCCUCUAAUAAAGCUUUUAUUUCUACUUCUUUGUACUUUCCAAGAUUCCUAUAUUAUUCAAUAUCUAUAUAUCUAAAAAAAAUUUCAUCUUCGCUUUCGUCUUCACUUUGCACUUCUUCACUAUAUAUAUAUAUAUAUAUAUAUAUAUAUUCUUCUUUCAUUCUCAUCUUUUUUUUUUGUCUGAUAAUUAUAAUUUUCAAUAUAAUACUUAGAGUUCCAUUACUAUUUUUAUAAAUGAUAUUAUAUUUGGUAUCAAUAUUGGUUUUUUCAAAAAAUUUCUAUGUUCCAAUCUAAAUCUGCAUUUAUUUCUAAAGUGAAUUUUUUUUAGCUAGGAUGGUUUUUAUACCGUUUAGUUCUAAUAAAAUAAUUAUUUGAUUAUGUUCAAAUUUAUAAUUAGUAGUGCUAUUUUCACUAAAUCUUCUUAUAAAUCUGUACCAAUUAACAAAUUAUCUCAUCUCUUUUCCUUUUUGUUCUAGUAACAUAAUUGUUUGAUCAUUUCUAAUUUAUAAUUAGUAUUGCUAUUUUCACUGAAUCUUCCAAUCGAUCCUGUACAAAUUAACAAAUUAUCCGCAUCUCUUUUCAUUCGAUAUCCUUUAGAUUUCACUCAUAUUUUAAUGUCUAUAUAAAAAAUUUUUGUUUUAACUAAACAAUAUAGUGUAAGUGAUGUAGAUUGAAUCUACAAACACACGACAACAAUAACGAAACGGAUUGAAUUCAGAAACAAACUUUUAUUAUUUCGUGAACAACCAAGAAAACCUUAGGAGGCGUCUUGUGGCGUCUUAAAUAUGAAAGAAAAGAUAACCUACUGGGCUAGCAGUCCCAAAAUGGGCUGGGCUACAAAAUGGAAAUAACAAAUGCUGAAAAUAAAUAACACAAAAACUUAAAAUGCUGUUUUGACACACUAAACGACUUCAAAUGCCCAAAAACCCUCGUACAUCACAGCAAAGCUGUGAGUUCAAUCUGAAACGCUCGCUACCUUUCCGAAAUGGGGUUAUGGGCCCAAAACGGACACCAAAUGCAAAAGUUACAUCAAUUUCUUUGAAAGCCGACCAUCCAACUGUUCGGGUAUGCCAAUACCUGUUCCUCCACAUAAACCUCAUCAUUCUCCGGGGGAUCAAUGGGAUUCGCCCUCGAAUCAAAAUCGGUAGCACUAUCUCCCACGUUGUCUCCAUGGUAUGGCAAAAGAUGCUUUACAUUAAACACAUCAGAAGUCCGUAUAUGGGAAGGAAGUCGAAGGCGAUAGGCGUUGGGGUUGAUCUUCUCCACAAUUUCCACUGGACCAAUGGUACGAGGUGAUAACUUCGAAUGCUCAACGUCAAACUCAACAGGACGUCGAUGCCGAUCAGCCGCCUCUUUAUACUUACGGUUGGACUCUAGCAGAUUAGCUCGUUUUUCCUCGUGAACUUGUUGCAAACUACGAACAAAGUCAAUAGCUGUCCCAUGCAGCCGAGUCUUAGAGGACAGAGCCAAUAAAUCAACAGGGCUGCGGGGCAGAAUACUAUACACAACCUGGAAUGGACUGAAAUCGGUGCUUCUAUUUCUAGCAUGAUUAUACACAAACUAUGCUUGGCUAAGCCGCUAAUCCCAUGAGCGUAGAUUAUCCCCAACCAAGCACCGCAACAAGUCACCCAAAGAACGAUUAACUACCUCAGUUUGCCCAUCAGUUUGAGGGUGAUAAGCACUACUAAAAUUGAGCGACGUGUUAACUGACUUCCAUAAACUCCGCCAAAAGUGACCGAUGAACCUCGUGUCUCUGUCAGACACGAUGGAAGUGGGCAACCCAUGCAACCGAUAAAUUUCUCUGAAAAAUAGUUGAGAAACUUUGACAGCAUCAAUGGUGCGCUUGCAGGGAAUGAAGUGCACCAUUUUAGAAAAACGAUCUACCACCACAAAGAUGGAAUCAUUACCACGUUGUGUGCGCGGUAAACUCAGGACAAAAUCCAUGCUAAUAUCAGUCCACGGAGCUGAAGGCACUGGUAAGGGUCGAUAAAGACCAGCGUUUGUGGCUUUCCCCUUUGUCACGUGGCACACCCUGCAUCGUGAGACAAACUUUUCCACUUCACGACGCAUAGUAGGCCAGAAAAAUGAACCGCUAAUCAAAGCCAAAGUACGAUCUCGCCCAACAUGACCUUCACCAUGAAACUCCUCAAUCAAUUCAAACGAAGGCUGCAAUCUGGUAUACACAACUGAAUACCUCUAAACACAUACCCAUCCUCUAACAGAAAAGAGGAAUGGGGUCCCUGCAGUAAACUGUGAUAGAUGGGGCCAAAAUAAGGGUCAUCAGCAUAAAGAGAGACGAAGGUCUCAAACCCGGUGACCGCUACCUGUAGCCGCGCUAAUAACCCAUGCCGCCGACUGAGCACAUCUGCCACACGAUUAGAAGAACCAACCUGAUGUUUAAUGACAAAGUUGAACUGUUGCAAAAAGGCAACCCAUGAUGCAUGACGGGCAGAUACAGACUCCUUGCUUGACAAAUGCUUGAGGGCUUUAUGAUCACUGUAUAAGACAAAUUCUCGCUGAAACAGAUAAUGUCGCCAAUGGCGAAUGGCCUGAACAACAGCUUAAAGCUCUGCGUCGUAAGUGCUAUACCUUCCACGAGCCCCUACCAACUUCUGACUGAAAUAAGCUACUGGUUUUCCUUCCUGACUGAGGACAGCUCCAAUACCUAAUUUAGAGGCAUCACCAUGUAAUGCAAAAGAUUUUGUGAAAUCAGGCAACGCAAGUAUCGGGGCUGAAGUCAGACGCUCCUUAAUGAUCAAAAAUGCUUUCUCAGCUUCGGGUGUCCACUGAAACUUACUCUCCUUCAUGCAAUCAGUAAUGGGAGACAUAAUGGUGCUAAAAUGCUGAGUAAAUCGUCGAUAAAACGACGCUAAACCGUGGAAACUCCGCACAUCAGAAACUGACUGUGGACGCGGCCGCUGCCGAAUCGCAUCAACCUUAGCUGCAUCCACCGUUACCCCACCGGCUGACACAACAUAUCCCAAAAACAAAACACUAUUGGUAUAGAACACGCACUUCUUAGUGGCUGCAAAGAACUUCUCCUUGCGUAAAACAGUAAGGACUUCCCUUAGAUGCACACCAUGAGACUCCUCCGACCCACUGUACACCAAUAUGUUAUCGAAGUAUACAACAACUCACUUACCAAUAAACGGUCGAAGUGCUUGGUUCAUCUCCCGCAUGAACGUGCUCGGUGCAUUGGAUAGUCCAAACGGCAUAACUAGCCACUCAAAUAAUCCCUCCCGUGUCUUAAAUGCUGUCUUCCACUCAUCACCAGGACGGACUCUUAUCUGAUGGUAACCACUUUUCAAGUCCAGUUUGGUAAACACGGUUGCGCCAGCCAAUUGAUCAAGCAAGUCAUCUAGCCUCAGUAUCGAAAAGCGAUAACUAACUGUUAUUUUGUUGAUGGCCCUGCUAUCUAUACACAUCCGAUAACUUCCAUCUUUUUUUGGCACUAGGAGUGUGGGGACUGCACAUGGGCUGAGGCUCUCUCUGAUGUACCCCUUCUGCACCAACUCCUCUACUUGUCUCCUCAACUCCUCAUGUUCCACUAGGCUCAUUCGAUAAUGUGGGCGAUUAGGCAAUGACGCGCCCGGUACCAAAUCAAUGUGAUAUUGCAUAUCCCGCAAAGGCGGAAGACCCUGUAGAAGGUCAUCCGGAAACACAUCAUGAAACUCAAACACCAAGGCGGCAACUUUGGGGUGAAGACCCGUCCCCUCGGCUGCCAUAGGAACUGUCGACACUCCUAUCGCCUCAGUUCCCACUAACAACAGUACAACACUUUCUGCCAGCAUCUCACACACAAAUAAAGAUCGGGAAAGUAGAUUACUACUGUCCCCUGCCGAAGACAGACACUGCGUAUCUUUGGAGGGUAGUAGUACAAUCUUUUUACCCGAAAAGGUGAAUGUAUAUGCAUUUCGACGCCCUUCAUGUCACACAUCCCUAUCAAACUGCCAUGAACGACCCAACAACAAAUGACACGCAUCCAUCGGCACCACAUCACACCAAACACUAUCACGAUACACACUGCCAAUAGAAAAAGAUACCAACACACGGCUAGUAACACGAAUUUCAUUACCUCGUCUCAACCAUGCUAGGCUAUAGGGAGCAAGAUGAGGUUCGGUGCUUAACUGUAGCUUCUGCAUGGCCGCUUCAGAUAUCACAUUUUCGAAACUGCCCGAAUCAAUGAUGAACCUACACACCUUUCCUCCAAUGGUACACGUAGACAGAAAGAUAUUGUUCCGCUGCAGGUCCUCAGACGACCCCUUAGGCGUAAGGCACGCCCAUCGGAUCACCAAAAGAGGCCCCGUGUCACCUGUAUGCACAAUUUCAGCCUCUUCUCCUUCAUUCUCCACAUGAACAGGAUCGUUAACAUCGGCUUGUGUUGUCCUUCCAAUGAACAAACCUGGGCGUGGCUACCCAUAAGAUGGACAGUUCUUCCUCAAAUGACCAAAACCACCACAACCAAAACACUGACUUCCACGCCCUCGUCCACCAAGAGGAGCCCAACCACCCGGAUUAGCGGUUGGAGGAACCACUGGCCGAGUGUUCCGAUCAACGCCCUGACCCCCAGAUGUAAAGGAUUGGGACGGACUAGAUGUGAGAUUUGGGGCGAAUUUUCGACCCCCACCUCCAGAUGGACCACCAGAAAUGCCUACUACAGAACGACGUUGUUGUUGAUUUUCAGCCUGAAGUGCUCGCUGGUGAGCCUCAGAAACAGAUACCGGCGAGAACAUAUUUAGGACGUCUUGCAAAUUCAAUCGUAGUCCAACAAUAUAGCGCGCUACCAACUGAUCUUCUGAUUCUCCCACAUCAUUUCACGCUAUCAGUUGGUAAAACUCUGUGGAAUAAGCAUCUACAGAUCGAUUGCCUUGUCUCAAAUUCUGUAAGCGCUGAUACAAAGUCCUAGAAUAAUUAAAGGGAAGAAACACUGCCUUCAACUGUUUCUUCAUUUUUUCCCAUGACUGGACUUUCGCCUUACCCUGACGGAUCCGAUUUUGCUUCAGUUGCUGCCACCACGCAGCAGCACGACCACGCAGACGGGUCGCCACCAAAGGUACCCUUUUAUUGUCGGGCACUUCUUUAUAAUCCAAGAUCUCCUCUACUGCCGCCAGCCAAUCGAGGAAUUCAUCUGCCUCAAUUCCACCGUGAAAUUCAGGUAUAUCAACCUUGAAUCCGGAUUCCCAUCGCUGAAACGCGUCUUGCUGUUGCACACGAGGCUGUUGAACACGAUCGCCACGUGCCUUUGACAAGGUCUCCUCAUCCGACCUCUCCCCUGAUUCAGAUCCCCCUCCACCAUCACUCACUGGGGCACGACGUGGAGGAGCAGGAGGUGUUCCGUUCUGCACAACCUCUGCUGCCCACGUCAUGAAUUGAUCAAAUCGGAUUGUCAACGCCUCAACUUGAUUACGCAGAUCUGCAACCUCAUCAAUCUGGCCACCACGGCCACCACGUCCUCUCCCACACACCAUGCUCUGAUACCAAAAUGAUGUAGAUUGAAUCUACAAACACACGACAACAAUAACCAAACGGAUUGAAUUCAGAAACAAACUUUUAUUAUUUCAUGAACAACCAAGAAAACCCUAGGAGACGUCUUAUGGCGUCUUAAAUAUGAAAGAAAAGAUAACCUACUGGGCCAGCAGUCUCAAAAUGGGCUGGGCUACAAAAUGGAAAUAACAAAUGCUGAAAAUAAAUAACACAAAAACUUAAAAUGCUGUUUUGACACACUAAACGACUUCAAAUGUCCAAAAACCCUCGUACAUCACAGCAAAGCUGUGAGUUCAAUCCGAAACGCUCGCUACCUUUUUGAAAUGGGGUUAUGGGCCCAAAACGGACACCAAACGCAAAAGUUACAUCAAUCUCUUUGAAAGCCGACCAUCCAACCGUUCCAUGUAUGCCAAUGCCUGUUCCUCCACAUAAACCUCAUCAGUAAGGUAAAUUAUAACUCCUUUAUUAUUCAUAUCUAAUUUUGUUCUUCCUAAUAGUCCUUAUUCUAAAAUUGUAAAUCUGUUAUCAUAUAAACAUAUUUAUAUUUUAGCUCCUAAAUUUUCUCUAUGUAGCCUUUUUACUACUACUAUAAUUAAUCCUAAAUGAGGUCGUUGAAGAUUUUUAUUAACAAUUUCUUCAUACGAUUCUUUUUCUAUUAGUUUUGAAGAUACGAAUUGGUCUUCAUGUGUACAUGAAACAUGUCUUUCUGCAUAAUAUUGAUAUAUUAAAGACUUGUUAAAGAUAUAUUCCUUUCUUAUAAAUGUCUAAAACUUUUUCAAAUUUUUAACGUAUUUUAUCUAAAAGUUUUUAUCUGUUCCUCAACAUCUAUUAAAGAUUCUAAUCUUGUUUCCGAUUCUAUUUUUUUCUUAACUUAAUGAUCUUAUUAAAGGAUUGCUUAACAUUCUACUACAAGCCACAAUUUAUUUUCCUUUAUUCAAUACGUAUAAAUCCACUUAGUGUUCUUAAAUCUGCUAGAUUCUUUAGUUUUUCCCAAGUCUAAAUUUUCUAACUUAUUUAUUAAAAUGUCAGUCUUGUUUAUGAGUAUCUAUUGAUUUUUCUUUUUCUAAUUUUUGUGUUCUACUUUCUAAUUUGUUGAAGCUAAUCUUUUGUAAAUUAUUACAAUUUUCUUGUAAAUUUUCAAUCUGUUAUAGAGAUUUUUCUAUGGAAUUUUUAUAUAUAUUUCACUUGUGUUGCAAAACUUCAUUUUUUGUAUUUCACAAUUUUGAUUUCUAAUAUAUUCUAAAUUAUUUUCUAAGGUCUUUAUGUUUUUACUUAUUGCUCGUUGAGAUAUUUAUUUCUAAUCUUUCUUCUAGAUUUACAAUUAAAUCUACAAUAUUAUUAACUGUUUAUCUUCAAAACGUAAAAGAUGUUAAAACUUCUCUCAACAUAUGCAAUUGUAACUGGUACAUCAGUAAUAUUCUAUAAACAAAUCACACAUUUAAAAAACAACCGUUAUUUUUAUAUCGUCUAAAACUUUGUUAACCUCUUUGGUGUCUUCUAACAAAUGAUUUUUAAUCAUUUGUUGCUUAGAAAAUAAAUUUAUGUUUAUAAAUAUCAUAAUCCUUGUCAUGCUUAAUUUUUUUCAAGCUUAUUGCAUCAACACCUCAAACAAUUAUCUUCUCAGUUUGCAAAUUUUUUUAAAUCAAACAAAAAAUCAAAAGCAUUUUCAUAUUUUAAAAAUUGUUCAAAGAUUAACCUAGGAGAAGAAAGAACUUAGUCAACUAUAGAUAAUAAAUAAUAAACUCUAAAAGAUUUCUCAGCAUAAUGUUUUAUCUCACCUUUAACAUUUUGAUCAAAGUGCUUCUUUCUAUGAUAAUACAUGAAAUGUAGAUUCAACUUCAACUCAAGCAACGAUUUCUUUAAGAGUAAUCUUGUCAGAUUCAAAUUCAGUUUCUCUACAUAUUUCAAAGAAUAAAAUAUGUUCUUUUAAAGUUGAUAAUAGUAACGCCAAUAUACAUAUUCUUAUUUUGUAACAUUUUUCUUACUCUAAUAAUGGUACACAAUGUAUUACACCAAUAAUCAUGUCAAAUAAGAACUCAAAAUUCUUAUUGUCAUAAGAUAAAUUUUUAGCAUCCCCAAAUAUCUUAGCAUCAUCACAUGUUUUCCCUAAGUGUCUUAAAGCAGCUUUUAUUUCUGAUGAUUAAAUUUUAUUGCUUUGGCAUUUCCAACUUAGCGUUCUUAAUGUGUUUGUGAAAGUGCCUUAAGUCUUAGAUCUUUCACAUUAUCCCGAAGAAUUUUUCAUUGCUUUGUAGAAGAUGAAAAUAAUAUAUGUACAAUUUCAAAAAACAUUUAGCUUCGAUAAAAAAAUUUGUCAUAUCACAAAGUUCAAUAAUGUAAGACCCCUUUUUUGUGUGAAAUUUUCUUUUAUAUGUAUACACACACACACACACCCCUUGCAGCCAAAUAAGGAAACAAAGCAACAAAUGGAAACAAACGGUGUAUGGAAACUCUAUUCUUAUUCUUCUUCUCUUUGGCACUUCAUUUUAAGUUGGUGGGAAAAUAUUAAAAGAGCGUAACUUUGACAAAAUCUAUUGGACCUUGAUUGCAAGACUCAAUGGUAAAUAUACCAGCCUACUCUUGGUUGCUCCAAACAAAUGGGGUGCAUAUUACAUUAGAUUGCACAAUUUCUUAAACAAAAUGACAAUCCUCGUAAGAUGUUUAGUUCGUUCAUAUAAAGCAAUCGUAUAACUUCUUGAUUGUCACCAAACAAUUUGGGUGAAGAAAAAGUGGCAAGCCCCAAAUCUCCAUGUAGGCAAUCAAGUUACUUCACUAGUGAUUGAGGACAUAGCGUGAUUUAUGAAGCUUCUGCACUAGAGUGCUCAAUAACAUUCAAUUUAUUGCUUUUCAUCUCACUAACUUACCCCCAAAAGAUGUAUAAUAUCCAAUUGUAGAUUUGCAAUUAGAAUCAUUAUAUGCAUCAAUGUCUUUCUAGAUCCAACACAUUCUCAGAGUAGGAAUUGCGAUCCCUAGAAAUAUUUUCUCAUCCCCAGAUCCUUAUUAAACAACCUUUGUGUAAUAGUAUUUAAGUUUUGAGAUUUUAACGUCAUCUUCACAUGUAAUUACAAUGUCAUCAAUACAUACCAAUAUGAUCGUGGCACUUGUAGCUCCUUUUAAGCAACUAAUGAGAGGGUUAAGUAGAGAUCAUUUUAAAGUUAUUUUCCAGAAGAAUAGUAGCUUUAGCAUGUUGAAAGUUGAUUCAGAAAUUAUCCAAAUUUAAUUUAGUCUUUAAUAUUUAUUUUUCAUGCAGAUUCUUGCUGCUUAAUUCACUAUUUUUUAUUAAUAAAUAAGUCUGAAAGUAGUGGCAAUAAUAUAUGAUAUUAGUUGAAAUUUUUUAGCUUUUCAGUUUGCUUGUAAGCCUUUAAAUAAGCACUUUCAAUUCUGGAAUAAAUGAAGCGGCAGAUAACUUGCAUAUUCUGCAUUUUUUAGUUUUAUUUUCUCUCUGCAAUUUCCUUUUUUAAUACUCCACUACUCUAAAUUCCCAACAAGGCAUACCAAGCUAAAGGUGACUACUUGAGCUUAUACAAAGCCUUCUAUCGAAAUGUGAGUCUCGCCUAUGACACGGUGGGACAUUUAUAUAAACUUCUUCUUGCAAAAAUGCAUUUUUUUCACGUUCUUUGAAAUAAUUUUUAUCCUUGACCACGAAAAAGAUAAGUACUUUAGCCAUGUUUGGUGUAGUUAAACUUUAAAUAUUUACUAGAAUUUUAUAAAAGUUGAUGAGAUGUGUAGUUGAAAAGUUGUGAAUUUCAUAAAAUGUGUGAUUAAAAUUAAUUGUUCACUUUAACUUACAUCAGACAAAGGGUAAACAACAACAUGAACAAAAGUUUUCCUAUAGCAUUUUGCACAUGUUCAAGUAAAACCAGUUACAAACUCGUGUCAUUCAAUAAUGUCACCACUCUUGUAUUUAUUCUUGCAAGUCCAGCUACAGCUCAAUGUUUUCUUUACCCAUGGCAGCUUAACAAUUUCCUUGCUUUUGUUCUUAUCAAGAGCACUUAGUUAAUUUUCCAUAGCUUUUCUCGAAUGAUGUCUGAAUUUUCUUUGACAUAAUCUUGGUUUUUGAUGGUCAAAUAGCUAAGAAUACAUAAUAUGAUUGUGCCACAUUUUCGUAUGUCAAAUACGCUUGCAUAGGAUAGUUGACAUCUGUAUUUUAAAAUCCAUGCAUAUGUUUCGCAUAUGUUUGAUGUAUUUUCGAAACACCUUGUAUAUAGGGUAUGCACUUGAUAAUGUGGUCAACCCAUUUUGUUGAUCGUAUAUGCACACUUAAAAACGCCAAAAUGCACAUUCAUUUCUAUUAAAAAUCGUGUCAAAAUUAGUGUGGCAAAGCCAAUGCAUUUUCAUCUUAAAAAAAUGUAAAUUGAGCUCAAUAAAUAUCAAAUUAGCCCAAAUCACCCAACUUCAUGGAUUAUAUACAACAAUAUGUAAGUAUUUAUGUUUAUAAAAAAAAAAAAUCAGAAAUCAAGAAUUUUUUUUCGUAGAGUUGCAAACUAAAUACAUCGAACUCGAGCCUCCUUCUUCUUCUGUCUUCCGCUAGUUUUACUAGCAAGUGAUGCUAGUUGUGUCCAAUCUUGAAUUGUUGAUGAUUAUGAUAAUGAAGAGGAGAUUACCAUUAAUAUCUUACCAUCUACAAGAAGUAAUACAAGUUUUUCAAUUGAAAUGAGGGAACAUGAUAAAGAUGACUUUGUAUUGGAGAACGCAAAAAGAUGAUUUGGAUGAAAAAGAGGAGAAUGAAUUGGAAUCUGAUAAACAACUAGACAAGAUUUAGAAUUUUUUAAAUCGAUGUCUGUGUCUAAUCUAAUUAUAAGAAUUGAUUAUCAAGUAAUUGUAGUAUUUAUAUUUUUGAGCAAUAUAUUUUUGUUGAAAUUAUGAAAAAAAAAUAUGAAGUUCAAGAAUUGUAGUGUUUAUAAUUUUAACCGAUACAUACAUACAUAUUUAUUGAAAAUUUGAAGAACAUGUAUAAGGUUUAGAGAAUCCAUUACUUUAUUUAUUUAUUAGUUUAGAAUAUUUAAAAUAAUAUCAAAAGUUGGAAAAUAUAUAAUUGUGUAUAUGCUUCGCAUAAGCACGCAUAUGCUUGUAAUGCUUGAUGGUUAACCGAAAUGUAUUGCUAUGCAUUAGUAUUUUAGAACCUAGGUGAAAUUAUAAUACGUGAGAAGCUAUCUAUCUACUUGAUUUUCUUUGAAGCAUAGAGUCCACUAAGAGUUUGAAUUUCUUCAUUGUGAGCUACAAUUUCACUCGUAAUCUCUGAUUCUAAGAAUUUCUCAAGUUCUUUCCUUAAAAGAAAUAAAACCACCAAUUACUUGUGGGAGAGAAAGCAGAUCAUAUACAUUCCCUUCCUAAGUUGAUUGUCAAAUCUUAUUAUUUCCAUAUACGAUUUCAAUUCUCAAACUAUACAUCAGGGGUGAUGUUAAAAUUAGGGUGUGACUCGAAUUCUAUUUUGAAGAUAAUUGGAGAUUCUAAUUAAAGUCAACUUAAGAAGAAUUCUAUUUGAAAUGCUUCUUGGAAUCUUAUUCAAAGUCUAUUUGGCAAAUUCUGUUGAAAUUCUAUUUGAAAGCCCAAUUGGGAGUUAAAAUUUGUAUUGAACUUGAAGAGAACAAGAUAUGGACAAAAGGAAUGACGAAAAACAUCAUUGGAGCAAUAUUUCCCGAGAUCGGGUGCUCCAACGCCAUGUUGCGGCUCUAGAAGAAAAAAAAGAACAGUGGUUGUGAACCCUGGCACCGGUUGGAUGCCUUGGGCCAAGAGGAUGAUGGUGUCCCAGCGCCAUCUGUAUAAGAAAAAUCCUAUUUUGACGUUGAUUCUUGAAUUUUACUUCAACCAGAAUUUCACUAUAUAUACUUAGCACUUCAUUCUUUUUAGAUUAUGCUAGACAAAAUAUAAAUAUAAAAUCAUUGUAUUCUUUCUCCAUAUUUUAAUAAAUUCUCCUUUUCUCUACAAAUUAUUUUGUUCUUGAGUUUGUGAUCAAUUACUAAUUACUUAAUAUUGUGCCAUGUUUUAUUUUUUUGCCCAUUAUUACAAUAAUUAGUAUCAGAGCGAAGGUUUUAUUCAUUGGAGAUUUUAUUUUGGGAUGGCAACCAUGAAGUUAGAUAUUUUUCUUUUGGAUUGCAGCAUAAGAUUUUCAUUGUUGCAAGUAAAAAUGUGAGCAAUACUCACUCAAAUGAAUUUGGACGAUACAUUGUUGGGAUUUGACAAGAUGCCCACAACUUGGAAUAAGGAGGAGAAACAACGUAGGAAUCUAAAUAUCCUAUAACAAAUUCAUCUUCAUCUUUUUGAAUAAUAUUCUCUAUGAGGUUUUGAAAGAGAAGUCCACUACUGCGUUAUGUUUGACAUUUAGUAAUUACGCAUGACAAAGAGUCUAACUAGCAAAUUGUACUUGAAGCAACACCUUUAUUCUCAUUGUAUGACAGAAAUUGCAUCUCUUAAAUAACACCCAGUUGUUUUUAAAGAUAUCGUAGCUGAUUAGGAACCCUUGGAAGUUAUAUAUGAUGAAGAAUAUUUUGGUUUAAUAUUGUUGUGUUCAUAUAUAUAUGAUGCCCUAUAUUUAAAGGAGAAGAUGAAGCAUCUCGUUAGAACUGAGGCUCAUGGAGAUGCCCUUAUUGUUGAUGGUAGUUGUUCAAGGAGCUAAAAAGGUCUAACUUUACAAAUAAAAUUUGUAAUUAUUACAAGAAAAAGGGACACUUGGUUACCUAUUGCUAUAAUUACAAAAUAAAGAAAAAUUGGCCGCAAAUAAUAAGAAGAGAAAGCAAUUAGGUACUCUAGGUGAAGCUAGUGUUGCAAGAACGUUUCACAAUGAUGGAGAUAUUUUGAUUGUUUCUGAUGGCGUCAUGGCGACUUCAAACAUAAAGAGGAUUUGAUUUUUGAUAUGGCUUGCACUUUUCAUAUGUGUUCUAGGAUUCAUUUACAACAUAUGAAGAAGUUUCCAAAAGUGUUGUGAUGAUCGAUAAUAAUACACCUUGUCGGAUAGCUGUUAUAAGAAAGAUCAAACUUAAGUUGUUUGACAGAAAUAUCAGAACACUUGAUGCAGUCAACAUGUUCCUAAUUUAAAAAAAAAAAUCUUACCUCCUUGAGUACCCUUGACUUGAAAGGGAACAAAUUCAUUGGUGAAGGCAGAGUCUUAAAGGUUUGUAAAAGUGCUCAUAUUGUGUUGCAGGGAUAGGAAAAGACCUAAUUAUAUGUCUUGUCAAUUCCUAUAGAAUCUCUGAUCAGUCAUCACAAAUUUGUAGCUCAAAUGGAUUGUGAGUUUGGUUUAGUAUCAUCAGAGUUUUGCUUGGGGUCUACUUUGAUGAAUAUAGGAAUGUAAACAAGUCAAGUCGAACCGAGCCGAGUAAUUUAUUUGUAUAUUUCACUACAACAAAAACAGCAUUUUGUAACGUUCAAAAAAUGUUGCUUAAAACCUUUUGCAACGUUCGGCCACAUGUUGCUAAUCCCGAUGUUGCCGUAGAGUAAAAGGAUAAGGCAACAUUUUUCGAACAUUUUGCAAAAAUCUCUUUCACAAUGUUUCUCAAACGUUGCAAAAAGAACUUUCACAAUGUUUUUCGAAAGUUGCAAAAAGAACUUUCGCGACAUUUUUCGAACAUUGCCAAAAACCUUUUCGCAAUGUUUUUUUGACCUUUUUACAAUGUUUUUCGAACGUUUUUAAAAAUCUUUUUGCUGCAUUUUUCGAACGUUGCUAAAAGGCGAAGGGACGAGUUGCUGGUCGCGAAGAGUGAGGAGUAAAAUUUGUCGUUUGAGGAGUAUGAUCUUUUUGUGUUUUUUUUCUAGUCAUCCAUUAAUAGUCCAAAACUUUAAAAAAAAUGAUAAUAAAAGUUAUUUUGAUUAGGCCCAAAUAUCAUUUCAAAUUUUUGCAACGUUUUAUAAACAUUGCGAAAGAAAAAACUUUUGGCAACAUUUCAUAAACGUUGCGAAGAAAACUUUUUAUAACAUUUCAUAAGUGUUGCGAAAGAUAAAGUUUUUUGCAACGUGUCAUAAACGUUGCGAAAGACAAAUCUUUUUGCAACGUUAAAUAAACGUUGCAAAAAGGCAAUAUUGGCAACAAUUCACUUAAAAAAUGUUGCUAAAGCUCAAUUAUGCUGAGCAAUGGCAACAUUCAUGUAUUGGAAUGUUGCGAUAGUCCUCUUUAGCGACAUUUACUUGACAAAUGUUGCCUUUUGCAUGUUGCAAAAAGCCAUUUUCGUUGUAGUGUUUAAUUUUGAACGUGUCUCUUAACAUGUAGAUCGUAUACAUUUUUCUAUUAAAAACUUCAGACUAAUUUUUUUGGUCAAUGAUUAUCAUCCUGAAUCUUUGUUAGAGUCUAAUUUGACUAUGUGAGAUUAAUCAUUUUCGAUAAAAAGCCAAGAAUUUGUUGGUUUUCUUCUCUCAUAUAUGGUCCAAUAUUCUUCGGAAUUCAAACCUUGUUGAGAGUUCCAUUAAAGAUCAAAAAUUGCCGAAACAAUAACUUGAAGAUCCUUAGCUUGAUAUGAUGGUAUAAUCAAUUUUACAGGCUGACACCAUCUUCAAGGAUUAGAAGGAAGCAUUAUCUUGCAGUCAUCUUUGACACAGGAAAUUAAAGGCAAUUGUAAAUGCCUUUUUCAUUUAAAAAACAUGGGCCAAAAAUGGCCGGUAUUGGUAUGCCUAAUAGAGGCUGGCUCGGGCUCGGGGGCCAAUACUCAAAAAUGAGGCUCGACCCAAAGCCGAACCUGAGGAGAGUCUCAACAGGCCGUCGCCUCAGGGCCCAACAAUUAAAGGGGCCCAAAAAGAACUUUUGUUUACAUUUUUUUGUUGAAAACCCAGCACACGAGCCAGAUUCUCUGCUGGAGGGAAAAAAAUUGUAAUUGAAGAAAUGCACAAAUUUUGGGUUUUAGAACUCAGAUCUGUGUGAAGAUACACCGCCGAGUUACCGACGUACUAGAAGUUUAUAUUCUUCUGCCCUUCACCGCCAUACUUUACUCAAGGAGGCAGGAGUCGCAAUUGACUUCAAUCACCGCCACAAUGGAAAAUCUAGAGAGCUUUAGUCGACGAGUUUAACAUCUGUAUAUAUGCUGAUUGCUGUGUGUAUAAACAGGACAAUGAGAGAUAGAAAGUGGUGUGUGAGAGAAGAGUGAGUGAGAGAGAGAGAGUGUGUGUGUGUGUGUGUGUGUGUGUGAUAAUUACAAUCUAUAUCAUUAUGUGUGUGUGAGAGUAGAGUGUCAGAGAAAAAGAAUGAGGGUAGAGAGAGUGCAUAUUCACAUUGCGAAGGAAGUAGAGGUUUUACUUUUUUGACGUUUAUACUUUUUUUAGUGUUAGAAAUGGGAAAUUUGUACAAGUAAAGAAAAAAUAACAAAUGUAUUUUCUCAUUUGAAAAUUUGUUUUGAAAAUGCUUUUCAUACUUUUAAAAUUCUAAAAUUUUGAACUAUACAAUGGACUGUUAUAAACUUUUUUCAUAGUAGUCAAACCUUGAAAAUUUUCUUAUUUUUGUGAGAACGGAAAAAAAACUUUCUUUAAUUUCAAUAGCAUGUUUUACAUAACUCAGAAGUUAAUUGAAACAAGAAAUUAUUCUUAUCUUCUGUUGGUUUAUAAGCUCAAAGUAUUGAUUUUGAUCUUACCAAACAGGUAGGUUGAAACAAGGAAAUUGUGAACAACGUUAUGUUGAGAAUAAUGAUUUUUUUUUGUGUAAAUGAUAGAAAGGAUUGUUGAAUUUGGUUCAAUGAUGAAAGAACACAUUCAACGUGCUCAAACACUUGAGAUUCAUCAUAUAUAUCUUGGUCCUAUAAUUCAAAAUGCAAUGAUGCAAAAGUUGGCAAGCGAGGUUAGUAGUGCAAUUAUCCCAAAUCUGAACUAUGCAAAAUAUUUUUAUGUCAUACUUGAUUGCACUCCAAAUUUCAUUUUAUUUGUUAUUUUAUUAUUGAUUUUAAAUUAACAAAGUUAGUUCGCAAAACUCUUAUAAACGAAAAAAAAAAAUUUACUCGCUAGAUACAAUUUAGGAGCCCAAAUUCAGAAGUUCGCCUCAAGCCCCGUGAAACACAGGUACGACCCUGGCUCGACCCAAGUCGAGGCUUGAUUCCAAUGAGCCGCGAGAUGAGCCAGCACGGAUUUUUCCCGGGCCGAGCCUUGAGCCGCUCGAGCCGAAUUGACAUCCCUAAAUGAAUACAUUUAAGUCAAGUUUGAAAGUUAUAGAUAAUUUCGCUACCACCAUUACCAGUGGUUUUUUUCAAUCACUUGCUAGAAACAAAAUCGUUUGUGAUAUUUUGCCUUUACGUAGGUAUAAGAUGUAGAUUUAGUUGCAUACAUUUUGAAUGUGGUUGAAGGUAUUGAUUCUAGCCAAGAUUUUUUGUUGAAGCAUUUUGUGGUGAUUCUAUUAUAGGUUAUUCGUGAUUUGAGCAACUUUGGUGUCUAAGGUAGUUCUUAGAAUUUUGUUACUCAGUUUUUGGAGUUUGAACCUAUUUUAGGUUUUGUGGUAGAGGUAAAGGUAGAUGAUAUUUUAAAGUUGGAAAUUUUGAUAGAAAAUUUCUUUUGUGUUUUUGACACAAAGUUGAAGUUUAAUCCUCAUAGUAGAAUUUGUCUUUAGGUGGAGAUUCUUUGAACUUUAUUCAUGGCAGUGAAUUUGUGUGAAGGCAGAGUUUGUAGAAUUAGGAUGUCAUCUAAUUUCUAUUUUAAACAUAAUUGAAAAUUCUAAUUAAAGUUGACUUAAGAAGAAUUCUAUUUAGAAUGCAUUUUGGAAUUUUAUCCGAAAUCAAUUUGAUAAAUUCUAGUUGAAGUUAUAUUCGAAAGCCCAAUUGAGAGUAAAAAUUUGUAUUGGACUUGAAGAGGAUAAGGUACGAACAAAGGAAUAAAGGAAAAUAUCAAUGGAGCAAUAUUUUGCAAGAUUGGGCGCCCCAGUGCCUUGUCUCUGCGCCUAGAGAGAAAAAGGAAAUAGCGGUUGAGCGCCUCAAUGCUAGGAGAGCUAAUUCUUGCAUUCUACUUCAAUUGGAACUCCAAAAUUGGACUUCUAUAUAUAUUUGGCUCUAUACCUUAUUUUAGAAUAAAUUAGACACAGCAUAAAAAAAUUACUGUAUUCUUUCUCCAUAUUGUAAUGAAAUUUUCUUUCCUCCGCAAAUUAUUUUGUUCUUGAGUUUGUGAUCAAUUAGUUCAUAUUGUGUCAUAUUUUCUUUCCUUGCCUAUUAUUACAACAGGUAACAAAACUUGCGAUAGCCACAUUUCAAUAAAUAUACAUAUUUCUUUGUACAAGAACAUGAAGAGAAGAUACACUUCAAUGCCCCAGCAUCAAACUUAAGGUGCACAACUUAUACAAUCAAAUACUCUCAAGUGAAAAAUAUUUGGACUAAAGCCCGACCUAAUUUAAGAAUAUGUUGUAUUUUUCUUCUUCGUCUCAACAUUUUAUUGUGGGGUCAAGUGCAACUAUAAGAUGUAUAAUUCCAUGUCUAUGGAGAUUGUAGCGGAAAUCCCUCGAUAAAUUUUGACUCCGGACUCAGAAAACAAUCAAACAAACACCGAUUUACCUUGGUUCGACCCAAGACUUUUGCAUUCACUUUGGAUUGCCCAACUCUCUCAAACCCUUCAAAAGGAGAAGGGAUGGUGGUGGUAAUAGGAAGGAGAGGAAGAGGCAACAAUGAUGUGAAUCACUCCAACAAACCCUCCAAGUCGACCGCCCCUCAACCUUCUUGGCCCCCUCCCUCUCACGGCCCUCUCUUUCACACACACCCAUUCACCAUCAUCGAGAAAACGGCUGAGAAUAAAUGGAUAUAUAUAUAUAUAUAUAGUCUAGGUUAGACACACAACUUGGGGCAAAAACUUGUGCAAAAGGGCUUCUUAAAACCUAAACUAAUGGGCUACCAAUUACUCCAACCUCCAAUCUACUAAUUCAACAAAUACCCCAAAGCCCAACACUAACCAAGACUUGCGUCAUCCAAAAGUGUAGUUCGUCUCUGAGUCGAGUCAAGUCCAUGGUAUCGAUAAAUAAUCGACAACUAUUUUAAAUCAUUGGGUAUCAAAAAACCCAACAGAGAUGUUCAUGAAAAUAGUUAACCUUUUAUCUAGUGUCAUUGUAAAAUCUAAAAAAAUUAACCCUGGCAUGGAAUUAAUUAAUUAAUUAACAAAAUUAUGUUAAGGACGUUAAUAAAUAAAAUUCUUGCAAUUUCUAACUAUUUGAAUGGGUAAAAGAUAUUAUCCAAUAUCGUGUUAAAGUUAAUAUGGUUCAAAUUCAAGUGAAAAUUGGGCACAAGAGAAUAAAUAAUCCGGCAUGUAUGCUUUACUACAAGAACCAUGAAAAUAACACGAUAGAGAAUUUUUGAAUUUCUUUAUUAUAAAGUGGAAAAACCUAUAGAUCGUUAUUUGGGGUGUAUAUUUUUGUACAGAAAUUACAAUUUGUAUGAAAAUAACAUGAAUGAAUAUUUUCAUUUGUAUAGAAAUUUUUCUCAUAGAAUUCUACCAGAAUACUCUCGUGUGUAGGCCCCAUAUUUUGAUAAAAAAAAAAUGCCAAAAAAUUCUCUCACCUCUCCUCUGUGAGUCAAUCCUAUCAUUUCUGUGUGCUUCCAUCCGUACAUGUUGAAGUGCUCCUAUAGAAUAUGAAUAAAUGAUUUCUUUUCUUUCUUGAUAGUUUAAGCGCCUGUCCAGCACCAAUUUCUCCCAGAUUUUCAUUAAUUUUUCUCACCGUUGGAGCAGGUUCCAAGUGUGAGAAGCAAGUCAACAAAGCUGUCUACUUUGCCUAGAAGUUGACCGAAGUGUACAGUGACCUACCAGUUGAAUUUUCUUAGUAUUCUGUAUAGGUUGAAUCAACAAAACCGGCAAAGCAUUUACGCUUAGACGGGAAAUUCGGGAAUCUGUCGACAUAACACACCUAUAGCAAAGUUGUAUACUCAAAGUGCAGCUUUGGCCCAUUUGAACGCCAUUAAUUUUCAUUCUAUUAAAUUUUAUUUUUCUCUUUCUUAUUUUCAAUCAUAUAAUUUUAUAUAAAAUAAUAUUACACAUAAAUCGAAAUUUUUUUUUUCUUUUUUAACUACUCAUUUUUCAAAAAGAUACUGCCCUUGUUUGAACCCCAUUCUUUUGAAGAAAUUCAUUUUUCAACAAUGUUUUGAUAUCAUUUCAACCACAAAAUUUUCAAUAAAAUAAUAUUACACGCAAAUCCAAAAAUUGUCCUUAUUUUUUAACCACACAUUUUCCAUUAAUACACUAUUCAAAAAUUUAUUCUUCCCAAAAAAAUGGGGCUCAAACAAGGGUACUAUUUUAUGCAUUUUCAUUUCUACAAAAUGGGGGCAUCACUUUAUUUCCAAAAGCCUAGGACCAUUUGAUAUGGCCCCACUUGGCCCCUAUCAAAUAUCAUUUUUUUCUCUUCUAUUUUCAACCAUACAAUUUUUCAUAAAAUAAUAUUAUACGUAAUUCGAAAAAAUUUUACCAUUCCACCCAUUUUCAUUUUAAAAAAUGGGGGCCAUGAUGUUAUAAUCAAAAUAUUUUGGCAAAAAAAGUGCACCCAAACAAGGCUAAGUUUGUACGUAGGGAUGGCAAUCGGGCUCGCCGGCUCGGGCCGCCUGUGGCUCGGCUCGGGAAAAGCCCGAGCCGGCUCGGCUCGGCUCGGGGCUCGGUAGACCCGAGCCUAAGCUCGGGCCGAGCUCCAUUUUGGGGACACGGGCUUUGCCCGAGCCGGCCCGUGAGCUCGCGAGCUUUUUAAUAAAAAAAAAAAAAAAAAAAAAAAAAAAAAAAAAAAUUUUAAAAAAAAAAAAAAAAAAAAAAAAAAAAAAAAAAAAAAAAAAAAAAAAAAAAAAAAAAAAAAAAAAAAAUUNNNNNNNNNNNNNNNNNNNNNNNNNNNNNNNNNNNNNNNNNNNNNNNNNNNNNNNNNNNNNNNNNNNNNNNNNNNNNNNNNNNNNNNNNNNNNNNNNNNNNNNNNNNNNNNNNNNNNNNNNNNNNNNNNNNNNNNNNNNNNNNNNNNNNNNNNNNNNNNNNNNNNNNNNNNNNNNNNNNNNNNNNNNNNNNNNNNNNNNNNNNNNNNNNNNNNNNNNNNNNNNNNNNNNNNNNNNNNNNNNNNNNNNNNNNNNNNNNNNNNNNNNNNNNNNNNNNNNNNNNNNNNNNNNNNNNNNNNNNNNNNNNNNNNNNNNNNNNNNNNNNNNNNNNNNNNNNNNNNNNNNNNNNNNNNNNNNNNNNNNNNNNNNNNNNNNNNNNNNNNNNNNNNNNNNNNNNNNNNNNNNNNNNNNNNNNNNNNNNNNNNNNNNNNNNNNNNNNNNNNNNNNNNNNNNNNNNNNNNNNNNNNNNNNNNNNNNNNNNNNNNNNNNNNNNNNNNNNNNNNNNNNNNNNNNNNNNNNNNNNNNNNNNNNNNNNNNNNNNNNNNNNNNNNNNNNNNNNNNNNNNNNNNNNNNNNNNNNNNNNNNNNNNNNNNNNNNNNNNNNNNNNNNNNNNNNNNNNNNNNNNNNNNNNNNNNNNNNNNNNNNNNNNNNNNNNNNNNNNNNNNNNNNNNNNNNNNNNNNNNNNNNNNNNNNNNNNNNNNNNNNNNNNNNNNNNNNNNNNNNNNNNNNNNNNNNNNNNNNNNNNNNNNNNNNNNNNNNNNNNNNNNNNNNNNNNNNNNNNNNNNNNNNNNNNNNNNNNNNNNNNNNNNNNNNNNNNNNNNNNNNNNNNNNNNNNNNNNNNNNNNNNNNNNNNNNNNNNNNNNNNNNNNNNNNNNNNNNNNNNNNNNNNNNNNNNNNNNNNNNNNNNNNNNNNNNNNNNNNNNNNNNNNNNNNNNNNNNNNNNNNNNNNNNNNNNNNNNNNNNNNNNNNNNNNNNNNNNNNNNNNNNNNNNNNNNNNNNNNNNNNNNNNNNNNNNNNNNNNNNNNNNNNNNNNNNNNGGGCCGGGCCCGGAGCCGAAAUUUUAGGCUCGCGAGCCGGCUCGGCCCGGCUCGUUUACAUCCCUAUUUGUACGUAGUCGUAUCAAAGCGUCUAAAUGACAUAGAUAGAAAAAAUGAAUCUAACGUGUAUAUGAAAAAAUGUAAAAGAAAUAAAUAAUUGUAUCGUAAUUUAAACUCUUAAAUUUGAUAUGAACAUGUAAGAAUAUCCUCAAGUACACAUAUUGAGUUUUUAUUAAAUGCAAGUGUAUUGAGCAUAAUACUAAUGCAAUGCAAAGUGCAUACUUGGCCCAUUGAAUUGAGCGGACUUUGAGAGAGAGAGAGAGAGAGCUCUAUGUGUGAAAAUUUUGUGACUUGUUUUCACUUUCUAGCACAUUUCCUGGACCUAGCCGAUUUAAUACAUCUAUUUACAACAUAUUUGAUAAGGUGAAAUUGAGAUAUUAAGCACUAUUAAUGAGAAAAAGAUCGUCCAAUCUUAUAAAAGAUUGUCGAAAAUUGAAAAUUGUUGCAUAUCAAACAAACCCAAAGAACUAACGAUUGAAAUUUUUGACAAGACAACUUUAUGAUAUUCUAAAUGUACUGUAGUCACUGAUCCAAUAUGUUGAGAAAAAUGUAGGGAAAUCUGAAACUUAAUGAACUCCAAGGCACAAAAAACGUUAUCUUUUAAGAGACGUUUCUCCCCUAUCCAACGAAGUCACAACUGGGAUAUGAUAGAAAAUCUCUCUCACGAUACAAUGGAGGUGUUUGAUUUAAAUUGUGACUAUUUAAUCAAAUCAAGAAGACACUCGAGAAGAACUGAUAAUGUCAAGAGAAAUAGAGAAGAAUAAUUUUUUAAUAUGUUUUGCAAACGAGAAUUCGCUCAGAAUUUAUAGAAAUUGAGGCAACCGUUUGAAUAGAUGUGUCCCUUGAAAUGAAAAACACAUCUGUUGGAAGUGACUGUUAAAAACGAACAGAUGCACCUAGUCGGGACGGCAAAUCAUUCGCAAAACAAAAAAUAAAUACAUGCAAAAUGAUAAAAAAUAUCUAACACAAUAUGAUGCAAUACUGAAUUAAGUGAAAAAUAGAAUCCAUUAGUCGACUCUAAAUUCAUUAUAAAUAAGAUUUCAUUCGUUGUUAUUUAUUAUUGGCCAUUGCAUAUUAAUUUAUAUAAGUAUAUUCUAAAUAACUUGGCUGCAUUUUAUUGUCAAUUUUUGCUUUCUUCCCCUUAUCCGGCAGCCUAAUUAUUUGCACCAUAAAAUAUUAAUAAUUAGUUGCGUUUGAAAAGGGGAAUGUUUUUGUCAUCUAGAAAACAAAGCUAUCAUGUUGAAAGCGUUACUCGAUGAUUUAUAAACUGAUCCAAAAUAUCAGGAAUCUACUUUACAAAGCCAAAUUAGUGGGUUGACUGACUUAUGAUUACGACGAUUCCUAUAAAUAUCAAAAGGAAAUGUUCAAAGAAUAUUAAAUUGUAGACAAAUACAAAUAAUAAUGACAAGAAUAUGAAGUUAAUUUUUUAUUUUUCUUUUUUUUUCAUAAAAACGUAUUAUUAUGCUAAUAAAAGUUCCAAGUUAAAGUCUCAUAAAUUGAAAAAUGUGCAAGUGACAUCCAAAGAAAAAUUGAAUACAAUCUACAUACAAUGGACUGUGUUGAAAAUUUAAAUAAUUUAGCACAUGUUUGACAAAGGUUUUUGAGAUUAUAAGUCGGUGGAUCCGAUGAAUAUCAAAUGUAUUGUUGAAAAUGCAAGUUAACCUCUUUUUUUAGAUAGAUGUUUCUAAUAUUAAACUAUUUAAUAUGCCUCCUGGCUCCUAUUCUCCACGUUUUACGAGUUAUGACUUGUCAAUAAUUUAUUGGAUAAAUAGUCAUUUAGACAGCAAAUCUCAACUUCUACACUAAUAAUUUCUCUCCCUCCCCCCCUCCCCCCCUCCUCUUCAACUAUUUAAUAUGCCUACGGCUUCCACGUUUUACACAUAAUUUCUCGUUCUCUCCUUCUCCUUUCUAGAUCUAUUUCAUACUUCCACGAUGAAGUUGGAAGAGAAAGGCACUGAUUACACACAGGACGGGACUGUUGAUCUAAAAGGUAGACCUAUCCUGAGAUCAAACACUGGCAAAUGGAAAACUUGUUAUUUCUUUGUUGGUAAGUGAAAAAAACUGGUAGGGUCUACCUAAUUUUCGAUUCUAAACAUGCCAUGAUAUCAUUUUAUCAAGGUUUGCUUUAGAAUUUUCUACAAACUGAGAACGAUUAGAUUUGAACGAAGAAGUUUUGCUUCAGAAUUUCGUGUGCUAAUAGAAACAUAACUCUUUUAGUUAAAUCUUUUGCUUUGAGUAUGAAAAUUUAGAAUAGAAUUUAUGGAUCCUCAUUGUGAUAUUACAGGGUAUGAAAUUUUUGAGAGGAUGGCAUAUCAUGGUAUUGCAUCAAACUUAGUAAUUUAUUUGACACGGAAGCUCCAUGAAGGCACUGUGACAUCUUCAAACAAUGUCACCAACUGGGUUGGUACUGUAUGGUUGACACCCCUUCUGGGUGCUUAUAUUGCUGACACUUUUCUUGGUCGAUACUGGACUUUCAUCGUUGCAUCAGCCAUUUACCUUGUGGUACUUCCUUUGAUUUCAUUUGAUCUCGAUUCUCAUGGUGUAACUUUAUCGUGCAAGCUAAACAGAACAAGACAGUAUAAAUAACAAUAUUUUCUUAAUCUAUCGGAUCAUGCUUUUAAGACAACAUAAAAAUACGCAACAUUAAACAUGAACGGACAGUAAAGUGGACAUGUUUUUACUUUCUUUUUCUUGUUUCGCAUUCUCUAGUAUUAUAUAUUACGGCUUGCACCAUUAUUAUAAUCAUUUAAACACGAUCACGAAAUCCUUAUAAGAUCAGGGAAAACAAUUCUUGGUCAUAUAUUCGUUCCUUGUAACAGGGAAUGUGCUUAUUGACGCUAGCAGUUUCAUUGCCCGGACUGAGGCCUCCGUCUUGUGGGCACCAAGUAAAGGAGGUAGAUUGCGAUAGACAUGCCUCAACAUUUCAAGUCGGCAUCUUCUACUGUGCAUUAUACAUAAUUGCAGUUGGAACAGGCGGAACAAAGCCUAAUAUCUCUACAAUGGGAGCAGAUCAAUUUGAUGAUUUUGAGCAUAAAGAAAGGUUACAAAAGCUCUCAUUCUUCAACUGGUGGAUGUUUAGUGUCUUCAUUGGCAUCCUUUUCUCCAACACUUUCCUUAUUUACAUUCAAGACAAUGUGGGGUGGGAACUUGGCUAUGGCCUCCCUACACUUGGGCUCACAGUAUCGAUACUUUUCUUCAUUGUGGGUACACGUUAUUAUAGACACAAACCCCCAUCAGAUAGCCCGUUGAAUCGAAUGGCUAGGGUGCUUGUAGCCACCGUAAGAAAGUGGAAGGUAGUCAUCCCUGACGAACCAAAGGAACUUUAUGAGCUGAGCUUGGAAGAGUACUCCAAACCUGGCAUGUUUAGAAUUGACCACACCAAUUCUCUCAGGUGCAUAUUUUUCUCCCGAAUAAAGAUACUUGGACAAGGCCAUGUAGGCCCUGCCUGUGGGAGUGCCUUGGAUGUCCGUCCAGCAUAACCCUUUGCUCCCAUUCUAAGUCUUUUUAGCAUGUGUAACAACUAAUAGAAAUCCCACGUCACUCGUGGAAGGUCUGUCUUAUGGGUUUAUAAGCACAUUAGUACCCUCCUCUUUCAAAGUCGAUUUUAAACGUAACCCACUCUCAUUUCACUUCUGCAGCCUCCUGGACAAAGCAGCAGUCGAAAUCGGACAAAAUUCGCCAUGGAUGUUAUGUCCGGUGACACAAGUUGAACAAACCAAACAAAUGAUAAAAAUGAUUCCAAUCUUGCUUGCAACUUUCGUUCCCGCUACUAUGUUCGCACAGACAAACACUCUCUUUAUCAAGCAAGGCACAACUUUGGAAAAAAGCAUUGGUCCCCAUUUCAAAAUUCCUCCAGGAUGUCUCUCGGCAUUUGUGACUAUUUUCAUGUUGACUAGCCUCGUACUAUAUGACCGGUUCUUCGUUCCCUUUGUACGAAGAUACACGAAGAAUCCUAGAGGGAUCACCUUGUUGCAGAGGUUUGGGAUCGGCCUCGUGUUGCAUAUCAUAGUCAUGGGAACUGCUUGUUUAGCAGAAAGAAGGCGUCUAAGGGUUGCUAAAGAGAACGAAAUCUUUGAGAAAAAUCAAAUCGUUCCUCUUUCGAUCUUCAUUCUUCUACCACAGUUUGCUCUAAUGGGGGUAGCUGAUACCUUCGUAGAAGUUGCGAAAAUCGAGUUCUUCUAUGAUCAAGCACCUGAAGGCAUGAAAAGCCUCGGAACUGCCUAUUUUACGACUAGUUUUGGAGUUGGAUACUUCAUAAGUAGUUUUCUGUUGAAAACUGUGGCUGACAUUACCGAGAAACGUGGCAAAGGAUGGAUUUUGGACAACCUAAACGUCUCUCGUUUGGACCAUUAUUAUGCAUUUUUGGCUGUGCUGUGCUUUCUCAACUUACUUUACUUUCUGCUAGUUGCAAAGCUCUUUGUUUACAACACAGAACUGAAGGAUACCGAAACGGAGUUGCAUGAAGCAAUCG
Molecule: long non-coding RNA, 98624 nt
Filed under: Olea europaea (common olive)
Lineage: Eukaryota; Viridiplantae; Streptophyta; Magnoliopsida; Lamiales; Oleaceae
Description: long non-coding RNA (OEUR_LNC007760)
Source: RNAcentral